GAGCUCCAGAUGCGGCAGACGCAGCUCGCGCGGGCCAGGUCCGGGACGGGGAGCUUCUCGAAGAUGAGCCGGAGGGUGUCGCGGCAGGCGAGGGCGGAGAAGUGGGAGUUCAUCGGCGAGAUGGUGGAAUCGUUGGCAGCGGAGGCGGAGGCGGAGGCGGAGGAGGAGGCGGCGGCGGCGGCGGCGGAGAGAGAUCCCGGUCGUCGUCGUCGUCGCCGCAGCAGCCCAUUGAGAGAGAGAGAGAGAGAGAGAGAGUUUUUUGGUUUUGAACGGUGGAUAGUAGAGGUGCCUGGAAUAUGGUUGAAUUAUGAGUUUUCCCCGUGUUUUGUCAUUUAUUACAAAUUGCCCCUAACUUUUCGAUUUUUUGCGAUGUCUCCCCUAAAUUUUGAAAUCGGUUGCAAUGUCGGACUGGGGUGACUUCCAUUACUUUUCAGUUUGAGCACCGACCGUGUGCUUGUCACGUGACUGAGUUGAUCUUUCAUGGAGGGUAAAUCCGUCGGAUAAAAACAUGCGAAUUGUAUUUUAACCUCCAAACUUUGGCAAAGUUGCCCUAACUCUCCGUUAUAUUUCUCUUCCACUUUUUAUCAGCAAUAGAAAUUAUAAAAUCAUUUCCUUUGAUUUAUGAACAUAUUGCUCACACAAAAAUUUCAUGAAAGGAAGUAGUUACACUGAUUUGGUAUUUUUUUUUAUAAUAUAACUAGACAUCAUCACACCACAUGAAAAUCUGAUGUUCGUAUCAUGUUCCUACAGAUUGAUAUUAGUGCUACACUAUCGUGUCUUUUAUUUAACAAUUAAAAUGAUUGACUUAUGGAGUAAUCACUUUAAUAUGUGCUAACAAACAAGUUCUACAAGUUCUAUUGUCUCUUACAAUGUUAGGACUUCUAUUUGCAUUUCCUGAUUUGCUUUUGUCUUACCCUGUAUUGCGAGCCCUAAUAAGCCAUUUCUAGAAAUGAUACAUGAAUCUUUUAGUUGAUUACAUAUGCCUUUCAAAGUUUGGACGAAGUUUGGAGGCUGUAAUCAAAAUCAAAUGCAAAAUUUAUUCGUAACUAAUUAUUUUAAAAGUAUGGGUUAAAUUUGUAAAAAUAUUGAAAACAUAAGCCCCUUGUGAAAAUUGGCCCGAGCCAACACUAGGAAGGCUUUGCAACCAAUUUCAAGACUUGAGGGAGCAUUGUGAAAAUUGAGAAGUCAUGGGGCGAUUUGCAACAAGUGCCAAGAUCUAGAGGGACGGGGUGUAAUCCAUUCCUCAAAUUCCGAUGCCGCGAAACACUUUUUCUUUGCAAUUUUUUUUUCUUAUUUCUAGUUUGUGGAGUUUUUUUUUUUUUUGGUAAAGACACAGUUUGUGGAGUUUUUCUUCUGCACAUAAUGAGAAAAAUACGGACGCGAAAUAGUUUUCGAUGAUGAUGACCAUAUUUGGAAUCACUUGUCGCCGGAUUUUAACCGUUUUGCCUAUACAAAAAGGCAAAAAGAAGAUUUGCCCACAUGUCUAUUGAUUUUGAUUUUAAAUAAGAUACACUAUGACAACUAGACAAAGUAUAAUGUUGGCCUAUGGUUGAUAACGUCGACUCAUCUUUGCUUAAAGUAUCAUGAAACUGUCAAGCUCUCUUUUUGAGUUUAAAUGUGACGUAACUUUAUGGAAGGAAAUCAUACUACUGGCUAGCUUUUGAAUCUUGGGAUCAAUAAAUGUUUAGAUGCUAGGUUCUUUUCACUUCAUUCUGGAGAGUAACUCCAUGUUUUAUUACUAUUAAAAAAAGAAGAAGGAAUAGUAGGCUCUUGACAUUAAUAUUUUGUAUUUGGCUUUACCCUUACUUUCAUACAAAAAAUAAAUAAAUAAGAUUUAAUUAGCACGGGUGCUAUGAAAGUUAUUACCAUGUGGGCAAAAUCGACACUACUACUAAGCUUCUUUGUUUGGUGUCUUCCGCAGGAACCAAAUUUUCUUUUGUGUUGGCAAAAACUAAACUAUUCUUUAACAAUAACGAUCGUAUCGAUCACAGUAUAUGCAGAGGUUGAUUUAAUUAAACGGAUUGAAAUCUUAAUAGAAAUCGAUUGAAACUUUUACUCUACAUAGAUUAGAGUGAAAAUAGAAGUUGCAGCUCCCUACACUUAGAUCUCCACCUAUCGUUAGAUCAAAUUUGAACUAGGAUGGAAUGAACAACUUAUGAGCAUUAGUGUGGUUUCACGUAUAGUUCCAUGAAAGAAAAUGCAAAAUCUGUAAAUGUAUCUCUCAUGGAUAAUUUACUUGGAAUUAGAUCCUAAAAACUGGUGAGGCUUUGAUAAAUCACGUCUUACACUAUAUAGGAGUAAAUAUACCUGUUGAUAAUAAUUGGGGCUAGGUAGAGAGAGAUUUGGGAGAAUGACAAAAGAUAGAUUCGUGUAGCCUUUAAUAGAACUUCAUGAGCAUUGACGGAUUGAUUGAGUGAUUAAAUGUUUGAUUUGGAUGCAAUAGAUUUCAUAUUCAAAUGGUAACCUCAGAGGCCAUACCUGUAAUCUAAUACACAUAGAAGUGGUGGUUUGCAUUCAUAUGUGGGAUCAAUUGAGCCAAAAGGGUUGGAUAUCACGUUUUUAUAAAAAAAAAAUCAUAAGAAAAUUUUAGACCACUGUCCAACUAUCUUUAAUUCUUAAUUGAUAUGGUAUGGUAAGCACUUGGUUAAGAAGAAUUCCAGGGCAGACGACUCCUACAUUUUGCGCUUUAGAUCUGGAUCGUGCAAGCAAGAACUCAUGCAAACUAACUCGCCUUAAGUUAGCGAUGGUUUACUUGAUACUACGCCAACGAAAUGGAAUCUGCUUAUCAAAGGCCCAUGAGUCAAUUGAUUUUCAUGAGUAAGAACGCAGAUGAAUGAGAAAGGGCAGAUCCAGAGCAAUCCAAGCAACGGAAUGCAUCGCAUGAAGAAGAGAGAGGGCCAGCUGUGACAACGCCCGAAACUAAAAUAGCCGACGGGGCAUCCGCACCCUCAUUCAAGAGAUUUUUUUGGACAUUGCUUGCUUUUUCAUUGGAAAAAUAUUACUUUUUAACUUAUAGGGAGCAAAAAAGAUUCAGGCCAUUUGGCUUGACAAAGGCUCAGAAGAAACAGAUGACAAAGAGGAUCGAACAUACACAAAUGAACAAUUCAGGAAGUUAUUGAGGUUAAGGUUCCUCCAAGCGAGGGAUGAAAAUUUUAGCGGAGAUUUUGAGAAGCUAUUUCUUGAAUUAAGAUGGCUUCAGUGGACAGGAUGUCCUUCAUCUUUCGAGGCGACCAACUUGCGUAUGGAGAAACUAUUCAUGCUGGGAUUGACACAAAGUGCAAUUACAUAACAUUGGAAUGGAUGGAGCUCAAUCAGGAUAAGCCGGAACGACACAUCUUGAUGUCAUGUUUCUAAUAUUGAUUACUCCUUGACGACUAAUUCCCACUAUACUCUUUGUUCUUAUAGACGGCGAAGUGGCUCAAAGUUUGGAACCUUAGGUGUGGUCAUUUACCAUGUACUCUUGGCUAUCCAAAAUAUAGAAAUUCUCAUCCUUAAAGAAUGUGAACAUUUGGAGCAAAUUCACCCUUCUAUUAAUGAAUUAGGAGAAUUGAACGAACUUGUUUUGGAUUCGAUUGCUACAAAAGAGAAUCCUGCUAUUGUUUCUCUGAGGAAGCUAGAGAAGCUCAGUGCCAAGCGUUGUUUUGCUCUGGUUCGACUUUCGGACUCCAUAAGUCAUCUAGUGAAUUUGUUGACCCUCGAAUUUAUGUAAUUGUCAGGGAAUGGCCAAACUUCUAGGCAACAUUGGGUACCUCAAGAAGCUAUAGAGCUUGCCAUUUGGCGCAACUUCCACACUCUGUUGCCCAUCGACACAAGUCCCAAGCUCCAUUGGGAAGAUGGAAUCCAUGACUAAACUCGACCUAUCCAGCACAAACAUAACGUAACACUACCAUCUUCCAUAGGAGAUUUGCAUAACUUGGAAAUCCUGAAGAUUUCUACUAGAUUGAAAAGUUGCGAGGUGCAAUUGGAAGGUUGGGGAAACUCCUGCAAUUGGAUGCUUCAAGUUGCACUAGAAUAGAAGGGGAAAUUCCAAGUGAUUUUAACAACUUGUCUUCACUCGUGAAGCUUCUAACAUAUACAUCCAUUUCUGGCUUGCCAGAAGGCACUCAGAAUCUUUCUUCUCUGCAACAUCUUGACUUAGGGGGCUGCCAAAAGCUUCAAUCAAUGCCUGAGCUUCCUUCUGGGUUAGAUUUUCUGCAAGUCACUAAGAGUUUUUGCCUCCACUUUUUUACCAAAUUCAUCUAAGAGAACUCAUUGUUUAUGAUUGCAUAUCGUUGGAAAAUCUCCUAGAGCUUCCUCCAAGACUGUUGAAGCUUCACGUCACAAGAUGUGGCAAGUUGAAAUGCUUGCCAAGAUUUGAGCCUCGUGAAUGCCCCAAAAUGAUGCAAAGCAAACGCCGACACGUUGCAAUAUCCCCAACGACGUUGGCCAUAGCAGGUCGCGUGAAGUUGACUAAGUUGGAUGGCCUUGGACAAUGUGCAAAGUCCCUAAGAUGCAUGCCAAUGAGUGAGAACUAUGGAUCAAGCACUCCAUUAGAUAUGGAAGACAAUCUAGUCGAAGUUCAAGGUCUUGACAAGUUGAAGCACUUGGAAGAAUUGGAUGUAGAUUUUUGCUGUUUUAUUGGAAGACUGGACCUUCCAAAACCAAAUCAUCUGAACGAUUGAUUGCUAGAUAUUGCAAAAAUCUAGUUGAAAUUCGAGGCCUUUAUCAUUCAGAGUUCUUGGAAGCACUGCAUAUCACUGAUUGCACGUCCAUUUUGAGAUUAAACCUUGCAAAAUCAGAGCAUCUAAAGGAAUUGAAGGCCACAAAUUGCAAAAGUCUAAUUGAGAUUUAAGGCCUUGAUAGGUUGAAGUUCUUGGAAAAGUUGGAACUCUGGUCAUGCAAGUCCCUGGAAAGAUUACCAAAACUGUCGUGCUUGGAGACCCUGAAAGAGUUCAACAUCAACUGGUCCAUUGUCUGACCAAAAACAACGGAUGCAUUGAGCUUCGUGAUAUUGAGUCUGGAGAAUUUUUUGUCCUGCCAAAGCAUAUAUAUGGACGAAUGUCCAUCCUUAAAGAUAUUGCCAAACCUGUCAAAUUUCGAGAAUUUAGAGAAGCUCACCAUCAGGAUUCGCUUGAUAUUCACAUGAUGCAAGUCAAUCAAGACUUUACUAGAUUUGUCGACAUGUAAGAUGUUACAAUUUUUGGUGGCCCAAGACUGGGACAAACUUGCCGAACUUCGAGGACUUGAAAAUUUGGGUUUCAUGUAUUUGGAUGUUUCUGGAUGCGACUCACUGGGAGCAAUACCGAACUUUUCUAGAACACACGUCAUACAGGACUAUGAAGAAUGCCCAUAUGAUUAUGGCUUACCAAUGAUUGAAUUCCGAAGGUACUGAUGUGAUAAAUCAUGUAUUACAAUUGGGAGACAAUUGAUGCUUCCCUAAACUAAGGAAAAAGAGCAAGUAAAUUGUCGUUCUUCUUUCGAUUCGUACUAACUUUUUGCCAAGAACAUUUUCCUAAAAAAUCAGCUCUCAGAUUUUUCAUUAUGAUCCCGAAGCAUUGGAAUUUUAUGCUACACAAAGGUGGAUUUGUUCCCUUGAUGCUUGUCCCGGACAUUCCAACUAGGUGCCGCAAGUCCAAACAACUCCAAGAAGUCAGGAAUGACCAACGUACUAGCCACAAAGAACGAUGCUCAAAGCUUGUGGAGUUAGUAAUGCUAUCUUCCAUUUGCCUGAACUGAGUUGACCACAAAAUGCACUGAAAAUCUCAAAAAAAAAAAGAAAAAGAAAAAAAGAGGAAGGUAAUGUCUUUGAAGAUAGAAGAUAACAAACGAAUUCGUGAGGAUUGCAGCUACCGCUGCUUCCAGAGACUUUUCAUGUAAACUCCGGUGCUGCCUCUCUGUGAUAUGAUGACUAGUUCCUCAAAAAUUUGAUAUAAUGCCAAAGUUUUUGUAAAAACAGCGAGCUGUCUAUAUUGCCAAUUUUCCAAGACCACACGAUUUAUUCGAAAGUAUAAGCUAGCACAGGUUCAUUUUUCCUACUCUCAUAUCAGCAGCAUACCAAUGUCUGGUUUUCCAAUUCCCCAGGAAAUGAAGAUUUAUUCUCUUUGCAGGGGUUUAUACCAAUAAAUUAUCAAUACUCUUUUACAUUGCCAAAAUUUCACAGUUGGCAUCAAAACUGAAUUGCAUAUUAAGCUUAUUAUCGAUAAGAAAAUUAACGUUAGAUUCACUUAUAACGUCUCAGCUAGAGAUGUCCAUCACUUUUUUGACUCAGUAUAUUGAGAGGGAUGACAGUCUUUAUUGCUCAAGCUUUUCCUAGGUGUUUAUUGUUGCACUGAAAUUGAAGUGUAGCUGGAUAUGAUUUUUACUUUGCCAGAGCUGUCACUGUGCAUCAGCAACAAUUGGAACUCCAUAGAUUCCUUGCUGAUAGGAAUAUACACCUGUACCAUCAAUAUGGAGUAGUUUAAUGGCACUUCGCAGCAUGAUCAAGUGCCAUUCAAUGGCUGUCCACUAAUUUGCGUAAUUAUCGUACGGGUAUUUACAUGUAACUAUGUAGGGUACUUCCGUGCUUUUCCUCAUGAAAAGUGAGGGAAAAUUAAUUGCUUGCUUUAGUAUGGUUUGGCAGUUAGGAUUGCUGGAGACUCUUGAAUUACUUGAAUUACUCAUCUAGUUCCUGAUUUGCUGAAUCAUUAUCACUAUUUUCUUGCUAAAGAUUGGACAUCCUAGCGAUUUGUCAGCCGACAAUUUCUGCAUACGUGAGAUUUUUGAAAUUUUAGCAAAAAUAACUUCAAACGGCACUAAUGCUUGAAGAAAUCUUGUUGAAGUUGGAAAUGUUAAAUUCAUUUUUCUAGGACAUGAUAAUUGGCACCGCAUGUAGAAAUUCAUCCGCACUCCAUCCAAAUCCGGGACUGAUACAAAUUCUGUCUCAGCAUUGUAAGAAACAGGGGAAGCAGAGUAGAAUGGUACUAUGAAAUACUGAAUAAGAGAAACAUCAGGUGCAAUUCCAGAUAAAUGUCAUUUGACCAGAAUGCAGUUCCAAAUAUCAGUCGAAACCGGCAUUUCAUACGUGCAAGUUGCCCCCAAAGUCAUUGCCUAAUCAAUCCAAAGGCCAUUUGCACUUGCAUCCCGCAUCCUCUUUCUGUGAAAUUACUUAGCAUAAGGUGACAUCAAGCUUGGAUCUGCACUCUGCAGCCUCUUUCUGUUGAUAUUGUUAGAAAUCUGACAGCCUCAUCCAAACCUUUUUUAUGGUUAUUUUCCAAUUGAUUAUGGUAGAUAUUACAUCAAAACACUUUGAAAAUCACUUAUCAGGUUAUAGUUUUGCCUAAUUAGACGAAUGAUUCCAAUGGACCAAUGAUUAAAAAAAGUCUUUGGCUUUACCCUUGAGAGAACAUCGACAUCAACAUGUUGUUAGCAUUUAGCAUGUGACUAAGGUCUUUUGCGAACCUUAUUUUCCCUCCAACAUAACGUAUUUCGCAAUAGUAAUCUUCAACAUAAUAUGCAUUUUCUUUGUGGCGUCAUAGUGGGCGUACAGUUUCGUAUGGUCUCUUCAAAGUUUUUCCCUGAUAAUUCAGUAGAAAUUGUUAUCAGAAGUUGUCUCUGGUGCUGUGUUUUGUGUCCGAACUUCUUUUGUUCGUCUACUACUCUACCUCAUUCUCCAUUAAAAAAAAUAAUAAUAAGUACAUACAAUAGAAGUUAGUCUAAUAUCUAACAAGUUAAAAGUUAGCAUACCUAGAUUUCUGAAAAACGAUUGCUUGUAUCUCAAUCGCUCUGAAGAUAUUUUCCAAAAAAUAAAUGAUUUGGAAAAUACAUCUUUUCUCAUAUGGGCAUAAUAUAAUUCGAGCAAAAACAUUAUGCCCAAAAGAUUGAAGGUAUACCAUGGAAUCAAGCUACUUAUGGGCUUCAUAUCAUCACAGAAGGAACCUUUAAACCAUGUAGAGGUCCUCAUUGUCCCAAAAAGUGGCAUGUGAUUUUAUGCCGGAAAUGGAGUACUUGUGUGUGUUUUUGUUGGUAGCCAUCACAACAUCGAGGCACCAAAUUGCAUUGGUAAAUUGAGGCAUCUACUUUAUCUCAAUUUUUCUUAUACUAAUAUCGAAAGGCUUCCUAAAUCAAUUGUUCGACUGCACAACCUAGAAGCUUUAAUGUUGCGUGGUAAUGAAAAUCUUACCGAAUUGCCUGAAUAUAUUGAAAAACCGNNNNNNNNNNNNNNNNNNNNNNNNNNNNNNNNNNNNNNNNNNNNNNNNNNNNNNNNNNNNNNNNNNNNNNNNNNNNNNNNNNNNNNNNNNNNNNNNNNNNUGCUAUCACUUUUUAUAGGUAAUUUUGGGGGUCUUGAGAUGUGUCCAAAUUUGUUGUGGGAACCCAAAAAUGGCUAAAGGAGUUGUAGAUAAUGCCGAAUGCACCUUGUAGGGAAAUUAUUCACCUCCAAGUUGCUUAAGGUUGGAGAGCAGGUCAAUUUACCCACGAGGGACAGAAUAUGCUAGUGGACCAUGUAGUGAGUGAAGAUUAUGAAAAUUUCCUGAAUUUGUUUGCAAUUUUAACACAAUGAUUAACUUGAAAGAAGAAGAAUAUACAUUAAGAAUCAUAUUGGAAAAAAAAAGUACAAGAACGACAUUGAACAAAUUGUAAAAGUACAGCGACCGGCGGUUUAUUAUCUCUAAAGUUUUUGCACAAAUUUUGUGAAGAGAGUCUCCUAAAGAUUUUGUUAAAAGUGAAAUGUAUUGCUUUCUAUUCUUUUUCCACAAAAUCAAGGCAAUGACACUUUCAAGAAAAUGACCUACACGUCUCAAUAUCUUUUCCCGUUUCCACAUGCAUUAUUUUCUCUAACAUGGCUCUUAGAGAGUAUCAUCAUAUAAAAUUAGUCUUCACUAUGAAUUACAUUGACUCUUACACUAAUAUUGAUUCUUUAUUGUUGGCCAAAGGCCUAAGUGUAGAUUAAAUGCCUCUCAUCAAAAGACCAAUUUUCCACCUGCAUUAUUCUAGUGCAUUUUGCCGUACGUCACAUUUGAAUUGUUUUAACUCAUAGAUACUUUAACAUUAUGCAAUGAAAGGCUGAGAUUUAUUCUUUAGCGGUUCAACAGUCAAUGAUCUUUUAGGUGAGGGCAGGCCAGGUUCCCUGAAUACAUAAUAGAAAAAUGAGUAAGGAAUAAGUGACACGGUUGUCGUACCACAUAAGUUGCGUUCAUAAGGUUGGGUUGUACUACACCCAAGCGGGGAGGCCCGCUAAAAAGGAGCCAUAUAAGAAGCAAAUAAAAAAAAUCAUAAUUUAUUUUUUUAUUAACAUGAAUUACAUGUGAAUGUGGGUCGGACUCAUUAAAGUUUAUAUUGAAUCAAAUCUUGUUACUUUAAAUUCACAACAAUCUUUUCUUUGAAUUUUAACUAAACCAUGCUAUUUGGCUAAUUAAAUGUGACUUAGACCACGUCAACGCUUCUAGUGGUGUAAGACUUAUAUUUUAAUAAAUAAGGAAAGUAAAGGUUGUUCAUAUUCACUUUGAUAUUCGCGACCAUGUAAUCCUAUUACAAAGAUAACUAAUGAAAGGGAAGGGCUAGUGGGGUAAAGAAGUAAAUUACCUUGUCAAAGACGGUAAGAUUAUGUGUGUCCCGAGCACUUUGGCUCAUCUUUUAAGGCAAAGAGAAGAAGUAAUUUCCAACGUAAACACUUUCACGAAAGUUGCCGAGCAAGGGAGGUGAUUGUGUGGCUCUUUAGUAGUACCAUGCAAAAACUAAUUUUUCAAUGUGAACACGUUGACUCCAAUGUAAAGUAUUGAGUUUUUCGGUUAAUGGGGUCGAGAAAAGCUAAAGGUCACUUGUCUUGAUUUGAUUGGUCACGCGGACUAAUUGCAAAGAGAAAGUAACAAAAUAUCCUCAAAAAUCUAAAGUGAGUGAGGUAGUCUUGCUUGAAGGAGAUGAUUAACUUUCUACACCUUUUACACAAACAUUAUAUAUAUACAUACAAAAUUAGAUUUGGACUAUUGAAGAUAACAAGAUUUAUGUAAGUUUUAUAUGAGCCUUGUUAAAUUUAACAGUCUAAGUUCAUUUGAUAAUAUUUUUAUUCUUGAAAAAAAAAUUUGUUUAUAAAUAAUUUGUUUAUUUUUAUUUUCGAAAACAAAGAAAUAGAUUUUUAUCUUUUCGGUUUCAAAUUUAUUUACUGAUCACUUUUCUAUUUCAGAUAAUAGAAAAAUUAGUUGAUUUUGUCAAAUAAUUUUUUUUUGACGAAAAAAAAGAGCAGAAAAAUAUGAAAACAGGAUGGGUACGCCUGGAUAAUCACUAGAAAAAUGGGUACGGAAUGACUGACAUGUCACAUGGACACUGGUCAAAGGAACAGGCAAAGCUCACGCGGUUCUCGUACGACAUGAGUUGGCCUACACAUGUUGGGUGGUGCCAGACUAGAGCACGAGGGCCCAUUAAGAAGGAGCCAGGAAAAAGCAAAUGGAAAAAUCAUUACUAUUUUAUCUUUUUUUUAUUAACAUAAAUUACAGUUGAAUGUAGUUUAGACUCAUUGAAUUUCUAUGUAGUUAAAACUUUUUACUUUAAACUCAUAACAGCCCAUCCUUUAAAUUUUAGCUAACUCACUAAAUAUGAGUUAAUUUGUAGAUUAUUUUUCAACUCAUUUUAACGCCAGCAAAAGACUUCCAUUUCCACAGCAGAGAAAGCAAAAGGUUGCUCAUCCACUUUGAUUUGCACGGCUAGGUGAUCCAAUUACAAGGAGAUCUGACAAAAGGUGAGGGUCAAAGAAGCAAAUUGCCUUUUUAAAGUUGAUCGUUUAAUUUUUGUUAAGAAUUUUAAUUGGAUUUAAUUAAUCGAAUCAAAAUAAUCCCAAAAAGUGACUUUUUUUUUUAUCAUCAGAACUUAACCAAAUAAAGAAAAUACGGAAUUUCGAUCCGUUUCGGUUCCGUACAAAUUACCACACAAAAGACGGGGCAAUCCACGGCAAGAAAGUGCGUGGAUCAGGAGCAGGUCUGGCUCAUCUUUUGAGACGAGAGAAGAUGCAAUUUCCAAUUCGAACGCCUUGCGGGACGUUGCCAAGCAAAAGUGAUGGCGAUGAUUGUGUGGCUCUUGCGGAGAAGCAACCAAAAUAUCUUUAAAGUCUACGGCGAGGUAGUCUUGCCAAUUUCGAGGAAGGAAGGUUUGUUUCGGUGGUCUUGGUCAAAAAGGUGAAGGUAAAAAAGCAGUACAAUUGCCGCGUGAAAGAAGCGCAAUCCUUUCCACAAGAUUGCGCGUCUCCUUCGGGGCAAGAGUGAGAAGUAAAAGCUUUAUUUAAAGUCCCGAGUGCUAGUAACCCAGGAGCAGAAACGCCAAUCACCGUAAGUCACUUGAGACGCUCGUCUUUCGCUUUGAGAUAUCUGGCUUUGAUAGCUCUAGAUUGAGGCGUGAAGGUGAUCUCAUAAUUGUGCUGCUUUUGAGGCUCGGACACGACUUGAUGUGCUUUAAGGUAACUCUUUUUCAGACAUUAAAGCCCAUCUGAGUAAUUCCGUCUCUGCAUCACUCCUCCAGAUGAGCCGGAUAGUCUAUUACAUUUUUGAUAGAAGAAAAUAAAAACAUUUGCACCGCAUCUAACAUCCUUAAAAGCAUGCACAAUAUAACAUGUGAAAUUCCAUCGACUUUUUCAAAAUCACAGUCGUCACAUUUAUUGUAGAUUUUUCUUACUACGUUACCCUUUAUUCAAACUGAUCACUAUGAGCGGUUGGACUGGUUAAAUUCGGGGGAAUUUAAUAGUUCCUACUACAAUCUCUCUCUCUCUCUCAUAUUUGUCACUUUCUGAACCUUUUACAUCGGUCCUCUCUCUUGCAGAACAGUUCAACGCUAUCAUCUACAGUCCUCGCUCUCUCUCUUUGUUCAUUUCCCUCUUGAAAGUUCUCGCCGAGGCUUGUUUAGGGUCUUCUCUCUUCGAGCUUGCACCUCUCUUCGCAUCUCAGCUCGCGGAAGGUAAUCGUUUUUUCAUCUCUUAUUAGCGUGUCAUCUUUGUUGAUUUGUUGCGGCUGACCUAGUGUGCAAAGUGUAUUGGGCUCUUUUUGUCUAAUGUGGGAGGCUGCUAACGUGGUGUGUCACCAGCUCAUAAUCGACUUCUGUAGAAAGGGAAGCCUUUGCUUUCGACUUUAGAUGUGACUAAUCAUGUGGCCUCUCUGUCUCAUUGUUCGUUUGCAUCGCAGUUCAUUGUCCAUCCUUUAUUAAGCUAGAAUGAGUUAGAAUGCCAGCACACUAGAUUCUUUUUUCUUUUUUUUUGGGGUCGAUAAAGCACUUACCAUUGAGUUCGAGAUCAUUACAUAAUAAAACCGAAACUGAAAAUGGAUAGGGCAGAUAUAAAACCCAAUUAUGAGGAAGGCGGUUAUCACGAUAGGCUUUUGCUACCCGGUUGGCAGGCUUGUUAGCUUUUCUAGGUGCAUAAGAUAUUUAGAUUUCUUGAAGUUGGGCCAGCAGCACUUUGGUAUCUUCUAUAAUUGGUUGCACCGUCGAUGGGCUCGGAAUUAAGCCCAUUAAACUUUCCAUCACAACUUUGUUGUCAGAGUGUACUUCGCACUCGUAGGUUAGUUCAGGCCAAGCCGAAGACUUUUCCCUCUUUCCUGCUAAAGACUCAUUUCUCUUUCUUGCCUCUGCUAGCUUCAACAAAGCCGCACGAAUGGCCAGAGCCUCCGUUUUUAGGGCUGAAUUAGCGGUGAUUUUCUCCACAAAACUGUCUAUUGCGCACAAAAUUGCCAGUAUUCACCUCAAACCAGGGACCGUCUUUUAAUGGGUCGUGAGGUUUCUUUGUCUAUGAAGGUCUAAGAUAAAUUAAAUAAAAAACGAAACAGAAAAGAAAAAGUAGUAGGCCGGUUUGCGGCCAAUUUUGGGAUCAAGGGGUUUGAUUUUCAAUUUCGAAAAUUGGAAACAGGCUUUGAUAGGAUAGGUUUCAGGUCUUGUUUCGGAAUCUACACACUAUAAAAGUAAUUAUUCUCUUAAUUGGAUUUUAUUCGACAAUUUUGCCUCCCAAUAGAACAUUCAAGACAAAUAAUAUGAUGUCUUCCUUGAAUUAUUGGACAAGAUAACUCAUUCUUCCUUCAGAGUCUUGAAAAUUGACGGAGUCAGUUAACUGAAGAAAGGGUUAACACAGUUAACUGAAGAAAGGGUUAACAAAAAAAAAAGUUGAAUGAGUUAAUAUGCCUAGGUUUGAGUAUUUUUAACUCUAUUGCUGCUUUUUUUGAACAAAAAAUGAAAACUAUAUUGCUACUUUCUACCCGCUCUCCACUCAUGAUAGUUUCAAUCAUCACAAUACAAAACAUACCAAAAUCCAUAUUAUGAUGACUUCUUUCACCUUUGUGUCUUUCUAAAAUUGCAGUCAUGGUAAAAUCUUAAUUUACUUAAUCAUAGAGACUCCCAAAUACAUGAAUUCUUUUAAAAUAGAAUAGAAGUAGAUAAUUGAGGGCUUGUUAUUCAACAGUAUAAUAUGAUUUAUAUACCCGUGUCAAUCAAUAUCCAUAUUCACAUAUAUCUAUCUAUGAUCUUUUCUUUAACUUCAUACCUUUUACAUGCUAUUCAAUAGGAAGAAAAAUAUCUUAUGACACACACGUGAAAAUGAUCACAUAAAUUGAGGCAUACGCGCAUAUUAAGAGAUUCACCAAACUUUAUAACACUCAUUUCUUACACUUCUUAUUACAAACAAUAAAUUCGUUUUUCAAAAUGUGAUUAAUCAAUUUAACUUGGUUUAUCAUGAAUUUAGUCAAUAAUCCUACUCUUCUUCCAUUUAGUUGAAGAAAAAAAGCUUUGCGGUGAUAUUUUCAAAGUGGGGCGUCCAACAAAAAUGGGGACAAGCACUCAACGUCAUUGUUUCAAACCUUGGUCGUCUCUUAAUUUUCUUCAGGAGCUUCCUUUUACUUCCUUUCUUCUCUUCUUCUCCUGCUUCCACCGAAUCCGUACAAUUUUGUGUCAUUUCUAAUCGGUCAGACUAACGUGGAGAAGGGGCAAAUUCAGAGCAAGGCAAACAAAGGGCUGCAUCGUUUCGUUUCAGAUCGGUUCCUUUGCGGUGCUUCUUGCGUCUAUAUGCUUGUAUUCAAACAUCUCACUAAGAAGAAAAAGAGUGCACUGAGGGAAUCUGCCACUCCGUUUGAUGCUAUCUAACAAAUUUAUAGCUUUAGUUCUACAGAUAAGAUAUCAAUCAAUGUUUAAGAUUUGAGGAUUUAAAAUGAAAGGCUCAGUGAUGAUAUACCGGUUCAAAAUAAAAUAUUUAUACAUGGAAUUAUAGCAUGUGGUGUUGGCGUGUAAUGAGUAAAAGAUAAAUAACCAUGAGCAUUUGUUUAUCCCUACCUCACAUUUUAACUUCAUUAAAUAUAUGACAAUUUUAAACAUAAUUUAAAUAUAAAAUCACAUCCAUAAUUACUAGCUCAGUCCUUUCUUGACUUCUUUCAAGCAUAUCUAAUUCUGUUUCAACUCAAUUAUUAACAUUUAAAUGAUUUAUCAAAUUCUGAUUUUCUAUAACCAAAUAAAAACCAAACGUAUGCUUAUGUUUUUAGUCGAAUGCAAUAUACUUGUACACAGAUUCCAGUUCUUUAUAGCCUAAUUGAAAAAUUAAUGUACACGUUGUUCGUGAUUGGAUCAAGCCAACGAGGUUGACUUGACUAGAGGAUGAGGUCCAAAAGAGGAUAUUUAAAAGCAUAGAAAUUUAAAAAUAUUUCUUUUAUCACACUAAAGGCCCUAAAAUUAACGUACAGGUUAAUUGAAAAAAUUUUGGACCCACAUUUUCAGGGAAAUACUCUUAGAAAAGCCCUAGUCAAUAUCUUCUUUCAUUUCUAUGCACUUUUAGAAAGAAAUAAAAUGUCGGCCCAAAAGGAAAUAUUUCCCCUCAAUUUAAAAUCAUUUUCAUCAACUUCCUUCAUAAUUUAAACAGCCAAACAAAUGAAAUUUUUUCCUCAAUUAAUAUUUUAGUUUUAGUUAAUUUUACAUAUGAGCAAUGCCUAAAACUUGAAUCCUGCCAAUUAAAUCAUGAUUGAUGGAAAUUUUCUCAAAUUAGGAAAGUGCACGCAUCUGGAGAAUGAUGUCCACUGGGCAACAAUUACAUGACACCACAUUAGUUUGGCCAACCGAAAUGGGGUUAGUAGAAAGGGUUGGGAAAAUGAGGUGGUGAAGAUAAUGAGGUUUGUUUGUAUAUUAGGCUAAAAAUAGUAAGAGUAAGGUCGAAGACUAUUAUAAGGAUAAGAUGUCGUGGGAGUUUAUAUUUGGUGGAAGAUGGUUCCAUGGUAUCUCCUAUUUCNNNNNNNNNNNNNNNNNNNNNNNNNNNNNNNNNNNNNNNNNNNNNNNNNNNNNNNNNNNNNNNNNNNNNNNNNNNNNNNNNNNNNNNNNNNNNNNNNNNNNNNNNNNNNNNNNNNNNNNNNNNNNNNNNNNNNNNNNNNNNNNNNNNNNNNNNNNNNNNNNNNNNNNNNNNNNNNNNNNNNNNNNNNNNNNNNNNNNNNNNNNNNNNNNNNNNNNNNNNNNNNNNNNNNNNNNNNNNNNNNNNNNNNNNNNNNNNNNNNNNNNNNNNNNNNNNNNNNNNNNCCCCCUCUCUCUCAGGAGCACGAACUUUUUUCAGCAUUUCCCUCUCAGAUCGCCAUGGAUAAAGGGCAAAUUCAGAGAAAGAGAGAGAGAGCACAGAAAGAGAGCACCGAGGGAGCAUCCACUUCUUCGUUCAUCUCUCCAAAACUCACAGGACAAGGUGACGAUGCAUAUGAUGUAUUCUUGAGCUUUAGAGGCUCAGAUACUCGUAAGGAAUUCACCGACCACCUCUACAAUAGACUGGUCAAUACAGGGACUGUGUCUAUUUUUGCGUUCAAGGACGAUAAGAGCAUCCCAAUUGGUGAGGAUUUUAGUUCACAAAUUCUUGGUGCCAUCUCACGAUCUAAGAUUUCAAUCCCCAUCAUCUCCGAAAAUUAUGCUACUAGCAAAUGGUGCCUUCGUGAGCUCAUCCAUAUGAUGGACUGCAAGAAUAGUGUGUCACACAUAGUGUUGCCAAUUUUUUACAAAGUUAAACCAUCAGAUGUGCGGAAUCUAGAAGGAAAUUUUGGGAAUGCCUUCCGUUCGAGUCAGGAGUAUUUUGAUGAGAAGGAUAUCCAGGAAGGGCCGUGUGCACUUAAAGAAGUGAGUUACUUACAGGCGUGGGAGUCCCAGAAAUUUGCUAACGGGUACGUACAGAACAUUUCUUCCUUUUUUUUGGUUGGGGAACUUUUCCUUUUUCUUUGAUAAGUUCUCUUCACGCAAAACCAAUGAAAUGCAGAUGUAUUACUUGCAUUGAAAGCUCAGAAAAGAUCCCCAAAAUGUCCCAGUAAACAACCCUAAUGGGUCGAAGACUAGCAAACACUAGUACUUCCCAGGAUCUCGUGAAAACUAAACGAACGACAACUUAAGCCAAAGAUCCCGUAGUGCCCAAGAAUUUUACAUUUGUCUCCAACACAAAGCCAAAAAACGAAAGAAACAACCCCUUCAGCCAAUACUAUGCCCAUAAUGGACCCCAAUGCUGGGUCUUGAUCGCUACCAGAUAACUUAGACCUCAUUAUGCCAACGGGUUGGCUCGGCUGAGAAGGGUUGGACAAUUCCCAUUUACCAUGUUUAGGCUUGAUUUCCAAUGCCAGUAACCCUCAUUGGUAGGCAAUCUUGGGAUAGCCUCCUCUCCUCCUAGAAUUUUUUAACCAAAAAAAAAUAAAAAAUGGACCUAUCUUUGAACGGGCAACAACCUCAAUCGUUAUAAUGAACAUUAUAGUUUGAAAGACUCUUCUUGAGCCAUGUACAUCACCUUAUUUUAUUUCAACAAGAUCCAUCUAUUGGCAUAAAAGGAUAGGGUAAAAAAAAUUGGAAUGACCACUACUCCAUCUUCCCCCAUUGUUAUGCGUAAAUCCAAAACAGCUUGCAUGUUAAUUGGCCCCAUGCAUCCUCAAAUAUAUGCUGGUCUUUGGAUGAGAUUAAGUAUAAUCAAGUAGUUAUCAAUGAAUUUUGUUGUUUGACAGGCAUGAAGGAGAAUUAGUGGAAGAAGUGGUCAAAAAGGUUUUGAGCAAAUUGCAACAAGACUUUCAGCUUGAUGUUACUAAGCACUUAGUUGGAUUUGGGGAUCAUGUGAGCAAAAUCAGGAAUUGGGUAGACACUCCUGCCAAUGCUGCUCGAAUGAUUGGAAUCUAUGGCAUGGGUGGGAUUGGAAAAACAACUCUGGCCAAAUCAAUCUACAACCAGUUGUUGGAUGAAUUUGUACAUCAUAGCUUCCUUGCUAAUAUUCGAGAAAUGGUUCAACACAACGGUAUUCCUUAUCUACAAAAUCAACUAAUUGAGGAAGUACUUCAAAUUGAAUGUCAAAUUCGGAAUGUUGACCAUGGAAUUAGUUUGAUUAGAUCUAAAUUCAAAGGAAAAAAGGUUAUCAUUCUUUUGGAUGAUAUAGAUAACAAAAAGCAACUAGAUGCUUUGGCUAGAGAGCGUAAUUGGUUUAUGAGUGGAAGUAUUAUCAUUGUUACAACUAGAAAUAAAGCUAUUCUUGAUCAAUCUGAAUUUGAGGUAGACUACCCAUAUGAAUUGAAUGAAAUGGGUAAGGUGCAUUCUUUGCUUUUAUUUAAGAGACAUGCAUUUCGUAUGGAUCAUUGUCCAACGGACUUUGAGGAUAUCUCUCAUCAAAUCAUAAUCACCAUGGGUGGGUUACCCUUAGCUCUUGAGGUUGUUGGUUCAUACUUGUUUAAAAAAACAAAUCUAAAUGUAUGGAAAGAUAUGUUGAAGCAAUUGAAAGAAGGACCACAUAAAGAUGUCCAAAAGAUACUGAAGAUAAGUUAUGAUGCAUUAGAAGAUGGACAUAAGCAAAUUUUUCUCGAUAUUGCUUGUUUCGGUUUUGUUAUCAGGGAAGAGAUCAAAUUCGCAAUGUACAUGUGGGAGGACUGUGGGUUUCGUCCAAGUCAAGGAAUAGAAGAAUUGGUAUUGAGGUGCUUAAUAAAAAUUGAAAAUGAUGGCAAGUUAUGGAUACAUGAUCAAUUGAGAGAUCUUGGAAGGAGCAUUUUUUGCCAAGGACAAUCACCUGAAAGAUGUAUUGGACCAUGGGUCGGCGAAGAAGCCUUCGGAGAACAAAUACUAGGAAAGGUAACAUCUGGCCCUCCUCUCUCUCUCACUCAUAAUUAUACAUAUAUAUAUUUUUAAUAUGAAUUAUUCUAUUCUUUAUUUAGUAUGAGGAAAUGCUCGUACUUUUUAGGAAAAAGUAUGUUUAAACAUCCGUUCAUGUCCAUUGUAGAUGAAUUGUGACAGCUAAUUGGGAUUAUAAGUGUCCCAAGGAUGAAAAAGUUACCUUAUUUGAUUCAAAUUCAUUGAUAUAAAUUACAUCUGUCAAAAACUUAAUUUACAAUCAAUUUAAGAUUCUUUAACUACGAUUCUGCACUAAAAAUCUGGUUCACUAAAAGCACGGAACUUUAUAUCUAGUUGAAAAUAUUAAUAAUCUGAAAAAUUACAGUAAUUAAUACAGAUGAAGCAUAUACAUCGUAAAAAAAAAAUUGCCAAUCAUAAUAAAUAAAAAUUAAGCAAAUCAGUAACAGUAAAGAAAAAUCAAUGUUUGAUAAACUUUUCCCCCAUUUUGAUCAUGAAAGUACCCGUCCCUCUACUAGUUUCAUCUAUCUCUUUUCCUUCUUCUUUCCUCUUAAUAGAUAUGAUGGUAAAAAAUCUCCUUAAGAAUUAUAUUGGGAAAACCUUACUAUGCUUUUAGGGUUACGUCACGUUGACCUUGUUCAUCUCAUGGACUAGGUUAGGUGUCUGACAAUCAGUGGAUCUUCUUAUUAUUUCUUUAAUUGCUUCUUUCAUUUCCAUUGUCCGUUCCUUCGCUUUUCCUAAUAAAAACUUCUUUCCUCUCCAAGUUGUUUUUAUAUUAUUUAUAUAUUUGGGACAACGCUCUUCUGUGCCAAAAACCACUGGACAAACUUGACUAUUUGGAGGAAAUGUCAUGCUUAUUAUUAUAUCGAUACUUUUUUAUUUACUAUAAACAAUUUUCAGCAUGAAGUCAAAUUUGAAAGUAAGUUUAGUUUUUACAUAGAUUGUCAAUGUUCAUGUCAUUUAAUUAUUUUAUAUUGUCCAUUUGGGGAAGCCUAGUUGGUUCAUGACUGAUCAAUGGCGGGGAAUUAGCCUUAGUUAUUAGCCAAGAGAUUGUGGGCAAAGGAAAAAGCUUUAUUUUCUUGAUUUAAAGUGAAAUAGUUCACACAUACCAUUAUAAAGAGCACACUCUUUUGUUGAUCCAGUGCCUGUUCUUAACAUUAGCACAAAGAGCACACCAUAUGGGUGCUUAAAAAAUGAAAAAGAAAAAAAAGAAGUCAGAAUUUGUUUGAACGGAGAUAAAUUUUGAAAGAUGCGAGGGACGUUAAUGUAAUUUGGAAAAUGAAAUAUUUAUGGGACUAAUUUCCACUCAUCUUGACCAUUUAAAUUAUUUAUAUCCUGUUUCUACAAUUCAUUUUGGUAAAAUAUCUGCUGAUCUUUUUUCUACGUAAUAUUCUGUAGGAUUAAUGUACGAUUGCAAUUUAUGAAAGAUAGAGUGAGAUGAUGAUUACAACAAGAUUUCGUGAUUUUUCCUGCAAACACACUUAAGAGAAAUUAUAUUCACCGUUGGUAUUUCAUUAGUUAAUAUACAAAGUACAAACAAUGACAAACGAGUCAAAUUAUAAAACUGAACCCGACUGAAAAAAAUUCUAUCUUUGAUUUCAUAGUGUUUGUGAAAGUUCUUAUUUCACAAAACAAACUUGUGUCUUCACGGUUUGGUUUAUUCUUAAUAUUUCCAAGAAACAAAAGAAAAAAAAAAUUGCACUUUCAAGUUAUGUUGAUGGGUCGAUAAUUUUAAUUUUUUUGAUGUACUAUAUCUCUUGCACUAUGGUAUCUUCUCUUCUAUGAUUGUACUUGGCCUUCUAAUAGCAUUCCAAAAAAAUAAAAAUAAAAACAAGAUAAUGCUUUCGAUUUGGAGCAAAUACUGUUCUAACAAAAUUUCACGUGAAAGAAAAAAGGUCAAUUAGUCAUGAACCCGUGCCAUGCAGAGGCACAAAAACUAACGUGAAUAAAUUUAGCGUGAAGAUAUAAUUGUAGUAUCCUAAUCUCUAUUGAAUCCAUGAGCUGUUUUCGUCAUUCACCUCUUAAAAUUGAAAACCACCAUCAAUCACCACUGCCCAUAUCUAAAUAUAGUUCUUUUUAGAGAAAGAAUUGUUCAUCGUUAGAAACUUACAAGUGGUGUCAUCGGCUCAAUCCAAUAUAAAUGGUGUGAAUUGCACCUGUCAUGUUUACUCUAUUUCUAAUAUAACAUAAUACCUUAAAUAUUAAAAAAAAAAAGAUGAGAUUUGUCUCAGUUUAGGUCCCAUCCAAUUUUACUAUAAGGAUUCUCCUACAAAUAAAAAGUGUGGCAAAAGAGUAAACUCCCACUUUUGUAUGGUACUUGUUCUCUAAUGAACACGUCCCACACCUUUAACAGUUUAAUAAUAUUCUCUUCAUCGACCCGUCGUAUCAUCCCCAAUCCUUAUCACCAUUCUCAUCUUAUUUUUAAGAGCUAAGUCACAAUGUCUCAUAAAACUAAGGAUAAUGUCAACAGAACACGCAAAUAGCAUGUGUCUAGAGAAUUGUGGACAUCAAGCAAACUCCAAUUACAAAUAUAAUACCAUUUCUAGGUCAAAUUUUGCUUUUGCGUGUCACAAAUGCAUUUUCUUGAAUAGUUCAAGGGGGGGCACCACUGGCUCAAAAUUACUUUGCUCUGGAAAUGCAUGUUGUUAUUAAAGUGAAUACUAAUUUCUAAUAUCUAAUUCGCCUCUUAAGAAGCAUGCCCAUGCUAAAAACGAACGCCAAUAAUUUACAUUAACAUACCUCUAGAAAACCUAUCUGACAAAAGUGGGUACUGACAGCUAUAUAAGUUCCAUAACGGUGGAAUACUCCACUCACUCUCUUUGCCAGGUGAGACACAGGCUUAAUUAAGUCCGACUGCACAGUUCAAACAGGGAAUAUCUGAACUUAAUGGUGCAAGGAAUUAAAUAUAAUGAGGAUAAUCUACAUUCACUAGCACGUUCCUUAACGACUAAACCGGCUGCGUAGGGUUGCCUCUCAGAAAUUUCAGCCGAAUCUUUCAAAAAACUAUCAACCGUACCUUAUUUUGCUUUGGGUAAAUCCUAAAGAACUUGACCAUAGGAUGAACUCCCAAGAAAAAACAACUCACUAGAUAUGGCUCCUUGGUGCUUAACCGAGCAUGGCUGGGUGUCCGCUUUUAUCGAGAAUCGCACUGCUAAGCCGUUCGUGCGACUGGUUGAGUCUUGCUGGAGGCCCAGCCACUGACCAGUAGCUUUGGCUACUUGCGACCUCUGUCAUGGACAUCUCAGCCUUGUUCCUCUGGAAGUCUGUGCCAUGUCAAACUGCAAAGUCCCUCGUCCACGGGUUCUUUAAUACAUAUUGAGUCGCGGCUUGAUGUAUCUGUGGUCAAGCUCGGGACGCUAAUCCAAUAAAAAGUUUAAAUAGAGUUCUGUGUGUUUGGAGUAAAUGCUCUUUUAAAAUUUCGGUGCUUGAACGUUAUCGGAUACUGUCACUGAUCAGCUAAACUUUCGGGGGAAAAAUAAAAAGUAUUGGCCGUCUGGGAUUUUGUCACCAUCUUUUAGUAAUUAAAUGAUCACCAUCUUUUACUAAUUAAAUGAUCUCUUUUAGCAACGAAGUUAAGCGGUACUUUUUGACUUAUGCAAAAAGAAACGGUGCCAGUCUCAGGAAACGGACAUACGUAUCUUCACUCUUUUGUUUUGGUAAAAUACACGAGUAGAUUUCUCCAGAAACUCUCCUCUGGCAGAGUUUGCCAAAAGAUACUGCCCAGCAACAACAACCUAUAUGUUAGAAAUCUUAAUCUAACAAUAACACCGAGAAAGGAAGUCAAUUAUUUUAUUUUUAGUUGGCCUAAAACCAACUCUUUUCCAAUUCCCAUCUAAAUCUAAAAUAUUAUUUAAAUACUAUCACCUUUUGAACAUACAUGACAAGAGAAGUUUCAUUUUUAAAAGCAAUGAUUAAACACUUGAUAAGAGAAUUUAACGAAUUGAGGGAAUCGGGUUCUUCCUUAGCUACUUAAGUUAUCCAUGGGCACUCUUUAACAUUUGUAUGUUUUAAAAGUUUCACGUAUUUCACCUUGGAUAAAAGUCAAAAUUCAUACAUUACAAGAUUCAGAAAAAGCAGAAGGUAAAACAUGUUUCGUUUUCAAUUUUUUAAAGCAAGAAGCAUUGUUGUUUUUGUUUAAAAUAUUGUUUAAAUUUCAAAAGAUUAUGAAUAUAUUAUAUGUGAGUUAAAAUGUCAACAUAUAUGCAUAGCGAGAGGUAAAAAGAUGACAAAUUGUGUAAGUCUAGGAUUUAGAAAACCAAAAAUAAAAAAUAAAAAGUCAAUUUAGACACUCGAUUGAUUUGAUAUGCAGGGGUCUCCUUCAGUUUUCCACAUGAUCGGAUAUCUUUGCCCCCAUGGCUGUCCCUCUACAUGCACAAGUGAACUGUUUAAAACCUUACUGAGCUCAAGGUUCCUUCAAUUGCACUGCAAGGCUUUAAGGGGAGACUUUAACGAACUGUUUUCUGAAUUAAGAUGGCUUCGAUGGUUAGGCGUUGAACCCAACAAGUCUUCUUUGGCAAUCAAUUUACAUCUACCUAAACUAGUGGUGCUAGAGUUGUCACGAAACAAGCUCACAGAGGAUUGGAGCGGAUGGAGUUUAAUCAUGGUAAGAUUGAAAAAAAAAACAUUCUCUGUGAUCUUUGCUUUGUAUUGUCUUGUCCAUUAAACUCCUUUUUUGACAGCUUAUUCUCCUUUGUACAGGAGGCAGAGGGACUAAGAGUUCUCGACCUUUCAGGUAGCGUUCAUUUAAAAGGUACUCCUAAUUUCUCAGCUUUCACAAAAUUGGAGAUUCUUAUGUUGAGCAAUUGUCAAAUACUGAAGAAAGUCUGCCCUUCUAUUGGCAAAGUCAAGAGCCUUGUUUCCUUGGACUUGAGAGGCUGUUCCUCUAUCAGAGAGCUACCAAAGGAAGUGGGUGAAUUGCAAAACCUAAAAGAACUUCUUUUAGAUCAAACCCUUAUUAGAGAGAUUCCUUCGUCAAUCAGUUCUCUGAGGAUGCUAAAGAAACUAAGUGCCUUGAAUUGUUGCUCGUUGGUUGGAAUCCCUUCAAUUGGGAAACUUACUUCUCUCCAACACCUCGACCUAGGUGGGUGUUGGUCAUUGAGAGAUAUCCCUAACUUAGAGAAUCUUUCUUCUCUCCAACAUCUUAACCUCUCUGAAUGUUGGUCAUUGAAGAAACUCCCUGACUCAAUUGGGAAUCUUUCUUCUCUAGAAUACCUUGACCUCUCUAAUUAUUUCGGUAGGCAUUUUAAUCAUCGACCUUUUUGCUCAAGUCCUUUAUCAUCGGGAGUACUCACUAUUUCCCAGGCGAACAGUUUUCUCGGAGAAGCUGAUCUAAGCCAUCUCAAGUUUUUGACAGAAAUCCCUUUCUCAAUUGGGAACUUACAGAACUUACAAUAUAUGGACAUUAGUUUUUCUGCUAUUAAAGGGUUCCCCCGUGCUAUUGGAAGGCUUGAAAAACUACGGAGGCUAAUUUUUAAAUCCAGCGAUUAUGAGAGAGUGGGAUUUAUAGAAACACUCUGUAAAAAAUUUCCUUCGCUUUUCAACAUCAUUCACACAUUCCAAUCUAUGCAGAAACGUUCUCUUCUCGAUUUUCUUCCCAGAUCCCAUGAUGAUCUCCGAGUGUUGUUACGGACUUCUUCCGGCUUAACAUAUAUUCAUGUCUAUUACCCGAUUUGCAGAUUGCCCCGGCUUUCUUGCCUAAAAGAACUAGAAGAACUUCAUCUUGAUGGAUGCAAUGAACUUGAGUACAUCCCAGAGCUUCCCCCAAGCCUCUUGAAACUUUGUGUUGACUCCUGUCCUAAGCUGAUAUUGCCUGAGUUUGACAAAUUCAAGUACUUGGAAGAGUUGUCAAUAAAACGCUACAAUUCCAUUGAAAGAAUGGACAUCUCAAAAUUGAAUCGUCUGAAAGGAUUGGACAUUGAGGAUUGCGAUAAUCUAGUUGAAAUUCAGGGCCAAGGUAAAUUAGAGUUCUUGGAGACUAUAAAUAUAUGUAGGUGCAAGUCCAUUGAAAGGCUGAUCCUUCCAAAAUUACAGUGUUUGAAGCGACUACAUGCUCUCUCUUGCAACAAUCUUGUUGAAAUUCGAGGUCUUGAUACAGAGUUGUUAGAGGUGUUGGAUAUCUCUGAUUAUCGGUUAAAUGCUGACUUGCCAAGCGUACUGCUCCCGAAUAAUAAGUUGGAAAAGAUAGUUUUAUCUGGCUUGUGUUUGAAGCAAUUAAAGGUUCACUCUUGCGAUAAUCUAGUUGAAAUGCAAGGUCUUGAUAAGGCAGAGUUGUUUGAGUCCAUUGAAAGAAUUCCUGACUUACCAAGCUUCGUGACCCUGAAAAAGUUGGAAAAGCUAGUUUUAUCUGGCUGCAGGUCCAUCAAGAAGCUGAUCCUUCCAGAAUUGGUGUGUUUGAAGCAAUUAAAGGUUGACUCUUGCCACAAUCUAGUCGAAAUACGAGGUCUUGAUAAGGCGGAGUUGUUGGAGGAAUUAGAUAUCUCUGAUUGUCGGUCCAUUGAAAGAUUACCUGACCUAUCAUGCUUCGCAACCCUAAAAGAGUUGAAUAUCAAUGAGUGUUACAAUCUACGUGAUAUUGAGAGCCUUGAGAGAUUCUCGUCUUGCCGAAGCAUAUAUAUAGAAGGGUGCAAUUCCCUAGAAAAAUUACCGAACCUAUCGAAAUUUGAAAAUUUAGAGCAUUUUACAUUGAUGGAAUGCUUUGUUACAGAGAUUCCUGGGCUCGAGGAGUCAGUAUCUCUGAAACAUGUAAGGAUUAUAGAAUGCAACGAAAUUGAGACUUUGCCAGAUUUGUCGGGAUGUAAGAAGUUGCAUGCUCUUGUGUUACACUGCAUGAAACUCACUCAACUAAAAUUACCUGAAACAAACGCGGCCUGUAGUUGUGAUCCAUGGUAUGAAGAUGUUGAGUGCAUUAUUUUGCGAUAAUAAUGAGGUGAUAAUUCUUAAGCUACAACAAUAAGACGCGUCAUGUUUCCUUAGUAGAGGUAAGCAAGUACGCUAGCAUUUUUUUUUUUCUGAGAUACAUAACCUACUUGUGAUUACUAUCUUCUUUUAACAAGGUCUUCCUUGACAGGUUUUCGUACUUUCCUGAAUUCCAAGUCUCACAUGGGGUAGUUGGUCGUGGAAGCUGACAUGAUGCUUCGGCCCAGAUAAAAUUGUAGAUCCAAGUGUGAUUCUUCGUACAUUAGAAGGCAUCGGUCGUCCGGUAAGAUUCUUCAUCCCUUAACAAUUAGCAUGAGCGAACAGAGUAAUAAUUUUCUCAAGGAUAUAUCAUUUAAGAAUUUUUGCUCAACAUUAGGUAUCGAUUUGAUCUGGAUUUGCCUAAAUAUAUAUCCUAUUGAUUGCAUUAUGGCAAUGUAUUUUCGGCUAUACUUUCAUUGGCAACUUUUGCAGACAGAUUGGCAGCUUGCGAGGCAACAAAUGAAAAUAUCAACAUAGGUAAACAAGAAUUACUAGCGAUUCACAGUUUCCCUCUUGGUAAACCUAAGAUGAAAUUUUUUCAUAAAGAGGCUGAUGAUCUACUACUCAAUAUUAUAAACUGCGCCCAGAUCCCUCUCUCUCUCUCUCUCUCUCUCUCUCUCUCUCUCUCUCUCUCUCUCUCUCUCAAACUAGCAUUUUCCUUAAAAAAAUCCUUGGUCAUUUUGAACUCCUUUUGUGAGCAGUUUUAUGUGUCAAAUUUGACUAAUGGUAGAUAUCCGGUUUAGAACAAACACCUCUCGAUUUUUCGUGAUGAUUGGAAAGCCUGUCAAGUUUCUUAUUGUUCAUUCAAGUAUGAAUUCUGAAUAAGGAAGAGAAACUGAGCUAAAAUAAAAAUCAAGGUUCAAGUUUUUCUGGUGGGUGAUUUAGCAAAAUGAAAAUUAGUUUUGGCUGGCCUGUUUCAUAAAUAUUUGUAGAAAGGCUUUCCAUAACCAAUUGCCGAAGUGUUGGUUUGAAAAAUUAUCAAGUGAAGUAAGUUGGUGCAGCUUUUGUGACAGCUCUGGCUGGUCUAUUUGAUGGUCAAGGCCUACCUUUGUACUUCAAUUCAAAUGACCUAUUGCAUGAUUGGAACAAUUUUUUGCCUGUUGUCUAAAACUAGCUAGGCGUGGCAUUUGUGAUUUUGCUAAUUAGUUUGCAUCCUGUUUGAUCCUGUUGUUGUCGUAGAAUCAUUUCAUUGCAUGAUUGAUCUCGGUUUGGCUAACUUGGCUUAGGAAAUUCAAAUUCCAUACCAGAGACCGAUCAAAAUGAAGAAGAGAGAUUUUGCCAAGGAAUCAUGAACAACAGCUGAGGGCAAGCUUUUGUGCCGACCUUAAAGAGGCUCACAGGCCAACUGGAGUGUCCUGAGGAAGUGUUUUAUACCUGUGAAGAUUAAAGCGCUUGAUCUGGUCUCAAAGGCACAUAACCGAGUGAUUGAGAACAAUUUUUUUUUUUCAAUUGAACCUGCUUUUGGUAUGCUUAUUAGGUUUUACUUAAUCAAGUAUCGAAGUGCUCAAUUUUCUGCAUGUUGCCCUGAUGCAGAGUUCUUUGAUGCAAUUGUGUUCUAAUGAUAUCAUUCCCGAACUCAAUCAGGCUCUGCUGAUAAAGGUAUGCACUGCCUGUCCUACCAUAACUAAUGAGAGAGUAACUUGUCUGCCUAUACUUAAUUGAAUGUGCUUCCUAUAUGCUUGUUAGGUUCUACCUCUCUGUUAAUCAACUACAUACCUACUGAUAUUCUGCGUGUUGACCUGACACAGGUGUCUGAUACUGUAUCGUUCUACCGAUAUCACUCUCAAACACAAUGAGGCUCUGCAAAGGUUGGUAUGCACUGCCAGAUAUACCAUAACUGUGAUAGAGUAACUUGUGCGCUUAUACUAUAUCAGCUGUGGAAUUUCACUGGAAAAUCCAUAAACUAGGAUGCAUGAUGAUAAUAUCCUCUUUUCUGUCAGUUUCUAAUAUCCUUUGCAUGUUGUGAUAAAGGUCUCUGAUACAACGAGCUUAGAUCUCAUGUAUGCGGUGUAGAAUUUGUUAAGUUAAAUGUAGUCUCCUAGCAAACAAUCCCUUAUUGCUGAUUUUGCUUAUUAGAUAUUGCAAAAUAACCAAGUGACAAAUGCAUCUUUCUGUUUUGUAGUUUGGGCACUUCAACUUUUCAACAUCGGUUCUGUUGCCAAGCACAAACAAGGAAGGUGGUGCUAUUUGCUUACUUCUCUCCUCCUAUGUUGUUUUCUUUUUCUUUGCUUGAUAUUGAAGUCUCCGUUGAGUGCUAUCCCAAUGCAAGCUAAUCAGAGACGCGUGUAAUGUGUAGCAAAAACAAUGUCCCCAGGUUUUGGUGUUGACACAAGUAUUUCAUUGAAGAGGAAAUUAAUAGAUCACCAGAAUCUGGACCAGGUCAAAGUAAUCUUGUUUAUAUUAAUGGACUCUCAAGUCUUUGCUUACAACUUUCAGCUAAUUUUGGACGCUCCAUACAAAAUACAUCUAAAAAUAGAAAGAACUAACCAAGGAUCAAUGCAGUCACGCCAAUAUCUCUCGUUGAGAUGAUUGGAAAGUGUAACACAGUUUACUCUCAGCCAUCUCGUGUACCUCAUGCAUCAUCCUCUUUUCUUGACCAUUUUUAACUAGUGCUCUGGUGGAGUUUAGUCAUAAGUCUCAUAAGGUUGAAUUUGCUAGUGUUCGUAACUUUUGAUGAAUAUGAUAAGUGAACCUGAAUUUAUCGUACAAUAAACAACCUGAAACUAUCGUACAUUCUUUUCCUGAAUCUUUUACAAGGUUCAUAUAAAGCUACUAGAAUAAUUAAUUAUUUUCAAACUCUCAUGGGACAACAGCUAUUAGGAAGCCAAUGAGUGUGAGACCCACUUACAAGGUUUAUAUUUGAUGAUGCAGAAACUUUUGCAUGACUUGCCUCGAAGGACACAACCAAGACAAGGCAACAAAAUCUCACCAAGGAAUGAUAAAGGCUGAAAGAAUAAGAGGAAGAAGAACUUUGCGCCAUCUUUUUUGUGAUCAGUCUUUACAACUUUCUGGUUGUGUUUCGUAAGGCUGUUUGAAAGUCUUUGUUCAUGAAAUUUUGAACCCCGUGUUCACUUUCUGGCAAAGAUCUUCAAUUAUUUUUAUAGAAGCCAUUGGUCAUCAUGGUCAAGGAAGAAGGAAAUGAAGCGGAAGAUGAAGAAGGUUUUAUUUGUGCAAUUUUGUUUAUUUCCUAGUUAGUAAUGCCAUAUGCCUCAACUGAGUUGACAACAAAAUGUGCUGAAAAUCUCAGAAAAUCGAAAGAGAAUGUAUUCCAAGUUCGAACACAACAGAAGGAUUGCAGCUACCCCUACUACCAGGACCUUAUGUGGACUCGGCUGCCGCCUCCUCUGUGGUAUAACUGGUAUGAUGAUUGGUUCAUGAAAUAAUUGAUAUAAUGCCAAAGUGCUUAUUUACAAGUCCCCUCUAUUCAUUCAGUAGUAUAAGCUAGCACGAGUUCAUUUUUUCAUUCUCAUAUCAGCAUUAGCAUCACAGAGUUGGGUCUUCCAAUUCCCAAGGAAUUGAAUGUUGUUUUUUGGUUCCUUUUUUUUUUCCUUUGCAGAGUUUUGUACCGAUAAACUGUCAACGCUCCUUGCGAUAGCCUUCGAUGAUUGUGGUGUACACGAUCCCAUCUAGCGCCCAGCCUCUUUCUUCCAAAUUCGUCAGCAAUCGAACGGCUUUCCUAUUAUUGCCGGUUCUGCACAAUCCCCCACCAUGACUCCGCAUGUGGCUAUAUGUCCCCCGAUUUAUCUGGCAACCAUUACAUCUGCCAGGCUCAUGGCUUCGGCAAUUUAAUCCUCUCCGACAAGGCCAUUGAUCGAAGUGUUACAGCGCACGGAAGUGGGUUCAAGUGCAAGUUCGACCAUUUUACACAAAACUGAGAACCCGGGAUCGAAUCUUUUCAAUUGGCAGAGGUAAUUCAUCAAAUUGCUGCGAGUAAAAACAUUGGGAGUCGUUCCUUUCGAAUCCAUCCGCUCGAUCAUGUCAAUGGUGACAUUCGAGCGAAACAGGGAGGUGAAGGCAAAUGGUUCAUCCGAAUCGUCCUCUUCAAGUAGAACAAAGAGUCGGCAGCUUCCACCAAUGCACCAUUUUUGCAUUUGUUCGCCAGAAAGGCCACAGUUCGGAUCAUGCUUUGAAGAUCGGCGCCGUUCUGACAAUUCUGGAGUACAAUAUUAUUUUGUUUCCUUCCCUUCCACCGAUAAAAGGAGAAGACGUCUGGAGCUCGAGAUGCAGCAAAAGGAAAGAGCUCAAGAGAGAGCGAAAAGAAAGAGCUCGAGAGAGUGUGAGAGUCGAGAGAGCUCAGAGAGGCUUUGUGCUGAGUCGAGUCCAUUGAGUUGUUUUGUUAAACACCGUGGGUAUCGGGUAUAAGGGGCUGGGAAACACUUGAGUGCAUGUGUGAUUGUAAUUCUGUAAUUCUCCGAUUUAUAGUGGAUAUAUUUGCUGACUUUCCUCGUGGACGUUGGUUCCGAUAUUCAGACCGAAUCACGUAAAUUUUUAAUGUCCUUAUUUUUCUUGUUCCUCGUUUUAUUUCGAUCGAUUUUUAUAACUCCCGUCAUAAUUGCAAAAUUACAAUCCGCUUCUGUUGCGACACGAUUACAACAGAGAGGAUGAUUGUUAGGCAGUCCAAUCACUAAAAACUUUAGAUGUCUGAUAAUAACAUAGUUUUCAGUUCAAUCAUCGGAAAUUAUUUUGAUUGUCAAACUGAACAUUUCUAGAAAUACUCUAACCGAUUCAUUCCCAUCAGUUUCGCAUUUUGCAGUUUGAUAAGAUGUUUGUCCCGAACACGUGCUUGAAUCUGCAAGGCAGUUGAAGAGAGGUCAGUAUGCAUAAUUAGAAUGGAUCGAUAUCUCACACAACGACGACGACUAAUACUAGUGGAGUCAAAGUAUGGCCUGUCGAAAUAAACGUAUCUAGCCUUAUUACGAUCAGCCAAAAAAAUGAGAAAAUAAUACGAACGUUGCUACUCUUGUCGUUGUGUGCACAGAACGUAUUACAUUAUAUCAAUUUAACAUUUUGUUUUUGGUCUAUUCGAUAUUAUUCCAUUCUACUUUCUUUCCAAUACCUCUCAAGGAAAAUCCCGAAUUGGAUUCAUAAAUUGAUGGGUUAGUGUGAGCUUAUUCAUGCAGUUAUGCACUCUUCCAAUAAGAAUCCAUGUUUUGAAAGAUCCUAGCCUUGAGGCAGGCAUCCUGUCUCAUAUAUUGCAAAAUGACGUCACCGGAAAAAAAUUUAUAUGUAUUUUUGGGCUGGAUGGUUUACAUGUGAAGUACAUAACUUCAUGAAAGAGCAUUAUAUUUCGUUCUUUUCUCCGAUGGCGUAGGUCUGCUUAUUCAGUGCAUAAGCUCUAAACAUGUAAAGACCGUGUUAAUUCACCUAGUUGAAGUGAGUUGAGGUGAGUAAGAGAUGGCUCAGACACCAAUUGGCUGCUAUAUUAGAAAAAAAAAAUGCUAAUGGAUUAAGAAAAAUUGUACGCUGUAAAUCUGGACUGCGAAAUCCAUUGUUUGUCUUUGAUAAUGUGGUUUUGCAAAAAUCGAUUCCAUAACAUGCGCUUAAUCCACAUGCGCAAGUUCCUUGUGAAUCACAAAACCAAUUGCAUGAGUAGUGUCAGGAAAAAAAAUCAUGAGUUAUGACAUUUGAAUGAACGAAAAUGAAAACAUUCUUUUUCCCCACCUUCAAAUUGUCCCCAUUUUCCCAGAGAGUAUAGUUUACAAUUCGUUUCUCAUCUUAAGGAUAACAAUCGUGCAUGAUAGCAAUCGUGCAUGAUAGCGCAAAACAGACGUAGAAUUUUAACCAAUAACUCCUUCUUUUAUGCUUAUCUUAUCAUCAUGUUGUUCAAUUGAGUAAAACACGCGACUAAUUAGCGAUUCCACAGUAUGAGGACAUGGAAAGACAAUAAUUUACAAUUUAACUAGACAUGAAACCGAACGUCACACGGAAAUAAAUUAUAAAAAGAGAAAACUAAUAAUUAUCAAUAAGGGAAUAAGUAUUGUAAAUGAUUCUUUUAUUCAUUUGCUCCCUAACAUAAAGGACCAUUUCAUGAAAGAACAUGAGUUGUCAAGUGUAAUUAAUGACAAUAAAAGGCAAGUCUUUGAGGUGAAGAGACCAUGACAAACGGUCCAUAAUGAAAUGUAAAUAUAUGCCUAGGUGGAGCUUUUUUGGUGGAGAAUACAAUAAAUCCGAGUUUUGCAAUAUGAAUAACACUUCUCUAGUUAUCUUAAAUCUUAUGCGUCAUUAUGGGAAGUGAUGCUUUAGCAAUACUCUGUUAUUACAUGUUUAUAUAGAAUGAGACCAUAUAGAAUUUGUAAUACCCUGUAACUUAAGGAUUCCGCAUGAACGUUUUCAUGGUACAUCGAUUUUUUUUUUCUUCUAGGUUUUGCCGGAUGGGGGAGUCCAGGUAAAAACUAGUUGUGCGAUGUAUGAGUCUUACCUAGAUCAUAAGACAAACUUCAAUUGAUGCAAAAACAACCCUUCACAUCAUUAAGUGGAAAGUAUACAAUAAUAGGUGCAAGAUAGACCCAGCUAGCUAAUUGCCGAUAUAUCUCAUAACAAAUUAGCAGAUAUUUCAAUGGAAAAUGCAUCUAAAAGUGUAAGAACUCAGAGAAAAUCUCAUGGAUCGAUGUAGCAGCAUAAUAGUUGAUUUUUUUGGAUAGAUUUACUUGCCAAAACUUGUCGGAAAAAGAAAUCCUACCCACAUAUGGAAGGUGCAUAUCGCCAGUUUUUUCGUUCGAUAUAUAUAUAUAUAUAUAUAUAUAUAUAUAUAUAUAUAUAUAUAUAUAUAUAUAUAUAUAUAUAUAUUCAGAGAGUGCAUGCAUCUUCCAAUUUUUUUUUUUUUUUUUUGUACAUCCAUGUACUAGAGAUUCUGCAUUGGCAGAUAGAAGAAGCGUUGUGCAGUAAUUUCAAAUUAGGGAAAAGACCAUAAAAAAAUCACAAACUUUAUCUAAAGUGGCAAAUUUACCUCAAUUUUUUUGUUUGUGACAUGAAAAAUCCCAAACUUUGCAAACUAUGACACAUUUACCCCAUCAAUGGUAUUUUCGUUUUUUUUUUCCUAUUUUUUCCUAUUUUUUUCUUUUUUUCUUCUUCUUCUCUCUUCCCUCCGCGGAGGGAAGCCCGUGUCUAGUGAGGGCUGCCCUCGCCGGCAUCGGGGGAGGGUCGCUCUUGUCAAACUUGGGCGAGGGGUGCCCUCGCUGGCACCGAGCGAGGGCCGUCCUCACCCAACGCAGGCGAGGGCGGCCCUCAUCAACCCUAGCUAGCCUAGGCGAGGGCGACCCUCACCCAAUGCUAGCGAGGGCAGCCCUCGCCGAAUGCUGGCUUCCCUCCGCCAUGGCCAGCAGAGGGAAGAGAGGAGAAGAAGAAGAAGAAAAAAUUUAAAAAGUAAAAAAACCAAAAUGUUCUCUAGUUUAGGGUAAAUAUGUUAUAAGGAUAGAAGUUCAGAGUUUUUUGUGUCAUGAAAAAAAGUUUAAGAUAAAUAUAUCACGGUUGGCAAAUUUCGGGUUUUUCAUGUCACAAAAAAAAGUUUGAGAUAAAUGUGUUAGUUUGAGUAAAGUUUGGGGUUUUUGGUGGUUUUUUUCCUUUAAAUUAUUGGGUGAAGUUAUGAAUCCAACAGUCCGAGGAUGGUAUAGAAUAGGUCUUGGAUGAAGAUACUAAUCAACAUCCUUUUGUUCCUAUACGUAUUUUCUAUUGGUUACUUUUUAAGUCAAUGACACGUGUACAGUUGCUACUACAUUGAGCAUUUCCAGAUAUGCAAAGAUUAGUGAAAAUGAUUAAUGUACGUUGUUGGGUCUUGUUUGGUUUAAUUAAUAAGAAACUAAUAAGUGAANNNNNNNNNNNNNNNNNNNNNNNNNNNNNNNNNNNNNNNNNNNNNNNNNNNNNNNNNNNNNNNNNNNNNNNNNNNNNNNNNNNNNNNNNNNNNNNNNNNNAUUUCUUUUUUACUUUCCAGGGGUUUAUACCAAUAAAUUGUCGAAUCUCUUUUUGCUUUGUCAAAAUGUCACAGUCAGCAUUAAAACUGAAUUGCAUUUUAAACUUAUUAUUGAUAAGAAAAUUUGACAGUAGAUUCACUUAUAACGUCUCAGCUAGAAAUGUCCAUCAGUUUUCCGACUCAGCUGAUUGAGAGGGAUGACAGAGUCCUCAUCGCUCAAGUUCUACCUAGAUGUCUGUUAUGGCACUGAAAUUGAAGCGUAGCUGGAGAUUAUUUCUUCAGUGCCAGAGCUGUCAUUGUGUGUCAGCAAUAUAUCGAACUGUCUAGAUUCCAUGCUGAUUGGAUGAUACAACUGUGUUGUCAACAUGGAGUAGUUUGGUGGCACUUCGCAGCUUGAUCUAGGGCUAUUCAACUCGGUGCCAUUCAAUGGAUUUCCACUAAUUUAUGUAAUUCUUGAACGUAUAUUUCCAUGGAAGGUUCUUCCGUGCUUUUCCUCAUAAAUGCUGAGGAAAAUCAAUGCCAUACAUAGCAAUACAUUGCCUCAGUCCCUUCUUUAUAUGAGCUAUUAGAUUGGCUGUUCUAGUUAUGGUUGAUUAGUUUUUGACGCAGCUAUUCACAGUGACGCAGUUCAUGGAGGUUGUAAUUGUUGUUGUCAUAUGGUGAGGACUGCAGGAGACUGUCGAACUACCCAUCUGGUCCCUGAUUUGCUGAAUCAUUAUUACAAUCUUCCAGCUGACAGGAUAAUUGGGCAUCCUAGCAAAUUGUCAGCUGAUCAUUUAAGCACAUGUCGAGAUUUUUGCAAUUUUAGCAAAAUAAUUUCAGACAGCACUAGUGCUUCGAGAAAUCUUGUUGACAUUGGAGAGUUUCUCAAACCUCUUGUUAGAGAUGCUAAAUUCAUUUUUCAAUGACAUGCUUGGCAUCAGUACGUAGAAAUUCAUCUACACUACAUUUAAUAUGAGACUGGUAAAAAUUCUGUUUCUUGAGAGUAUUAGAAAAAACAGGGGGAAGUAGAGUAGAGUGGGACCAUAACAAAUGUUGAUUGAAAGAAAAAUCUAGUGCAAUUCCAGACAAACGUCAUUAGUCGAGAAUGCAGUUCCAAAAUACCAGCCAAAACCGGCAUUUCAUACGUGCAAGUUGCCCUAAAAAUGUCACCUUCAAAUCAUUGCCUAAUCAAUCCAAUGGUCUUUUGCAGCUGGCAGCCUCUCUAUAAAAUUACUUUGCAGGUGGUGACAUCAAGCCUGCGACCUGCACCCUGGAGCCUCCUUCUGUCAUUGCAUUUGAUCAGAUGAAGCCUGCAGCCUCUUUCCGUUAAAUUCAUCAGAAAUCUGACGGCCUUUGCGGUGUUGCACGGCCCCACAGCCAUGACUCACAUUGGCUAUAUAUCCUUUGGCAAACAUUUCAUCCACCAAACUCAUGGCACGGCUCGUGCAAUUUAACCUUUUCCUUAAAACCCAUUGAUCAAAGGGGAAAGCUCACAACAUCUGGUUCGAGUCCAAGCUUGAAGACUACUCAAAACAGAGAACCCAAGAUGAGAUAUUUUCAAGUGGCAAGAGGCAAUUUAUCAUAAUCUUGAGAUUAAGGGUGUGUGCGUCAUUGCAGCAACCUCUGAAAGUUAAAACAUACUAAAUUCUACGGCAAGUUUACAGAAAACAUUGAAAAGACAGUUAAAGGAAAGAGCCGUGCUCAAUCUAUUACUAGGAUUAAUAGCCCAAACAGACGUUAAAAAAGAUCUCAUUGUAGCUUGGCAGAUUCAUUUUUCAUACUCUUAUACCAUCAGCAUCAUAAAGAUUCUUUGCUGGUCUUCCGAUUCCAAUGGAAAUGAAGAGAUAUUAGGCAGGCAUGCCUUAAUUCCCUCAUGGACUGCCUAAAUUUUCUAAAUGCAUGUACCUUUUUAUCUUCUGCAAGUUGGAAAAUGCUAAAUCUAUAGCAAGCUUCUAGUGAAACACAGCUAAGGAUACGAACCAUGACACAAUCCACUACAAAGAUUAAUAGCCUGAAGGUUCAAUGAGAAAACAGAUGUAAGAAAGAGCUCUUGUUGUAGUUCGGUGGAGUUCUGAAGAUGGUGAUGAACCUACGUGAGUUUCAUUGGCAGGAGACUCAUAGAUGACGCAAUGUGGACCGGUCAUGUUUGUGUUAGUGUUCUCUCAAGUCCAUGCAUACAACUUUCAGCUAAUUUUAGAGUCUUCAUACCCAAUAUAGCCAAAACAGACAGAACCAUGGAUCAAUGCAGCCGCUCCAAUCCUCUCUCAUCGAGAUAAGAUCUCUCUACCAUCAUAUCGUGCAACCAAUGCAUCGCCCUCAAUUUCUGACCAUUUUUAACAAGUGCUCGGGUGGAGAGUGUCCCUUCUCUUUCAUUUCCUGAAGCAGCUCAUAGGCAUCACUCAUUCGGUUGGCUUUACAUAGCCCUGCAAUUAUAGCACCAAAUAACAAAGCAUCAUGUUGCGAACCUUUCUCAGGCAAAGCACUGAAGAGUUCUAUAGCAUCUUCAAGUUUCCCUGCCUCACAAGCCGCUAAUAAGGGUGUCAUAGCUGAUGAUAUGGACAUUUCCAUCUUCCACUUGUCUAUACAAAGCAAUUGGCUAGUGAACCUGGUGACAUUACAAAGAUCAUCUAACAUUGUUGAUUGUUGUUGAUUUAAAUGAUCGCAACUAGCUAGAAUUUUGUAAAACAAAUGCGCAACCCAAGGCAGUUCAAUGGAGAAAAAGCCACCCCCGAGAUAGUUAUAGGUAGCAACAUCAGGGACUGAUCCAUUCUCUAACAUUCAUGAAUCAAUGUUAGACUGGUUGUGGGAGAAAGCGAGCAGUUUUGUGCAAUCAUCAAAUGAAAUGUAGCGGGUGCAUCAUCCAUCUAAUUUUAAUAACAGUAACCACCAAGUAAUGAAUUAUAUGCAACUAGGUCGGCGUAAAUCCUCCUCAGAUCAUCAGAUCAAAGAUGCACUUUGCCUUGGUAGCCCUGCCCACCCCACUUUGCAAAGUGCAUCCACAAUGAUACUGAUGGUUCGAACAUCUGCCAUCGUUCCUCUUUGCAGCAUCUCAGUUAACGCAACUGAAGCCUCUUCCCAGUGGCCACCACAGCAUAGGCCUUCGAUUAAGGAGUUACAAGUGAAAACAUGUGGCCAGAUUCCAUUGCUCAUCAGCUUGUCCAACAAAACCUUUGCUUCUUUCCAUUAACCUAUGCAAGUUGAGCAAGGGAUGACAUUUGGGCAUCAGGCAUAGUAUUAUAGAACUUCAAAGCCUCUGUCCCGGUGCCUCCUAUGAUCGUGGUAUACAUGAUCACAUCUAGCUCCCAGUGUCUUCCAAAUUCUUCGGCAAUCGAACGGUUUUCCUAGCCUUGCCGGUUAUGCACAAUCUGUCACUAUGGCUCCACACGUGGUCAUAUCUACCUUGAUUCAUCUGACCAACAUUUCAUCCGCCAAGCUCGUGGCUCCGGCAAUUUUACCAUCCUCAACAAGCCCGUUGAUCAAAGUGUUAAAGGUCACACUUGUGGGUUCUAGUGCAAGUUCGUCCAUUUAAAUUGGCGGAGGCAACUCACCAAAAUGCUGCGAGUAAAAACGACGGGAGCCAUUCCCUUCGAAUCCGUAAUGCUCCGUCUUGGCCACAACCCCCAGGAGUUGGGUGGAAACAUGGAGGUGAAGGCAAAGGGUUCAUCCGAACCAUCCUCUCCAAGUAGAAUAAAGCAUCGUCGGCUUCCUCUGAUCCCGCCAUUUCAGCAUUUUUUUUUCGUCACAAAGGCCCCGCAUUCAGGUCGAUCCAUUGAAUUUCCUUACUCCAGCAGUGGUCGCGCAAGUGCGAGAGCAACGUGAAGGCAAACGGAUCGAGGGAGGGACGAAGGUGUGGACGGUGUCCAUCACUCUGCCACCUUCGUGGAGCGCGUACGGGAGGUGGGCCUUCAAACUGGCAUUAUAUCCUUUUUCGUUUUUCACAUUAUAUUCUAGAUUUUUAUUUUUUAUCUUUUCGCAUUAUACUUUAGUGGCAUUUUCAAAAGAAAUUCUUACCUUAUCUAUAAAUUUCAUCUACUUAAUAAUUUAUCCAUAAAUUAGAUUGACAAUGUAGAAAAGAACUAGAUUUCUUGGAAAUUUCUCUUUUCAACUAAAUAAAUGUUUAUGAAAGUAAUAUCUAACAAUAAAAAAAUAGUGUCUUUAUUACACAUGAAAAAUCUACAAUAAACAAAAAUUACAUAUACAUAUGAAAUUCUUAAUUAUGGUAAGGAGAUCUUACAUAUAUAUAGAAAAACUAUAAAAAAAAAGUAAAUAAAUUUGGGACCACCAAUUUGAAUUGCAAUUGAAAACAGAGUGCAAUUUUGUCUUCUUAAUGAAAACGGAGUGGAUUUAGUCAUAUAAGGGUAGAAGUAGCACCGCCUCAAUAAAUUGCAAAGAAAGAAAAAACAACUCACUAGACGUAUCUCUUUAGAGCCUAACCAAGUGCAGUUGGGUGAAAUCGUUCUGAUUGCGAAUUGCACUACUGCGCCAUUCAAGCAGCUGGUUGAGCCUUGCUGGAGCCUAGGGCAAAAAUCUCAGUCUGUUCCUUUAAACAUCUGUUCCAUGUGAAAACUCCAAAAUUGCGUCGGCACUAGAUCUAUUUGUGCUCGAGCUCGAGAUACUAAUCCAAAUAAAAAGUUCAAAAGGAGUUUUGGGUGCUUGGAGUUAAUGUGCUAGCUUUCAUUGAACACUCUCGAGGAUCGACUGAACGUUCGGAGGAAAAAAAACAUGAAGUACUGUUGUUGAAGUCAACCAAAGCCAUACGGGAUUUUUUUCUCACCAUCUUCUACUAAUUAAGGGUCUGUUUGUUUGUGUUUCUUUUUUUUGUUUUUCAACACUUUUUCUGUUUUUUUGUUCCUGAGAACAAAAAAGGAACAGAAACACGUUUGGGUGCGUUUCUGUUCCUUUUUUGUUCUUUUGUUCCCAGGAACAAAAAAGAAACAGAAAUAAGAAACAACAAAUUUGUGUUUCUUAUUUCUGAAACAAAACUUAGAAACUCUUUUUUAUUUUCUUCUUCUUUUUCUUCUUAUUUUCUUCUUCUUAUUUUCUUUCUUUUUUCUUUCGCCGGUCGCCGGCUCGGCAUGGCGGCGACCAGCCGACGAGGGCCGGCGGCCGUCCUCGUCGGCUCGCGGCCGCUGGGCGAGCUCAGCCUCGCCGGAUCUGGGCGAGUCGGCGUCGCCUGGCGGUGGCCUGGCAAGGCCGAGCUUGCCAGCCGCUGGGCGAGCUCGGCCUCGCCGGAUCUGGGCGAGAUCGAGCUCGCCCAGCCAAGGCGAGGCCAAGCCUCGCCGGGGNNNNNNNNNNNNNNNNNNNNNNNNNNNNNNNNNNNNNNNNNNNNNNNNNNNNNNNNNNNNNNNNNNNNNNNNNNNNNNNNNNNNNNNNNNNNNNNNNNNNNNNNNNNNNNNNNNNNNNNNNNNNNNNNNNNNNNNNNNNNNNNNNNGCGACCGGCCCAAAAGAAGAACAAAUAAAAAAGGAAAAAUAAAAAAAAUUAUACAAAUUAUACAAAUUUACCAAACGUGUUUUUGUUUAUUUUUUAUUCCCGGAACAAGUUUACCAAACGCGUUUUUUUGUUCAAAAAUUGUUCCCCGGAACAGAAACACUUUUUUCUAUUUCUGUUCCCUGGAACAAUUUUUAAACAGAAACGCAAACAAACGCACCCUAAAUGAUCAGUUUCAAAAGGGGAGUCAAACAGUAUUUGUCGACUUAUAAGAUGCAAAACGAUAUGGCGCCAAUAUUAUGCAAAACAUCGAGGUGGGCACCGACUUAGAUUUUUUUUUUUUAAGGCGAUGUAUAUUAUACAUUUUAUUUUCACGUCAAAAUUUAAAAGAAAAUUGUUUAAAUUUCAAAAGAUUAUAAAUUAAAUGGGAGUUUAGGUGUCCUACGGCGAGGGUAGAAAAUGGACAAAUUGCGCGAAUGCAUAAUUUAAUAAAUAGAAAAAAAAACUAAAAUAAUUAAAAAGCCAAUCUAGACACUAAGUCGAUUGAUUUGAUACACAGGAACUAAAAGGAUCAAAGCAAUUCGUCUAGGCAACGACUAUGACCAUUUUUGGGCAUACGAAAAUGAAUAGCUUAAAAGGUUACAGAGCCAAAGAUGACAAGUACCAAAUCUAGAGCAAAAUGGUGAAAACUCUUUAGUAUUCCAAAGCAAUACCAAUUCCAAUAAGGCACUAUUGAUAGAGAAAGAAGAAUACCAAAAGAAGCUUGGCAGUACGUGAGACAUCAUGUGGAUGAUAGCUAAAGCUUCAGUCAAGGUGCCACAAAGAUGUUGCUACGGAAUAUUCAGGCAGAAAAAUAUAGAUACACAAGCUGUCAUUUAUGGAUACAGGUAUAUCUUGACAAACAGCUCUUCAGAUGCAUGAUAACCAUAAAAUCUCCUUGCUCAUACAAGGCUGCAACCAUGCAUAUGUUGCCGUUUUACGCCAGCAUUGCCUUUGAGCUGCAGUAACUCACAAAACAAUCCUUUCAGAUACAAACUAGCAAGUGAAUCGCACAAUAAGUUAAAGCCAGGACUUAAUAUUUUCAAAGAAUGACAAAUUAUACCUUCAAGGCUUUCUCCAUGGCUAGAGAGACAGCAUUUGUAAAUGCAUCCCCUGUGCAAUUCAACAGUGACCAAUUAAUUCCAAGCCAGUAGCAGAACAGUAAGAGACUAGUUUAAAAAGGGACAUGAAUUCGAAAUAUAUAAAAGCACGAAUAAUUCAAACAAAUUGAGAUAAAGUCUACAGCAACAUUAUAUUAUGAGGACAUUGACAAAAACUGGUCAAGUAAAACCACAGCCAUGUUGCCAAAAGAACAUAUACCCUGAAAACACACAAGCUACAUGCUAGAGGUAUUGUGAACUGAGAGAAACGUUGAUUAAUUUCUUCAAACCAGGAUAUGCACAAAGCAGCCUAUGCAUCUGUACCACGCACAAGUACCUUCAGACGUUGGAUGGAUAGGAAUAUCUGUACAUGGUACAUACAAAUAGGGUAAAGCCUACAAGAAAAAAAAAAACAUAAUUUAGAACCAGUAUGAAAAAAAUGUACAAGAUAUUGCUGUCUCAUAAGCUAUGCCAUGGACAAGCAUCAUGUAUUUUUCACAAUAGAUUGCUUGGAGCCACGUAAGCUCCUCAUUUGUUAUUUAGACAUUCAACUAGUGUCCAGCCAGUCAAAGAAAGUAGACUAUUGCCAAUAUGGUGCCUCUUGCGAGCAGAAAGGGGAAGAAACUUUCUGCAUCCUGAAAUUGCCUUUUAUCUUGUAGCAUAUACAUCAACUCAUGUCUGUAAACCCAUGCUGGUUUAAAUUCUUCAUCGGCAGAAAGGAAGUUACUUUCAUUGCUCCACAGCUCAAGGGGGGUAAAGCAAGUACUUGGAACAAUUAAGAAACUACAAAUAAACGAGGACUACACUCACCUUAUGCACAUGUGAGCAAGUUUUUGACCAGCAGGAGUUGAACCAUCUACUCUUAUUACAGGAACCUCAUUCACUUUUUCACCUUCAUCAAUCAAUCAUGAACAAGAUUAUGAACAUACAAAAGUAAAUAUUUGUAGCUAAAUUUCUAGCUACUGUAUAGUAAAUGUAACUGUUAUUUUUGCAGGUUAAAGGUCAAAUCCUCGCACAGAAUUUUAAAGAUUGACAUGGCACUACGCCACAUAAAAACUGUAAGUGCACCUUCUUCUCUUUGCAUCAGCAACAAAAAAGCGAAUUUCAAAUACGUCAUCAUCAAGACAACUACGCUCUCCAAACAAAAAGUAAUCUUCAGUCUAGGGAAGAAGACGGUGAGUUGAACAAUGCCCACCAAAUAUUAAGAAAAAUAUUCAAUACUCUCUGGAUUUUCUAAGCAACCAAACCAAUCAUGUAAUAAAUUAUCAAGACACCAAUGUGCUGAUUCCAUGACUCUGUGCUACAAUUUUAAUCAAUCCUUACGUAUAUCCAUGCCAAGCAAUUACUUAACAUCAAUCCAGCAGCCCCAACAAGAAGUCUGAAUAAGACAUCCACGGACAAACUGAUAAGUUCUUCAUAACAGAACACUAAGCCAAGCAUAAUCCUUGCACUCAUAAGAAAGCAAACAAACUUUUGUCUGCAAUGCAGUAACUGAUUAAGUCCUACUAUAGCAAACAAAAUUAACAGCUUCCAGAUUCAAACCACAAGCUUCUCUGGCAUUUGCUACUCACCACUAGAUUCCAUAAUCAAAGCAGCGAACACAAAAAUUAUGCUUCGAAAGAUGAGAGCAGACUUUCAUUCUUUUUUUUUACCGAAGACGCUUUACAUACAUUUUAUUACAAUAAAAACAUAGAAUAACUUCAAAAGCAUCGCUGUUCCUAGGAGAAGACAACAUCAAGACCCAUUCUAAGACUCCAAUUAAGCCACAGCUCUAGGAAGCAGCAAGACCCAACAACAUUACUGCGUGGCAACUACCUAUUACCAUCACGGGCACAGUAAAAAAACGAGUCUUUCCAUCUGUUUUCGUGCUUCCCCUAAUGCCCAUAUUCCACAGUCUCAUUCUUUUCUACUAAAGACACGUUAGAUACAAAUUAUUACUAUGAAAACAUAGAAUAACUUCAAAAGCACCGCUGUUCCUAGGAGAAGACAACGUCAAGACCCAUUCUAAGACACCAAUUCAGCCACAGCUCCAUGAAACGGCGAGACCCAACAACGUUCCCACCCGCGGCUACCUAUAACCAUCGCGGGCACAGAAAAAGAACGAGUCUUUUCCAUCUGUUUUCCCGCUUCCCCUCUGGGAGAAGACAAUAUCAAGACCCAUUCUAAGACACCGAUUCAGCCACAGCUCCAUGAAAAGGCAAGGCCCAACAACGUUCCCACGCCGCGACUAUACAUAACCGUUACGGGCACAGUUAAAAAACGAGUCUUUUCCAUUCUUCUCCAAGCUUUUUCUAAUUUUUUCCCUCUCGCUUGCUCUCGUGCAGUGCAGUAACGGAACCCCGGAACAGGAAAAUGGAUCGAGAAAACUCUUUGGGCCGAUGAAUCAUUAUAAGUUACCUCGGAACGAUUAUUUUACUACUGUCAAAUAUAAUGAUAAAUUCCGACCAAAAGAAAAUUUUAAUGAUGGAUUCGGUCAAAAAAAUAUUUGAUGAUAGAACAAAAAUUGGCUUUAAUUUAUCUUAUUAAUUGGUUUUAUAUACUAAGUAAAUGCUAACAACAAUGUUCAAUUAGAGAUAUUAGUUAUUAAUAACUCAGCAACCAAAUUACAAUUUUAUAACUUUCAAAAAGAUUAAAGAAAUAAGAGUAUUGGAAAUAUUAAAAUUUUCAAAAAGCACAAUCAAAUUAGAAAAUUUAUCAUAAAUGUACAAUUGAGUUUUAAAAUUUUAAAAAAUACAAUCAAGUCUUAAAAUGAAUUAAUGACUUUAAUAUGAAUUAAGAUUUGUGUAUCAAUCUUACCAAAAAAAAAAGAUUUGUGUAUCAAUCAAAUCAAAACUAGUUCAUAAAUUAAUUAAAGAAAAAUUGUGGAUCGCUUGAAUUAGGAUGUGUAACUUCAUAAAAGAAUUAAUGACUUUAAUAUGUUGACAACUUGUACGACUAAAUAUUAUUAAAUUAUUAAAAUGAACAAUAAUUUUGGAAUAAUCAAACAAACCCCAGUAUUUUUUAUGAAAAUUUGGGUACAAACAUGUCACAAGCCAAGUACAUGGCUUAUCUUUUUUUCAACAAAUUGUUACUAAACAAUAUUUUUGAACUUACUGAUACGGAACAAUCAGUGGUCCUCAUGUUCUGUCUCUUGCUUCCAUGGAGUUCUCGGAAUAGACAUUUUCUCUGUUCCGACAGCAACUCACCACCACUUUCGAGAAGAUAAUAAUUUAGUCGGACCUAAGCGUGGCAGGGAGGAAAAACUAAUAUCCGUCAGCUUGCGUGCUGCUACGAUAGGGCAUGAUUGGUUCUAUUGUAUUAUUUCGCAAGAGAAGUCAUCUGCGAGUUCUUUCUCUUUGCUCCUCUCUCUCUACCCUCCCUCUCUCUCUCCGACGAAAAAGAUCGCGACCUCCCUCCCUCUCUGCCCUCCCUCUUUCCGAUCGGCGAACCACCGCACGGGACCGGCGAACCACCGCGCCGCCCCUCCGGCUUCAGAUCCGGCCCCGACUCGUCUGUCCCUUGCUCUUUCUCUCCUCUCGCGUUUCUGUCUGCCCUCCCUCUCUUCAACGGCGAACCAGCGCGUGACAGCGAACCUGUAUUUUCUCCUUGCGGAGAAGCAACGAAAAUAUCUUUGAAGUCUACAGCGAGGUAGUCUUACCGAUUUCGAGGAAGGAAGGUUUGUUUCGUUGGUCUUGGUCAAGAAGGUGAGGGUAAAAAAGCAGCACAAUUGCUGCGUGAAAAGACGAGCAAUCUUGUCGCGCCAUCCUCUCCACGGGAUUGUGCGUCUCCUUCGGGGCAAGAGGUUCGAAGUAAAGCUUUAUUUAAAGUCCCGAGUGCUCGUGACCCAGUAGCAGAAACGUCAAUCACCGUAAGUCACUUGAGACGCUCCUCUUUCGCUCUGAGAUAUUUGCCUUGGAUAGCUCUAGAUUGAGACGUGAAGGUGAUCUCAUAAUUGUGCUGCUUUUGAGGCUCGGACACAAUUUGAUGUGCUUUAAGGGAACUCCUUUUGAGACAUUAAAGCCCAUCCGAGGAAUUCCGUCUCUGCAUCACUCCUCCGGAUGAGCCGGACAGUCUAUUACAUUUUGAUAGAACAAAAUAAAGGCAUUUGAUUAUUACUCAUUGAAUGACAUCUAACAUCCUUAAAAGCAUGCACAAUAUAACAUGUGAAAUUCCAUCUGACUUUUUCAAAAUCACCGUCGUUACAGUCAUUGUAGAUUUUUCUUACUACCUUCCCCUUAUUCAAACUGAUCGGUAUGAGCCUCUCUCUUGCAGAACGAUUCAAGGCUAUCAUCUACAGUCCUCGCUCACUUUCUUUGUUCAUUUCCCUCAUAAAAGUUCUCGGCGAGGCUUGUUUAGGGUCUUCUCUCUCCGAACUCGCACCUCUCUUUGCAUCUCAGCGCGUAGAAGGUAAUCGCUUUUUCAUCUCUUAUUAGUGUGUCAUUUCUGUUGAUUUGUUGCAGCUGAACUAGCGUGUUUUGGGCUCUCUGUCUGAUGUGGGUGGCUGUUAACUUGGUGCGUCACCAGCUUAUAAUUGACUUCCGUAGAAAAGGGAAGCUUUUGCUUUCAGACUUUAGAUGUGACUAAUCAUGUGGCCUCUGUCUCAUCGUUCGUUUGCAUCGUAACUUAGUGUCGAUCCUUUGUCGAGCUAGAAUGAGUUGGAAUGCGAGACGCGCUAGAUUCUAUUGCGCGCAAAAUUGCUAGUAUUCGCCUAAAGCCAAGGACCGUCUUUCUACGGAUUGUGAGGUUUCUUUGUCCCUGAAGGUCUAAGAUCAAUCAAAUAAAAAAUGAAAUAUAAAAGAAAAAGUAGUAGGCCAGUUCGCGGCAAGUUCCAACAUCAGGGGGGUUCGAUUUUCAAUUCCGAAAAUUGAGAACAUGCUCUGAUAGGUAGGUUUCAGGGUUUUGGUCCAGAAUCUACACACUCUGUAGCCAAUCACCCAUAAAAGCAAGUACUCUCUUAAUCAGAUUUUAUUCACAAUUUUGCCUUAGACAAUUAUAGGACAUUCUAGACGAAUAGUUUGUUGUCUUCCUCGAAUUAUUGGACUAUAUAAUCCUAAAAAGUAUAUUGCCUUUCACCUCUAACUCAUUUUCUUCCUUCAAAGUUUUGAAAAUUGACGAAGUUAGUUACCCCAAAAAAGGGUAAAAGGAGGUUGAAUUGAGUAAUGAAAAAGUAUAGUUCACACGCAUAAACAAUAAUAACUAUUAUGCAAAGGUUAGAGCAUUUUUAACUCUAUUGCCACUUUCUCGAACAAAAUAUCUCCGUUGCUACUUUUUACCUGCUCUCAAAUCAGUGAUAGCUUCAGUCAUCAUCACAAUACAAGACAUACCAAAAUCAAUGGUAUGAUGCUUCUUAAGAUCUUUUAUGUUAGAGAAAAAUAAACUAAUUGAUCUUUGACAUAUGCACAUGAAGACAUUUCAAAAAAAUUGAACUAUACAUGUUUAUUAGGACACUCACUCAGCUUUAUAUCUCUCAUAUCUUUCACCUUUUUGCUACAAACUAUAAGUUCAUUCAUUAAAAUGUAAUUAAUCAAUUUAAUCUGACUUAUCACGAAUUUAGCCGAUAAUCCUAUUCUACGUCCAUUUAAUUGGAUUAAAAAAACUUUGCGAUGAUAUUCUCAAGGUGGACCCUCGAGGAAAAAGGGGGCACUAACUGAAGGUCAUUCUUUUCAAACCUUGGUCCUCUCUGAAUUUUCCUCAGCAGUUUUGCUUUAUUUUCUUCUCUUCUGCUCCUCCUUCGAUCAAAUCAUGACCUAAUUUCAAGUUGUUCAGACUAAGGCAAAGUCAGAGCAAGGCAAACAAAGGGAUGCACCGUAUCGCUUCUGGUCGUUCCUUUGCUAUGCUCGUUGCACUGAUUCUUUUCUCUAUGCUUGUAUUCUAUCAUCUCAAGAGGAAGAAUGUGAGCGCAGAAAAAGAGAGCACUAAGGAGCAUUCACUUCUUCUUUGGUGUCGUCUAAUGAAUGACAGUUCUAUUCUACAGAUAAAAUGAUGAUCAAUUAUUUAAAUUUCAAAGUUUGAAGAGAAUAAUUCAGUGAUGUUACAUCAGGUUAAAGUGGAUUCGUUUUGCUUGACAUUUCUAAUACGUAAAACUCAUUCAUUAAAUAUUGUGUACAUUCGGAAAUCAGGUGCUUUCUAUCUAGCCUUUUCACUUGUUUAUCUACAUCUUUUAGUGGAACAGGAAGGCAUCUUCUCUUCAUAAAUAUUUUAGUGUUAGUGAUCGUUUCAAAUGCAUGUGCUCUCCACCAAGAUUACGAGCCUUGACUAUAGAGCACGCAUGUAGAGAUGAAGACUAGCCAUUGUUUUCUUGUCCAUGAGUGGACACAACCCAAUGAUGUUGCCAUGACGAGAAAGCGCGGUCCAUUGGAAAGAAAAGAUGCACGCCUAAGUCAAUAACUUUUACUAUUCAAAAUUAGUCAACAGACUGACUUGAUCAUUAAACAUUUUGGAUUCGAAAUCGUUCAGAAAUCAUAUGCUCUCCUCCCAAAAAGCACGUGCUCUGCCUUUUCAUUUGCUUAUCUACUUCUUCUUGUGCAGCAGGUUGGCAUCCUCUCUUCAUUGUUGUCUAUAAGAUUUCUAUGGGGAAAGGGCAAAGUCUGAGCAAAAUAAUAAGAAAAAGAAAAGGAGCGCAAAAAAAAGGAGCAGUAAGGGAGAAAGAGAUCACUGAUGGAGCAUUUGCUUCUUCGUCCUUACCUUCCAUACCCACGGGAGGAGGUAGCGAUCAAUACGAUGUGUUCUUGAGCUUUAGAGGCUCCGACACUCGCAACGAAUUUACCGAUCACCUCUACCGCAGUCUGAUCAGUGUAGGGACUGUACCAAUUUCUGUGUUCAGGGACGAUAACAGUGUUGAAAUUGGCAAGGAUUUUAAUUCAGAGAUUCUUAAUUCUAUCAUGCGAUCUAAGAUUUCAAUCCCCAUCAUCUCUGAAAAUUAUGCUUCGAGCAAAUGGUGCCUCCGCGAGCUAGUACGCAUCAUGGAUUGCCAGAAGAGCACGUUGCACACAGUGUUGCCCAUUUUUUACAAAGUGCUCCCAUCGGAUGUGCGGUAUCUAAAUGGAAAUUUUGGGGAGGCCUUCCAUUUGCGUAAGAAGCGUUUUGAUAAGGAGGACAUUCAGGAAGGUCAACGAGCCCUUACAGAAGUGAGUUACUUGAAUGGAUGGGAAUCUGAGAAAUUUGCCAAUGGGUACUUACCUUCUACCUGCACUUUUUUUUUUUCUAAGUUUUGUUAUUUAGCAAAACCAAUGUCAUAUGAAUGAAUUGCUUACACUACAAGCUUACAAAACAUCCCAAAAUGUCCCAAUGAAUAACCAUAGUGGCCCAUAGACUACAAACACUUGUACUCCCUGAGAUUUCCCCAGAAAACUACACUGACAACAUCUAAAACCUUAGGAUCGCUUACUCAAUCUUCCAAAGCUUGGUAACUGCUGGAUAAAUCGACCUUCUAUUGCUUCACACAGAUCAUGUCUAGGUUUAACACCCGCUGUUGCCAAUAACUUUCAUUGGUAUGGUAGGCGAUCUAUAAGUUAAUUACUAGUCCUCCAUUUAGGCCUGUGGGAUACACUGUUCUUAGAGGGAUAACAUCUUGUCAUCCUAAACAUUUUGCAACAAAAAUUAUCGACCUUCUAUCCUUCAACUAUCAGUGACCAUUAGCCUCAUAACAAACUCUUUACUUCUAAAGAAUCUUAAUUUGCUAGGUGCACCACCAUAUCUUAAUUCAAUAAGAUCUAUCUAUCGGAAGAAAAAGAAGGGGAAAAAUGAAAUGACUGCUACACCAUCAUCCUAUAUUGUCAUUUGUAAAACCAAGACAUUUUGCAUGUUAAUUGGUCCCAUCCAUCCUUCACAUAUAUGUGGGUGUCUUUUGAUGAGAUUACGCAAAAUUAUGAAGUUAUGAUGAGUUUUGUUGUUUGAUAGGCGUGAAGGAGAAUUAGUGGAAGAAGUUGUCAAAACUAUUAUGAGCAAGUUGAGAUGUGAUUUUCAGCUUGAUAUUCCAGACCACUUAGUUGGAGUUGACGAUCAUGUCAACAAAAUUAGGAAUUGGGUAGACAUUCCUGCCAAGCAUGCUCGAAUGAUAGGAAUAUGUGGCAUGGGUGGGAUCGGUAAAACGACUCUUGCCAAGGUCAUCUACAACCAGUUGUCGAAUAAAUUCGAGCAUCGUAGCUUCCUUCCAGAUAUACGAGAAACAACUCAUAGCAAAGGCAUUCUUGAACUACAAAAUCUACUAAUUAGGGAAAUACUACCAAAUGAACGUGGAGUAUGUAAAGUUGAUGAUGGAAUUAGUUUGAUCAAAUCUAGAUUUAAAGGAAUAAAGGUUCUCAUUCUUUUGGAUGAUGUUGAUCACCGAGAUCAACUAUAUGCUUUGGCUAGAGAACGUGAUUGGUUUUCGACAGAAAGCAUCAUCAUUGUUACAACUAGAUAUGAAGCUGUUCUUCAUCAACCUAAAUUCGAGGUAGAUUACAAGUAUGAAUUGACAGAAUUAGAUGUGGUGCAUUCUUCAUGUUUAUUUAAAAGGCAUGCAUUUUCCAUGGGCAAUUGUCCGAAGGAUUUUGAGGGUAUCUCUCGUGAUAUCUUAUCCACCAUGGGUGGGCUUCCCUUGGCUAUCGAGGUCAUAGGUUCAUACUUGUAUGGAAAAAAAGAUGGAAAAGUAUGGCAAGAUGUGCUGAAGAAAUUAAGAAAUGAACCGGAUAGAGAUGUCCAAAGGACAUUGAAGAUAAGUUAUGAUGCAUUGGAACCUACACAAAAGGAGAUUUUUCUGGAUAUCGCUUGCUUUUUAAUCGGCAAAAAUAGCAAAUAUGCCAAUUACAUGUGGGAGGACUGUGAGCUUUUUCCAUAUAUCGGAAUUAAAGAGUUGAAGUUAAGGUGCUUAAUAAAAAUUGGAGAUCGUGGUGAGUUUAGGAUGCAUGACCAAUUGAGAGAUCUUGGAAGGAGCAUCUUUUGCCAAGGACAACCGCCCGAGAGAUGUCUGAAGCCAUGGCUCGAAGAUAAAGCCUUGAGAAGUAAUAUGGAAAUGGAGGUAACAUAUGAAUCUCUCUCUCUCUCUCUCUCUCUCUCUCUCUCUCUCUCCAUAAAUUUAAUGUGAUCCAUUUUAGUCUUUUAGCUAGUAUAAGCAAAUACCCCUACUCUUUAGGAAAAAAUCUAUUCAUACACGCAUUUAUGUCCCCCUUAGAUAAAUUGUGAUAAUAAUUGGAUUAUAAGUGUCCCAAGGAUGAAAAAGUUACAUUAUUUUAUCCAAAUUCAUUGAUAUAAAUUACAUCUGUCAAAAACUUAAUUUUGCAAUCAAUUUAAGAUUCUUUAACUACGAUUAUACACUGAAAAUCUCAUUCACUAAAAGCAUGUAGUUUUAUAUCUACUUGAAACUAUUGAUAAUCUAAAAGACUACAAUAAUUUAAUUAAGAUGAAGCAUAUACAUCAUAGAUCAGAUAAAUGGAGAUGUUUUGAAUUUUUAUUCAAAAUGGCAAUGUACGACAUAAGCUGAUUAUAAUAACUAAUAAUUAACCAAAUCGGUUGGGCUAAAGAAAAAUUUCACACUUAUCAUAGGUGCUUGCUAUCUAGUAUGGUCGAAUGUAUUGUGGUGCUCCUAUGAAUUAGGAAAGCAAUGUUUGAUACACUUUUAUUUUUUUCUUCCAUUUUGAUUUUGAAAAUACCUCUUCCCCCCACGAGGUAUAUCUAUCUCUUUUCAUUCUUCUUGUGUCUUAAUAGCUAUGAUGGCAAAAAUCACCUUAAGAAUCUUAUAGGGAAAAUCCUUACAAUGUUUUUAAGGUCGGAUCACGUUGACCUUGUUCAUCUCAUGGAUUUAGGUGUGUGAUAAAGAGUGGAUUUUCUUAUUUUCCUUUCUUUGCUUCUUUCAUUUCUCGUUGUCUGUUCCUUUGCCUUUCUUAAUAAACAUUUCUUUCCUCUCCAACUUGUUUUAUAUUUAUUAUAUUUUUUGGUACAAUGCCCUUUUGUGCCAAAAACCCUCGACAAACUCGACAAUUUAGAGGAAAUGUCAUGCUUGUUCUUAUAUCGAUACAUUUUUCUUUAGUAAAUAACAUUUUCAGCGUGCAGUCAAUUUUGAAAGUAAGUUUAAUUUUUACUUAGAUUGUCAAUGUUCAUAUUGUUUCAUUAUUUUAUAUUUUCUAUUUAGAGAAGCGUAGUAGGUUCAUGACUGAUCAGUGGGGGGGGGGGGGGGGAAUUAACCUGUGCAAUUAACCAAGAGAUGUUGGGAAAGGAAAAAGCUUUAUUUUCUCAAUUUAAUUUGAAUUAGUUCGCUCAUACCAUUAUAAAGAGCACAUUCUUUUGUUGAUUCAAUAACUAUUCUUAAGAGAAAUAACAUUGACAGUGAGUUUUUCACUAGUUAAUACAUAAAGUAUGGAUAAUGACAAAUGAGUCAAACCAUAAAAUUAAGCCCAACCUAAAAAAGAGAAAAAAGAAUUCUAUUUUUGGUUUGAUAGUGUUUGUGGAAGUUCAUAUUUCACAAAACAAAUUUGUCUUUUCGCAGUUUAGUUUAUUCAUAAUAUUUCCAAGAAACUAACGAAAAAAAAUGCACUUUCAAGUUAUGUUGAUCAAUCGAUAAAUUUUUUUUUUUAAUGUUUACUUAUAUAUCCUGCCCUAUUGUAUCUUUGCACUCGGCCUAUAAAUAGCAUUCCAAAAAAAAAAACAAGGUACUACUUUCAAUUUGGUGUUGUCACAAAAGUUCAUGUGAAAGAAGAAAGGUGUCGAGUGUUGUGAAAUAUGGAUUAACUAGUCGUGAGCCCAUACCAUGCAUAUGCACAAAACUGACAUGAAUAAAUUUAUCAUGAAGAUAUAAAUAUAGUAACCUCAUCUCUAUUAGAAAAGCACAUAUAGAUGGACAAAUCAUGUUCUUUGGAAAGACAGUUAUAAUUUAUAAGUUGAUAGUUUUUAAUCUUUCAUUAUAGUAAUUUAACUGGAUUUUUUUUUUUAAAAAAAACAUCUCUCAUUAUAGUAAAAAUUCAGGCGGAAACCGCAUUCGAAAAGACAUUCCUUUUUUUUCCCCCUAACAACAAUGGACAUACUUCUCUUGGAUGGAGUGCACAAGAAAAAGUUAAACGCGCUAAAAAUCGAAUUAUAAGGAAUUUAAAAAGAUAUUAAAUGAAAUUGCAUGAAACGGAAGUGCGAUAAAAGGAAAAUUAUGAGGAAAGUAAAACACGAACUUUGUUGUGCCGUGCCUGCCUGAUCUUACCUCCGAAUACCCCUUUUAUACCAAUGCUUCGUGUCGACCAUUCUGUUUCUAGGCCAUUCACAUGUAACUUCCACAUGCAUCAUAUGUCACAUGCAUCAAUUGUCUCAUGCGUUACUUGCCACAUACAUCCUAUGACACCUAGUCCAAUACUAUUCUUUUCAAGGGAGAGAUUUCUCUAUUAUUCUCUCAACCAAAAUUAUCUCACAAUCAAGUUCAUUAUAAAUCGUAUUUAUUUAAAUGAAUCCAUGGGCUGUUUUCAUCAUUUAGCUCUUAAAAGGGGAAACCAUCAUCGUUAAUCGCAAUUGCCCACUGUCUAAAAAUAGUUAAUCAUAUAUAUAUAUAAACAUGUGUUUUGCUUCUCUUGCUCAUCAUUAGAAACAUCAAUUGGUGUCACCUGCUGAAUCAAAUAUAAAUGGUGUGCAUAGCGUGGGUCAUGUCUAGUCUAUAUCUGAUAUAACAUGAUACUAUAAUUAUAGAAAUGACAUUGGUGUCACUUUAGGUCCCUUCCAAUUUUACUCUUAUUUAAGGAUUCUACUACUAAUAAAAAGUAUGGCAGAGGAGUGAAGUCUCACUUUGGUAGAGUGCUCCUUCUCUAACCAACACAUCCCUCGCCUUUAACGGUUAUAUAAUAUUGUCCUCAUCAGCAUGUCGUACCAUCCCCAAUUUUCAUCACCAUUCUCUUCUUAUUUUUAAGAGUUUAAGUUACAACGUUCACAUAAAAAUAAGCAUAAUGUUAACAUAACACGUGCGUAGCAUGUGUAUAGAUUACUGUGGACAUUAAGCAAAGUCCAUUUACAAAAAAUAUACCAUUUCUAGGUCGAAUUUUGCUUUAACGUGUUACAAAUGCGUUUUCUUGAACAGGUCGAGUGAGGGGCACUACUGGCUUGAAAUUACUUUGCUCUAGAAGUGCAUGUUAAUAGAUGAAUACUAAUUUCUAAUUUCUAAUUCACCUCUUGAGAAGGAUGUCCAUGCUAAAAACGAAUUUCAAUAUUCACAUCAACAUACCUCUAGAAAACCUAUCUGACAAAAGUGGGUACUAACGGCUACGUAAGUUCCAUAAUGGUGAAAUACUCCAUUAACUCAUUGCCAGGUGGGACACCAGCUUAAUUAAGUCCGACUGGACGGUUCAAACGGGAAAUUAUUUACACUUAAUAGUGCCAGGAAUCAAACUCAUAUCAUGAUACACAAAAGCACAUUCCUUAACCACUAAAUGAGCUGCGUGGGGUUGCCUCUCAAAUAUUUCAGCCAAAUCUUUCAGAAAAUUAUCAACUGUUCCUUAUAUUGCUUUUGGUAAAUCCUAAAGAACUUGACCAUAGAAUAAAUUGCAAAGAAAAAAUAACUCACUAGACAUGUCUCCUUAGUGCCUAACUGAGCGCCAGGUGCCCGCUGUGAUCCAGAAUCGCAUGCCCAACCAAGCGUGACUAGGUGCCCGCUUUGAUCCAGAAUUGCAUCUCUACGCUGUUCAAGUGACUUAGUCUUGCUGGAGCCCCAGCCACCGACCAGUAGCUUUGGCUACUUGCGAUCUCUGUUAUGGGCAUCUCAGUCUGUUCCUCUGAACGUUUACGUCAUGUCAAUGUGUAGAUUGAGUGGCGGCUUGAUUUAUCUGUGGUCAAUCUCGAGAAUGCUAAUCCAAUAGAAAGUUUAAGAUUUAAAAUUUUGAUACUCGAACGUUAUCCAAUACCGUUACUGAUCAGCUAAGCUUUCGGGGGAAAAAUAAUAAAGUAUUGUUGUUAAUGUCAAUCAAGCCGUCUGGGAUUUUGUCACCAUCUUCUUCCAAUUAAAAGAUCUCCUUUAGCAACAAAGUUUAAGCGGUACUUUUGACUUAUAAGAUGCGAAAAGAAAUGGUGCCAGUCUUGGGAAAUGGACAUACGUAUCUACACUUUUCUGUUUAGGUAACAUAAGUAGAUUUCUCCAGAAACUUUCAUGUGGCAGAGUUUGCCAAAAGAUGUUGCCCAGCAUUGACAAUCCUAUUGUUCCAUAUGUUAAGACCUUAAUCUAAGUAUAACACCAUGUAAGGAAGUUAAUUAGUACAUUUUUAGUUGGUCUAAAGUCAGGUCUCUUCCAAUUCUGUCAAAAUCUAAAAUAUUAUUCAAAUGCUAAAGGUGUAUUGCUAAAGAAUGAUUAAACACUUAACAACAAUGGUUAACAAAUUGAAAAUCAGGUGCUUACUUAACUACUUAACAAGUGACCCAUGGGUACUCUUUAACAUUCGUAUGUUUUAAAAGGUUUCAUGUAUUUCCACUUUAAUAAAAAUCGAAGUACAUGCACUACGAAAUUCCAAAAAACCGAGAGGUAAGAAUUGAGGUGUUUUGUCUUGAAUUUUUUAAAGUAAGAAAAAGUGUUCUUUUUAUUUAAAAUAUUGUUUGAAUUUUAAAAAAAAAUUAUCAAAAUUCUAUAUGUGUGUGUUUACUUGUCAACAUUUAUGUUUGGCGAGAGGUAAAAAGAUGACAAAUUGUGAAAGUAUGGGGUUUAGAAAAGCAAAAGUAAAAGAUUAGAAGUCAAUUAGACACUCAAUGAUUGAUUUGAUAUGCAGGAUUUCGAGAGAAGCUUUGAUUAUUGGCCUCGUGGCUGUUCCUCUACAUGCACAAGUGAACUGUUAAAAAACUUACCGAGCUCAAGGUUCCUUUCAGUUUGCUGUACGACCAUAAGUGGAGACUUUAAUGAAUUGUUUCCUGAAUUAAGAUGGCUUCGAUGGUUAUACAUUGAACCCAAUAUGUUUUCUUCAACAAUCAAUUUGCAUCUAUCUAAAUUAGUGGUGCUGGAAUUGUUACAAAACAAGCUUACAGAUGAUUGGGAAGGAUGGAGUUCAAUCAUGGUAAGAUGGAAAAAAAGACAUCUUCUACGAUCUUUGCUUUGUUUUGUUUUAUCGAUUAAACUCCUUUUUGAUAGCUUUUUCUCUUUUGUAUAGGCAGCAAAGCAGCUAAAAGUUCUCAAUAUUUCAUAUAGCAUAGAGUUAAGAUAUACUCCUAAUCUCUCAGCUUUCACGAAAUUGGAGAUUCUCAUCUUGUCCAAUUGUUGCAAACUGAAACAAGUCAACCCUUCUAUUGGCAAACUCAAGAGCCUCAUAUCCUUGGAAUUGUGUUAUUGUGAUAAUCUGAAAGAGCUACCAGAGGAAGUUGGGGAAUUGCAAGAACUAAAAGAACUCCUUUUAAUUUCUAUUGGCAUCACAAAGAUUCCUAUGUCAAUCUAUUCUCUGAGGAAGCUAGAGAAACUGGCUAUAAGAUCUUGUCAUUCAUUGGUUGAAAUCCCUCUCACAAUUGGGAGUCUUUCAUCUCUCCAAUACCUUGACCUUUAUUUCUGUUCGUCAUUAAGGAAAAUCCCUUAUUCGAUUGGGAAUCUUUCUUAUUUCAAACGACUUGAACUAGGUUGUUGUACGUCAUUGACAGAAAUCCCUAGCUCAAUUGGAAAUCUUUCUUCUCUUGAACAACUUAAUCUAAACGAUUGUUUGUCAUUGAUAGAAAUCCCUAGCUCAAUUGGGAAUCUUUCUUCUCUCAAACAACUUGAUCUAAAGAGGUGCAAAUUAUUGAAAAAAAUCCCUAGCUCAAUUGGGGAUCUUUCUUCACUCAAACAACUCCAGCUAGGGAUUUGCUCGUCAUUGACAGAAAUCCCUAGCUCAAUUGGGAAUCUUUCUUCUCUUGAACAACUUGAUCUAGAUGAUUGUUGGUCAUUGACAGAAAUCCCUAGCUCAAUCAGGAAUCUUUCUUCUCUUGAACAACUUCAGCUAGGGUUUUGUUCAUCAUUGACAGAAAUCCCUAACUCAAUUGGGAAUCUUUCUUCUCUUGAACAACUUCAGCUAGGGUUUUGUUCAUCAUUGACAGAAAUCCCUAACUCAAUUGGGAAUCUUUCUUCUCUCAAACAACUUCAGCUAAUGGGUUGCUCGUUACUAACAGAAAUCCCUAGCUCAAUUGGGAAUCUUUCUUCUCUCAAACAACUUCAGCUAGUGGGUUGCUCGUCAUUGACAGAAAUCCCUAGCUCAAUUGGGAAUAUUUCUUCUCUUGAACACCUACAGCUAGGGGGUUGCUCGUCAUUGACAGAAAUCCCUAGCUCAAUUGGGAAUCUUUAUUCUCUCGAACAGCUUCAGCUAGGGCGUUGCUCGUCAUUGAUAGAAAUCCCUAGCUCAAUUGGAAAUCUUUAUUCUCUCAAACAGCUUCAGCUAGGGGGUUGCUCGUCAUUGAUAGAAAUCCCUAGCUCAAUUGGGAAUCUUUUUUCUCUCAAACAGCUUCAACUAGAGGGUUGCUCGUCAUUGACAGAAAUCCCUAACUUAAUUGGGAAUCUUUAUUCUCUAGAACAGCUUCAGUUACGGGGUUGCUCGUCAUUGAUAGAAAUCCCUAGCUCAAUUGGAAAUCUUUAUUCUCUCGAACAGCUUCAGCUAGAGUGGUGCUCGUCAUUGACAGAAAUCCCUAGUUCAAUUGGGAAUCUUUCUUCUCUCAAACAGCUUCAGCUAGGGUUUUGCUCGUCAUUGACAAAAAUCCCUAACUCACUUGGGAAUCUUUCUUCCCUCCAACAACUUGAUCUAGGGGAUUGCGUGUCAUUGACAAAAAUCCCUAGCUCAAUUGGGAAUCUUUCUUCUCUCGAACAACUUUAUCUAAUGAGAUGCGAGUUAUUGACAGAAAUCCCUAGCUCAAUUGGGAAUCUUUCUUCUCUUAAACAGCUUCAACUAGGGUUUUGCUUGUCAUUGACAAAAAUCCCUAGCUCAAUUGAGAAUCUUUCUUCUCUCGAACAACUUGAUCUAGGGGAUUGCGUGUCUUUGACAAAAAUCCCUAGCUCAAUUGGGAAUCUUUCUUCUCUCGAACAACUUUAUCUAAUGAGAUGCGAGUUAUUGACAGAAAUCCCUAGCUCAAUUGGGAAUCUUUCUUCUCUCAAACUACUUGAUCUAAGGGAUUGUGUGUCAUUGAGAGAAAUCCCUAGCUCAAUUGGGAAUCUUUCUUCUCUCAAACAACUUUAUCUAAGGGGUUGCGAGUUAUUGACAGAAAUCCCUAACUCAAUUGGAGAUCUUUCUUCUCUCGAACAAGUUAGCUAGGGGGUUGUGUCAUUAAGAGAAAUCCCUAACUCAAUUGGGAAUAUUUCUUUUCUCAAAGUACUUGGACUAGAGGCUUUAGAGGCUUGCAAGUCAUUGAGAGAAAUCCCUAACUCAAUUAGGAAUUUUUUUUUUUCUCUCGAACAACUUGAUCUAAUGGGUUGUGAGUUAUUGAUAGAAAUCCCUAACUCAAUUGGGGAUCUUUCUUCUCUCGAGCAACUUGAUUUGAGGGGUUGCAUGUCAUUGACAGAAAUCCCUAGCUCAAUUGGGGAUCUUUCUUCCCUCGAACAACUUAAGCUAGGGAUUGUGUGUUAUUGAGAGAAAUGCCUAACUCAAUUGAGAAUCUUUCUUCUCUAAAAAAACUUGGACUAGAGGCUUGCGAGUCAUUAAGACAAAUUCCUAGCUUAAUUAAGAAUCUUUCUUCUCUCAAAGGGCUUUAUCUAUCACAUUGCGUGUCAUUGAGAGAAAUCCCUAGCUCAAUUAUAAAUCUUUCUUCUCUCAAAUACCUUAACCUUUACAGGUGUUGUUCACUAAAAGAAAUUCCUACCUCAAUUGGGGAUUUACCGAAUUUGCAAAGCACUAGGGAUUUUUGACCUUGAAUAGUUACCCAGUGCUAUUGGAAGGUUGAACAAACCGGCAAAGGCUAUUUCUUAAAUCUUGUGAUAGUCUAAAGGGGGGAAUUCCAAGAGAAAUUGAUGACUUGUCUUUGUUCGUGGUUUUCCAUAUCACUAGCACAUUUAUAUUUGACCCACUAGAAAGCAUCUAGAAUCUUUCUUCUCUCUAAUGCCUUGACCAAGAGGGCAGUAAGGAGCUCCGAUUGUUGCUAGAGCUUUCUUCCAGCUUAACAUAUCCUUAGGUCAAUUCCCUAAUUCCGAGGUUGCCAGAGCUUUCUUACCUUUUCCACCUGGAAGAACUUCAUUUUUAUGAAUAUGAUCAACUUGAGUACUUCCCAGAGCUUACCUCAAGACUCUUGAAACUUUGUGUUGACUCUUGUCCUAAGUUGAUAUUGCCUCAACUUGACAUAUUCAAGUACUUGGAAGAGUUUGUCAAUGAAACACAACAAUUCGAUUGAAAGAAUGGACCUCACAAUCGAAUCUUCUAAAAGGAUUGGACAUUGAGGAUUGCGAUAUUCUAGUUGAAAUUUAAGGCCAAGGUGAAUUGGAGUUCUUGGAGACAAUACGUACAUAUAGCUAGAAGUCCAUUAGAAGGCCGAUCCAUCCGAAAUUACAAGGGCUUGAAGCGAUUAAAUACUUGCUGUUGCGACAAUCUAGUCGAAAUACAAGGUCUUGAUAAGGUGGAGUUGUUAGAGAUGUUGAAUGUCUGUAAUCCCGGUUCCAUUGAAAGAUUACUUGACCUAUGAUGCUUUUGGAACUUGAAAGAGUUGAAUAUCAAUGGUUGUUGUAAUCUAUGUGGUGUCUGUUGAGGCUCAGUUCCUAGUCUUACAUAAUUGCAAGAGUGGGGAAGUUGGUCCUAGAAGCGAACAUGAUGCUUCAACCAAGAUCAAAAUUUAGAUCCAAUUGUGGUUUUUCAUACGUUAGAAGGCGUUGGUCAUCUGGUAAGAUUUUUUGUCUUUUAACAACUAGCAUGAGCAAAGAGUGUAAUACUUUUCUAACAGAUAUAUCUUUUAAGAAUUAUUUGCUCGAUGCUCAGUAUCUAUUUGAUCUGGAUUUGCCUAAAUAUAUUUGCUAUUGAUUGCAUCACGACAAUGUUUUUUUAGCUAAUCUUCAAUCAGCAACUUUUGCAGAUAGAUUGGCGGCUUGUGAGGCAACAAAUUAAAAUUAAUGAUAUAAGUAAACAAGAAUUACUUAAUGAUUUAGGUCCCGUUUGGUUCGACAUUUAGAAGGCACUUUGGGACUGUAAAGUCCCUGGGCCAAAUGCAAAUGCGUUUGGUUCGCCUUUUUGGGUGACUUUGGCAAGAUGCAAUUGCAUUUUCAAGUAACUCUAAGAGACUAGCCCAAUGCAGCUUUGGAGGUACUUUGGAAAGUUGCAUCUUCGGAAUGCAAGUCCCCGAUACUAUUCAUUUUCCCCAAAACCACUGCACACCACUGCACGAAGAAGCCGAUCGGAGGCCGACGACCAUCAGCCAAGGGGUCGCGCGCGCCGGCGAUCGUCGCUUGAGGGUCGCCCGUCAGGCGACGGUCGCCGGGGUUGGGCAACCCCAGGUGAUGGUUGCUGGGGUCAGGCAACCCCAGGCGGUCGUGCAACCUAGGCGACGGUGGUCGAGGUCGCGUGACCUCGGCAACCGUUUGGGGGCUAGAUCCGAUGGUUAGACUUCAUAAAAAAAUGCAAAUUUUCUUUUAUUUUUUUAAUUUAAUAAAAAUCAUUUACAAAUGCAAAUUUUACCAAACAAUAUUUCAGCUAAAUUUGUUUCUCAAUGCAAAUUUUACCAAACGUUAUUUGCAUUUCGGAAAACUCCAUUCUCCCAAAGAUAUUUGCAUUUUUGCAAAUGUAUUCCCCAAAAAUCGAACCAAUCGAGCCCUUACAGUUUCCCUCUCGGUAAACCCAAGAUGAGAAUUUUUCAUCAAGAGGUUGAUCUUCUGCAACUCAAUUUAUAAACUGCACCUACAUCCCUUUUUUCUCUAUGUCUCAAACUAGUAUUUUCUUUAAAAAAAAUCUUUGCCAUUUUGAACUCUUUUGUGAGCAAUUUUAUGUGUCAGAUUUUUUUUUCAUAAUUUUAUGUGUCAGAUUUGACUAUUGGUAGAUAUCUUGGUUAGGACAAACAGCUCUCGAUUUUUCAUGAUGAUGGGAAAGUCUGUCCAUUGUUCAUUCAAGCAUGAAUUCCCAGUAAGGAAUAGAAACUGAGCUAAAAUAAAAAUCAAGGUUCAAUUUUUUUUUCUGGUGCGUGAUUUAAAAAAGUAAAAAUUAGUUUUGGCUAGCCUUUUUCAUCUAUGAUUGUAGGCAGGCUUUCCAUAAACAAUAGUGAGACUUUUGAAAGAUUAUCAAGCGAGAUAAAAUGGUGCUACUUUUGUGACAGGUCCGGUUGGUCUAUGCAAUGAUCAAGGCUUACUUUUGGACUUCAAUUCAAAGAGCUGUAUAGAUGACCUUUUGCAUAAUUGGGACAAUUUUUUGCCUGCUCUGUAAAACAAGCUAGGCGAGGAGCUUAAGAUUUUGCUUAUUAUUUUGCAUCUCGUUUGAUCUCGAUGUUGUCGUGGAAUCAUUUUAUCAAAUGAUUGAUUUGGGUCUGGCUAACUCAGCUGAGGCAAUUCAUAGUCCAUACCAGAGAACAAUCAAAUGAAAAAGAGGGAUUUUGCUGAGGUGUCAUCAGCAACAGCUGAAGGCUAGCUUUUGUGCGACCUUGAACAGGCUCACAGGCUAACUAGAGUGUCCUAAGGAAGUUUUUUAUGCCCGUGAAGAUCAAAGCACUUGAUAUGGUUUCAUUGGCACAAAACUGAAUGAUUGUGAAUGUAUUAUUUUUUAAUUGAAUCUACUUUUUGUAUGCUUAUUAGGUUCUACCUUUAUUAAGCAAAUACAUACGUGCUGAUUUUUCUACAUGUUAACCAGAUGUAGAGUUCUUCAAUGCAAAGCGCUCUAAUGGUAUCAUUCCCAAACUCAGUCAAGCUCUGCAGAUAGAGGUAUGCACUGCCAGUCCUGCCAUAACCGUGAAAGAGUGACUUGUGUACUUAUAUUUAAUCGAAUGUGUUGUAUGCUUGUUAGGUUCUACCUCUUUGUUAAUCGAAUAUGUACGUGCUGAUUUUUCUGCAUGUUACCCUAAUGCGGAGUUGUUUGAUGCAGUCUCGUUCUAAUGAUAUCACUUUCAAACCUGAUGAGGCUCUGCAGAUGGAGGUAUGUACUACCAGUUGUACCAUAAUAGAGUAACUUCUGUGCUUAUACUAUGUGAGCUGUGGAAUUUCACCAGAAAUCCUUGAACUAGGAUGCAUGAUGACAAUCUCCUCUUUUUCGCUAAUUGGAUAUUGCAAAAUAAUCAAGUAACAAGUACACCUUUCUAUUCUGUAGUUUGGGCACUUUGCCUUUUCAGCAUCCGUUCUAUUCAUAAACACAAACAAGGAUGAUGGUGCUGAUUGCUGACUUCUCUUCUCUUAAGUCCGUUGCUUUCUAUUUCUUUGGCUGAUAAUGAAUUCUGUUGAUUGCGAUCCAACUGCGAAUUAAUCAGAGACCCCGGGAAUGUGUGGCAAAACUAAUGUCCCCAGAUUUUGGUGUUGAUAGAUGAGAUGCAUUGAAGUGGUCACUCGUAGAUCGUCAGAAUCUGGACCAGGUCAAAAUAACCUUGUUUAUAUUGAUGGACUCUCAAGUCUAUGCUUACUACUUUCAGCUAAUUUUAGGUUCUUCAUUCCAAAUACAUCUAAAAAUAGACGGAACUAAGGAUCCAUGCAGCUGUGCCUUUAUCUCUCUUCGAGAUGAUUGGAAAGUGUGACAUAUUUUUACUCUCAACCAUCUCGUGUAACACAUGCAUCGCCCUCAUUUUUUUACCAUCUUUAGCAAGUGCCCGGGUGGAGACUAGUUAUAAGUCUUCUAAGGUUGAAUUUGUUAGUGUUUGUAACUUUUGAUGAAAUAUCAUAAACAACCUGAAUUUAUCAUUCUUUCUUUUCCUGAAUCCAUCACGAAGUACAUAUGUAGCUAGUAGAAUUAUAAUUAUUUUCAAAAUCUCAUGUGACAACAGUUGAUUGGAAAAGCCAAUGAGUGUGAGACCCAAAUACAGGGUUUACAUUUGAUGAUGCGGUUCAAACCAUAAGAGACACACCUUCGGGUCGUCCAAAACUUCUUAACGACUUGCCUCAAAGGACACAAUCAAGAGAAGGGAACAAAAUCUCACCGAGGAAUGAAGAAGGAGAAGGAGAAGGGGAAGGAGAAGAAGAAGAUUGCCUCAACUGAGUUGACAACAAACUUGCUGCUACCGCUGCUACCGGGACCUUCUCAUGUGGACUCCGGUGCCACCUCCUCUGUGGUAUACUGGUAUGAUGACUAAUUCAUGAAAUAUUUGAUAUAAUGCCAAAGUGCUAAUUUCCAAGUCCCCUUCAUUUAUUGAGUAUUAUAAGCUUGCACAAGUUCAAUUUCCUUGCUCUCGUAUCAGCGGCAGCAUCACAAAGUCCGGUCUUCUAAUUCCCAAGGAAAUGUUCAUUUUUUAUUCUUCGCAGGGGUUUAUACCGAUAAAUUGUUGAUACUCCCUGCAAUAACCGCCGACGAUCGUGGUUUACAUGGUCACAUCUAGCUCUCAGCGUGUCUUCCAAAUUCUUCAGCAAUCGAACGGCUUUUCCAGUAUUGCGGGUUCUGCACAAUCCCUCAUCAUGGCUUGGCACGUGGUUAUAUCUACCUCGAUUGUCUGGCCAACAUUUCAUCCGCCAAGCUCAUGGCUUUGGCGAUUCUACCCUCUCCAACGAGCCCAUUGAUCAAAGUGUUAAAAGCUCGCAGUUGUGGGUUCAAGUCCAAGUUUGACCAUUUUACACAACUGAGGACCCGAGAUCGGAUCUUUUCAAUUGGCAGAGGUAAUUCAUCAUAAUGUUGCGAGUAGAACUGUUGGGAGUCGUUCCUUUCGAACCCAUCCGCUCGAUCAUGUCAAUGGUCACGGGGUAAUGCUUCAUCUUGGCCCCGAUCCCCAAGAGUUGGGCGAAACAGGGAGGUAAAGUCAAGAGGGUUCACUCAAAUCGUCCUCUCCAAGAAGAAUAAAGCAUUGUCAGCUUCCACCAAUCCGCCAUUUCUGCAUUUGUUCACCACAAAGGUCACAAGUUCAGAUUGAUCCAUUUGAAUCACUCACUCCAGCAGUGGAUGGGCAACCGUGGGAGCGACGUGAAAGAAAAUGGUUCGAUGCAAAGAUGGGAUGAGAAGUGAGAGGUUUAACGAGAUCGCCAGAUUCUCGAACAAGACGGUGAAGAGCAGAAGUGCAGAUGGAUGGAUUUAUUCUCAUCAGUUUUGCCAAAUUUUCUCCUUCCAAGUUCCGACAAUCCACAAAUUGACGCGAUGGUGUAUGGAGAGGAUGAUUGUUAGGCAAUUUAAUCACUGCAACUUUAGAUGUCUGAUAACAACAUAGUUUUCGGUUCAAUCAUUGAAAACUAAUUGUUUGCCAAACUGAACAUUUCAAGAAAUACUCUAAUUGAUUCAUUCCCAUACUCGGCAGUUGAGGAGAGAUCAGUAUGCAAAAUCAUGCUCUUAUACUGUUGUGAAAACAACUAUGAAAUCCACGUUUGAAACCAAAUCUGAAAGGAUAGAUAUCUCACACAAUGAUGGCGAACACUAGUGGGGUUGAAGGAUCGCUUGUCGAAAUGAACGUUUCUAGUCUUACUAUUGUCUGCCUGAAAAAAUGAGAACUUAAUACAAAUGUUUCUACUAUUGUCAUUGUGUGCACAGAACAUACUACAUUAUACCAAUUUAAAAUUUUGAUUUUGUUCUGUUUGACACUUUCUUACGUAUCGAAUGAGGCAAUCAUCCCAGCUCAUAUGUCGCAAAAUGACGUCACAGGGAAAUUUUGAUGGUUUAUAUUUGAAGCAUGUAACUUUGCAAAAGAACAUAAUAUUUCGGUCCUCUUUUCCCCGAUGGCAUAGGAUUGCUUAUUUAGUGAAUAAACUCUAAACAUUUAAGGAUCGUGUUAAUUCACCUAGUUGAAGUCAGUAGAGGUGAGUGAGAGAUGGCUCGUACACUAAUUGAUUGCUAAAUUUAAAAAAAAAAACAGCUAAUGAAUUAAGAAAAAUUGUAAGCUGUAAGUCUGGACUGCGAAAUCCAUUAUCUGUCUUUGAUAAUGUGGUACUGCGAAGACCGAUUCAUUAUGGGUCCUUGGCAAUUUUCAGGCCAUCUAAUAAAUUUCAAACCAUGGAUAGCUAAUACCCCUCUUCACUGUUAUGACUUUGCUACCUGUGCAUUUUGGGUUCAGGUCAUAGGAUUACCUCUGGAAUGUUGUACUGAUGAUAUGAUACGCAAAGCUGUUAGUUCAGUAGGCUCUGUUCUGCAUGUAAAAUCUGAGUUUGCCUCUGGUUCAGCCCUGAAGGCUUGCCGUGCUCGUGUUGAACUGGAUUUAUCUGAACCAUUAAAGGUGGGUCGACUCAUUAAACUUAAAAAUCGAACUUUGUGGUUGGACUUUCGCUAUGAAAGAUUACCUCAUUACUGCUAUUCGUGUGGACGUCUGGGCCAUUAUACUGCUUCCUGUCCUUCUAUUCCUUUUGAGGAGAAAAUGAUCCAUGAAUCUGACUCUACUCCUUACGGCCCCUGGCUAAAGCUGAAAUUCAAAAGUACAGUCCUUAUUGGAACUGUUAUUACGGCCAACUAAUUUGGAGGAGAUAGCGAGGAAUCUAUACCUGAAACUCCUCCCUCCAAGAGUCUUCUUUGUCCUUUUCCUCUUCUUUUACCCCCCAAUUACCAUACAACCACUCAACCAGACCCUGUUAUUCCAUCCCAAAUCAGAACACAACUGAUUCCUCAAGGAAACCUCCCUCCGAGCCAAAGAACCCUUAACCACUCCUUUAAUCCCCUGCCACAGAGAAGAUGAAGGGAGUGAAAUGGCCAGUAUUAUCUCCUCAGAAAAAAAAAGGGCAAAGUACUCGACCAGUAAGUAAGAUCAGUCCUUCAAAGAAACUCAGGCGCUAUAAUCCCUAUGAUCUACCAGAAGGAUAUUUGGGGGGCUAUGAUGAUUCGCUUUUGUUGGACACGCCAAUUUUGGAGGCAUCUGAAGAAGUACUCUGGGCGACGGUGGCUGGCCCUAAACAGUCACCAGAUCAAAGAUGAAACUUAUAGGAUGGAACUGUCAGGGUUUGGGCAAUCCCCUGACAGCCCUAUCUUUAAAAGCCCUUUUGGCUAAGGAAAAGCCUGACCUCUUAUUUUUGAUGGAGACGAAAAAUGCUGAUGACGUUCUCCUUCGGUUGAAAAGGUCUUCGGGUUUUUUGCAUCACAAGCUAGUCACCCCUGUUGGAUUAGCUGGUGGUUUAGCUCUUUUUUGGAAUGCAGGGCUCUCUCUGUCAGAUUUCAUAUCCUCUCCGCAUAUUCUGGAUUUUACCUGUUUUGACAUCUCUGAAGCCAGAUCAAUGCGGAUUUCUUGUAUUCAUGCCCCUGCAGUCUAUCAAGAACGUCAGUAUCUUUGGCAGACCUUGCGCCACUUUAGCAAUUUCAAUGUCUUACCUUGGGUGUGCUUCGGUGAUUUUAACGAAAUUUUACACCGAUGGGAGAAAGUAGGCUCCAGACCAGCGGAUUCUUACCGUCUUUCUUCUUUUCGAGAAGUCCUCAAUGACUGUAGACUGAUGGAUUUGCCCUCUCAUGGUUGUGCCUUUACGUGGUCAAACAACAGAGAUGCCGAAGCCUUGGUCAAGGAACGCUUGGAUCGAGCGAGCUGUAUGUACUUCUGAAUGGCGUGUCUCUUACCCCAACGCCGAUGUGACAGCUCUACCUGCAGUAGGUUCAGAUCACAGCCCUCUGGUUAUUCACACAAAUCCUAGCAUAACUCGGAGACAGAGAAUCUUUACCUUUGAGGCAUUCUGGAAUCAGGAUCCUGGCUGUAAAUCAGUGAUUGAGUCCUCCUGGAAUUCUAUCUCACGAAGGGAAUCUCCUCUCCCAAUCAAACUUCGUGCAGUUGUCAGUGCUUUAUCUCGGUGGAGUCGCCAGGUUUUCUCCCACAACAAGAAGAAGGCAACAGAAUUAGAACAACAGUUACUAUAUUUAUCAAAUCAGCAACCUACUUCUCAGAAUCAAUUGCAGCAACAGAGGAUUAAAGAAGAACUUCAACAAGCGUGGCAGAGGGAAGAGCAAUAUUGGGCAAUGCGAUCGAGAAUAAACUGGUUACAAUGGGGCGACCGCAAUACUAAGUUUUUCCAUGCUUCUACUCUUCAACGAAGGCAACGAAAUCAGAUUGUUAUAUUGAAAGAUGAGAAUCAGCAAUGGGUGAGGGAUCGUGACCAGAUCAAACAUAUGACUACCCUUUAUUACUCACAGUUAUACACCACUUCCGGGUCCAGACCUUAUGCACAGAUAUUAGAUCAAUGUCCAAGAAUGGUGGAUGCAGAAAUGAAUGCUGGUCUACUUGCUCCUCCUACUCCUGAAGAGGUCCGCGUUGCUACCUUUCAACUAGGCGCUUCAAAGGCACCAGGACCCGAUGGUUUAAACGGAUUAUUCUACCGAACGCAUUGGGAAAUCAUUAAAACAGACAUUCACAAGGCAGUACAGCAAUUUUUUCAAAGUGGCACGCUACCCCCAUCCCUAAACAACACAGCUAUAACCUUGAUUCCCAAAACUCCUCACCCGGAAAGCCUAGAUCAGUACCGCCCUAUUAGCCUCUGCAACUUUAUCUACAAAAUUUUCGCUAAGCUGCUUGCUAAUAGAUUGAAACCUUUGUUGCCUCUACUGAUCACCGAAGAACAGAGCGCCUUUGUUGCUGGCCGACAGAUUCAGGACAAUGUUCUAAUAGUACAAGAACUCAUUCACCAGCUCAAAACAAGGCAACGUAAGCGUCAUUUUAAAGCCAUUCUAAAAGUAGACAUGCAGAAAGCUUAUGACCGUGUUGAGUGGGACUUUCUCCGAGAUUAUCUACUUCGAUUGGGAUUUCAUUCACAGUGGGUCCAUCUCAUAAUGCAGUGUAUCUCAACGCCUUCUUUCUCUAUUAAAAUGAAUGGGGAGUUCUCACCAAGAUUUCAACCUUCACGUGGACUGAGGCAGGGAGAUCCCUUAUCCCCUUACUUGUUCAUUAUUAUUGCAAACCUCUUAUCCAUCCUAAUUAGAAAUGCCGUGAAUAUGGGCUCUCUCAAGGGAAUAAAAUUGAACCAAUCGUGUCCUACUCUUUCACAUGGGCAUUCGCCGAUGACGCGGUGUUUUUUAUGGAUGGUACCCUCUUGGAGUGUCAGCACCUCUAUAACAUUCUAAUCAAUAUUGCCUAGCAUCAGGACAAAUGAUCAACCGAAAUAAAUCUGGAAUUUUUUUCAGUUCCUCUUGCCCUAUUGCUCUUCAGGAAAAUUUAGCUGCUGAAUUGCGAGUUCCAGUCUUACAGCGUUGUGGGAAGUACCUAGGGAUACCUACUGAUUGGGGAAGAUCUAAACGAGAUAUGUUUUCUUGGCUGCUGAGUAGAGUCCAAGCCAAACUAGAAGGAUGGAAGGAGAAGCUUAUAUCUAAGGGGGGGAAAGAAGUUCUCCUAAAGGCGGUUAUUCAAUCUAUCCCUCAGUAUGCAAUGUCUGUGUUCAAGAUUCCGGUAUCUUUAUGUAGAGUUAUUGAGAAAAGAAUGGCUAAAUUCUGGUGGAGUAAUGAUACAAGCAGGUCUGGUGUGCACUGGCAAAGCUGGAAUCGUCUACAAACUCGAAAAGAACUUGGUGGAUUAGGAUUCAGGGAUUUAGUGAGUUUUAAUCUCGCCAUGCUCGGUAAGCAAGCAUGGCGUCUACUGAAUCAACCAUCAUCUUUGUGGAGUAAGCUUUUCAGGGGAUUAUAUUUCCAUUCUUCCACUUUUUUAAAAGCAAACAAGGGUUCUCGCCCCUCAUGGGGCUGGCAAAGUUUAUUAUGUGGCAGGGAUGCAAUAUUACCUCAUAUUAGCUGGUCUGUGGGAGAUGGAUCAUGCAUCAAAAUCAGAGAAGACAGAUGGCUUCCUAUGGGAAUUUUAGUAGGACCUAAAGCCCCUGAAGAACCUAUCUACGUAGCUGAUCUUAUGGAUCAAUCUGCCAGUUCAUGGAGAAUUGAUUUGUUAUCGAAAUUUUUUGAUAUGCCUAUUAUUAAUCAGAUCAGAGACAUUCAACUCAGACCUCACUUUACCACAGAUACACUCAUUUGGUCAGCAACAAAGCAAGGCAUAUUUACGGUCAAAUCAGCAUACCAUGCACUUAUUCACACUCAAUCGACCAGCACAACCUCAUCUGCAUCAACAUCAUAUCAAACCCCUACCUGGUUAUGGCGCUCUAUCUGGAAAAUGCCUGCAGCUCCCAAAAUCCGAGUAUUUCUUUGGUCUAUCUGCAAUGAUGCCUUGGCAACGCGAGUGAACCUGCAUCGACGACAUAUCUUAGACAGUCCCUGCUGCACGCUGUGUAAAAGGAAAACACCAGAAACUAUAGAGCACUUACUAUUACUCUGCUCAUGGACUCGACAGGUUUGGAAUCAUCCUCAGAUUCGGCUUUCUGUCCUUCCCAGUAAUAUCACCCGUAUGGAUUCAUGGAUCACUUCACUGGUCGGGACAGAGAAUCGUUUACCUCGGCUAGCCUUUAUUUCUCACAUUUUGUGGCAGAUCUGGCGUGCUCGAAACGCCUUCGUCUUCCGAGGUACGUAUCCCAAAUCCCUUCAAGUAGUAGAAGCAGCUCUAACUGGUGCUCAAGCGGACCGAUCAUCCUCAACCUCAAACCUGCACCGGAACAGUUCUGUCAUUAAUCGAUCCCAUCAAUGGCGUCCUCCAGAUCUUGGGGUGUUGAAAGUCAAUAUCGACGGAUCAUUUCACCAAGGCAGCAACAAAGGAUCGAUUGCUUGUAUUUGCAGGGAUCAUCAAGGACGACUUACCGAUGGGUUCUCCGAAGGGGUAGCCGCGGUCUCAGCUCUUCAGGUCGAGAUUCAAGCCCUAUCUUUAUCGCUUCGACAUCUUCUGCACCAAGGACUCCAAUCAGCAACUAUCGCCGUUGAAUCAGACAGCCUAACGCUGGUCGAAACUCUCAACAGCCACUCUCAGCCACCAUGGAUGGAACGUUCCCUGUUCGCCGAAGCAGCCUUUCUCCUAACCCUAUUCCCCAAUCUCGAGCUAGGGUUUUGCCGAAGAGAGGCGAAUGCUGUUGCCGACUGGGCUUGUAAGGCCCAUCAUCCCACCUCUUUGAAGUGUAAUUGGGCCCUUAACUCCCCCCCGCUCUCUUGAACUUAUUAUGUGCGGAUGCUCUAGCCGCGGGAUGUAAGGCCUUUUCAUCUUAAUACUAUGUUCGUUCCGUUCAAAAAAAAGAAAAAAAGUUCGUCAUGAAUCACAAAACCAAUCGCAUGAGUAGUGUUGGGAAAAAGAAUCAUUGAUGAUGACAUCCUAAUGAACGAAAAUGAAAAGAUUCUUUUUCCCAACUUCAAUUGUCCCCCAUUUUCACAAGGAGUAUGGUUUACAAUUCGGUUCUCAUCUUGAGGAUACCAAUUGUGCAUAUAGCGCAAAACAGACGUAAAGGUUUGAUCAAUAACUUCUUCUUUUAUGCUUAUCUUUAUCAUUGUGUCAUUCAAUUGGAGUAAAACACGCGCCUAAUUAGCAAUUCCACUCUAUGAGAACACAGAAAGACAAUAAUUUACAAAAUGGGAAUAAGUAUUGUAAAAGAUUCUUUUAUUCAUUUGCUCUAUAACAUAAAGGAGCAAUUCAUGAAAAAAAUAUGAGUACUCAGAUGUAAUUAAUUACAAUAAAAGGCAAGCCUUUGAGGUGAAGAGACCAAAACCGAUUGUCCAACGAAAUGUAAAUAUAUGCUUAGGUGGAGCAUUUUUGGUGGAGAAUACAGUAAAUCCAAGUUUUGCAAUAUGAAUAAGACUUCUCUAGUUAUCAUUAGUCUUAUGCGUCAUGGGAAGUGAUGCUUUAGCAAUACUUUGUUAUUACAUAUUUGUAUAAAUGAGACCAUAUAGAAUUUGUAAUACCUGGUAGCUUAAUGAUUACGCAUGAACGUUUUCCCAGUAUAUCAAUUUUUUUUUCUUCUAGAUUUUUCCGGAUCGGGGAGUGCAGGUAAAGACUAGUUGUGCCAUGUAAGAGUCUUAUUUAGAUCAUAAAACAAACCUCAAUUGAUGCAAAAACAACCCUUCCUAUCAUUAAGUGAAGUGGAAAGUAUAUGACGAUAGGUGCAUAAUAGACCAAGCUAUCUAAUUGCCAAUAGAUCUCAUAAUAAAUUAGCAGAUAUUCUGAAGGAAAAUGCAUCUAGACUAUAGACUAGUAGUAUAGGAACUCAGAGAAAAUCUCACGGAUUGAUGCGGUAGAAUAAUAGUUGAUCUUUUUUUUUAUAGACUUACUCACAUCUGGAAGAUGUAUACCAACAACUUUUUCGCUCACCUUAUUAAUUUUUUUUUUUAGAGAGUGCAUGCAUCUUCCAAUUUUUUUGGGUACAUCCUUGUACUAAAGAGUCUGCAUGGGUAGAUGGAAGAAGUGCUAUGCAGUAGGGUGAAGUUAUGAAUCCAACCGUCCAUCCUCGAGGAUGCAAUAGAAUGGGCCUUGAAUGAAGGUACUAAUCAAUACCUUUUUGUUCCUAUCCACGUCAGACACAAUAACAAUUCAUACAUGUUUUUUAUUGGUCACUUUCUUAAAAAGUCAAUAACACGUGUAUAGUUUCUACUACAUUGAGCAUUUCCAGAUACAUAGAGAUUAGUGAAAAUAGUGUAUGGAGAUUAUUGGGUCUUGUUUGGUUUAAUUAAUAAGAAAUUAAUGAGUGAACUCUCGUUCCUUGAAGUUACAUUUCAUUAUUUUUCUUUCUUUAACUAUUGAUUUAACUUUAAUGCGGAAUUUCAUUUUUAUUGUUUGAAGAUUAAUCAUUGCCGUGAACUAACUUAAGCUGCUACCACAAACGCACCACCACCACCCACCCACUUAUUUGCCGCCUCCUCACCACCUCAAAUGCACACCUCUCGGGGUGAUUAGUUCCCAAUUCGAUCUAGUUUCUAAAUGGAACCGAGAACUGGACCAGGUACUCUAGUUCCGAAAUGGAACCGAGAACCGGACUAGGAGAACCGGUUCUCAAAAUUGGGAAUCAUGGACUGGACCGUUAAGUCGUAGGACCGGGAACCAAACCGGACUGCCAAUUUCAGCCAAGUCCGAUCUAGUCCAACGAAACUAAGCACUUUUUUUGUUUUCUUUUUUCACUAAAGAGUGGUCGUGCUUCAUCAAUCAAUCCAAUUUGGUUCUCGAGCGGUCCAAUAAAAUUAAUUGCACAUGUUCCCACAUGCAAAAAAUUUACUCAUGCGAACAUCAAUCACAUUUAAUGUAUUUUACACUCAAAUCUUAAUCAUAAAGGCUGUGAAUGAUAUGGCUAAAGAUCGUGCUUGGCUUAGAUUUUAUAAACAAUCUCUCUUAUACUCUGAGUAUUUGGUUGAUGUGGGACUCUUGGAGGCUACGGAUGCCUUGUGUUUUGCAAGUGAGGAGAGCAAGUGAGAGAGAGAGAGGGAGAGAGAGAGAGUGAGUGAGCGUGAGGAAUGAGGGUUUCUUGAAGCCUUAGUCUCAUAUCGGGUGGAAAAAGAAACUAACAAGUAGGCUUUCUCUUUAAAUAAAGAGGAACAAGAAGAGUUUUGAUGACUACUUGGCCGUAAUAUUUGCAAUUCCGGCUGUAGUAAGUUUUAUAUAUAAUAUAUGUAUAUAAACUUUAUAUAUAUUAAAUUCGGUCCGAUCGGUCCAAUUCUCACCUUGGAAUUGGGAACGUGAUCGACUAGCCACCAGUUCCAAGAAUAGGAACCGACAACUGGACUGCCGAUUGUGGAAAUCGCGCGGCUUAUGGUUCGAGCAGUUCUUGUUGCACACCCCUACACAUCACCACUACAAGGAUGCCAUUAGCUCAACAACUGCACCAACUGCCCACUGCCACUGGCCACCACCAAAUCACCCAUUGCGCCCAUGCUCCACCGCCACGAGCCAUGCUGCAGCCACCAUCAAAGCACCACGGCCACCACCAACAAUAUUCCAAUACCACCAAAAUGCGCAAGCAAGAACCUCCUCAUCACUUCCCCCGUCACUCCUGAUUCCACCCCCUUCCACUCGCCCACCGAGUCAGCCCCUCCUCCCACCUCCCCGACCUCCUCCACCCCGCCGUGAUUCUCCAAUCACGACCACUGCUGUCGGCUGCUCCCAGCCGGCACCACUUGGAGAGUGUUAAUGGACUCUCAAGUCUAUGCUCUCAGCUUUCAGGUAAUUUUAGAUUCCUCAUAACAAAUACAUCUGAAAAAAAGACAGAACUAACUAAGGAUCAAUGCAGCCGCGCGCAUAUCUCUUUUUGAGAUGAUUGGAGAGCGUAACACAGUUUAGUCUUGACCAUCUCGUGUAACACAUCCAUCGCCCUUAUGUUCUGACCAUUUUUAACAAGUCUCACAAGGUUGAAUUAGUUAGUGUUCAUAACUUUUGAUGAAAUACCUGAAUUUAUCAUGCAAUCUUUUCCUGAAUCUAUGACAAAGUACAUAUGUAGCUAGCACAAUAAUUAAUUAUUUUCAAAAUCUCACGUGACAACAGCUAAUUGGAAGCCAAUGAGUAUGAGACCGAAUUACAAGGUUCGUAUGUGAUGAUGCGGUUCAAAACUAUAAGAGCGCGCACACACCUCCAGGUCGUCCAGAACUUCUGCAUGACUUGCCUCCAAGGAUACAACCAGGAGAAGGCAACAAAAUCUCACCAAGCAAUGAUAUAAGCUGAAAGAGGAAGAAGAAGAAGCAUUCUGUGCCAUCAUUUUGUCACCAGUUUUUACGACUUUCUGGUCGUGUUUAAAAGUCUUUGCUCAAUAAUUUUACGGUCCUUUCUCACUUUCUGGCUAAACAGCACUGUUUACUAUAGGUCUUUAAUUAUCUUUAUAGACUUACAUUGGUGAUGACCAUGGAAGAAGGAAAUAAAUUGGAAGAUAAAGAAGGUGGUAUUCGCACCAUUGUCCUUAUUUCCUUGUUAAUAAUGCAAUCUGCCAUUUGCCUGAAUUGAGUUGACAACAAAAUGCGCUGAAAAUCUCAGAAGAUGAAAGAACAUAACAAAACGGAAUGGUGAGGAUUGUUGCUAAUGCUGCUACCCGGGACUUCUCAUGUGAACUAAACUGUCCCUUCCUCUGUGGUAUGAUGACUUGUGCCUCUAAUAUUUGAUCAAUGCCAAAGUUUCUAUAAACAGCGAGCCGUCAAUAUUGCUCAUUUCCAAGUCCACUCUAUUUACUCAAUAGUAUAAGCUAGCACGAAGUUCUUUUUUCUUAUUCUCAUAUCAGCAGCAUCACAAGGUCUUCUCUUCCAAUUCCCAAGGAAAGGAAAUAUGUUGUAUUUUUUUUUUUUUUUUAACUUUACAGGGGUUCAUACCACUAAAUAGUCAAAUCCUUUUCUGCUUUGUCAAAAUGUCAUAGUCGGCAUUAAAACUGAAUUGCAUAUUAAACUUAUUAUUGAUAAGAAAACUUGACAGUAGAUUCACUUAUAACGUCUCAGCUAGAAAUGUCCAUCGGUUUUCUGACUCAGCUGAUUCAGAGGGACGACAGAGUCCUCAUUGCUCAAGUUCUACCUAGAUGUCUAUUGUGGCAUUGAAAUUGAAGCGUAGCUGGAGAUUAUUUCUUCUUAGUCAGAGCUGUCAUUGUGUGUCAGCAAUAUAUCGAACUCUCUAGAUUCCAUGCUGAUUGGAUGAUACAACUGUGUCUUCAACAUGGAGUAGUUUGGUGGCACUUUGCAGCAUGAUCUAAGGCUAUUCAACUCAGUGCUAAUCAGUGGAUGUCCACUAAUUUGCGUAAUUCUUGAACGUAUAUUUCCAUGGAAAGUUCUUCCGUGCUUUUCUCAUAAAUGCUGAGGAAAUUUAACGCCAUCCCUCGCAAAUACAUUGCCUCAGUCCCUUCUUUAUAUGAGCUAUUUAAUUGCCUGUUGUAGUUAUGGUUGAUUAGUUUUUGAAGCAGCUAUUCAUAUUAAAGCAGUUCAUGGAGGUUGUAAUUGCUGUUGUCAUACAGUUAGGACUGCAGUAGACUCUCACUACCCAUCUGAUCCCUGAUUUGUUGAAUCGUUAUUACCAUCUUCCAGCUGACAAUUGGGCAUCCUAGCGAAUCGUCAACUGAUCAUUUAUGCACAUGUUGGGAUGUUUGCAAUUUUAGUAAAAUAAUUUCAGACAGCACUAGUGCUUCGAGAAAUCUUUUUGACAUUGGAGAGUUUCUUGAUCCUCUUGUUGGAGAUGUUAAAUUCAUUUCUCUAUGACAUGCUUGGCAUUAAGGGUGUGCAAUGGAAAAUGCCUAAAUCGGGAACCGCCCGAAUUAGAUCAAACCAGCUGGUUUUGGGCAGUUCCCAAAGAGAGUGGUCUGGUUCCCGGUUCUCACUUUUGGAACCGGUGGCCGGUCGGUCUAGUUCCCGGUUCUAAGGUGGGAACUAGAUUGACCGGACUGGACCAGUUAAUUAUAUAUAUAUAAUUUUAAAUUUCUCAAGAAAAAAAUCCUAAUUCCUCAUAAUUUCUCCCAUUUUUCAUUUUAUUUUUGACCAAAAACAGCAAAUUUACCGGUUCCAUCGAACCGACCGGACCAGUCAGUCCAGUUUCCAAUCCCGGAAUUUGGAACCAAUCCUCCUGGUUUGGUUCCUAGUUCCACCUUGGAGCUAGACCGGAAUGGUUCCACCUCGGACCUAGACCGGAACGGGAACCAAUCAACCUUGCUUGGCAUCAACAUGUAGAAAUUCAUCUGCACUACAUUUAAUCUGGGACUGGUACAAAUUCUGUUUCUUGGAGUAUUAUAAGAAACGAGGGGAAGUAGAGUAGAAUGGGACCACAUCAAAUGUUGAUUGAAAGAAAAACCUCAAGCAAUUCCAGGUAAACGUCAUUUGUCUAGAAUGCAGUUCCAAAAUAUCAGCCAAAACCGGCAUUUCGUAUGUGUAAGUUGCCCCUAAAAAUGUCACCUCCAAGUCAUUGCCUAAUUAAUCCGAUGGUCUUUUACAGCCGGUAGCCUCUCUGUAAAAUUACUUUGCAUUCGGGGACAGCAAGCCUGCGACCCGCCUCUGGAGCCUCCUUCUGUCAUUGCAUUUGAUCAGAUGAGGCCUGCAGCCUCUUUCUGUUACAUUCGUUAGAAAUCUGAUGGCCUUUGCAGUUUUGCAUGGCCCUCCCCUCCAGCCAUGAUUCCACUAUAUAUCCUUUGGCAAACAUUUCAUCGACUGAACUUAUGACACGGCUUGUGCAAUUUAACCUUUUCCUUAAAGCCCAUUGAUCAAAGGGGCAAGCUCACAACAUCUGGUUCGAGUCCAGGCCUGAGGACUAUAUUCAAGACAGAGAACCCAAGAUGAAAUCCUUUCAAGUGGCAAGGGGCGAUUUGUCAGAAUCCUGAGAAUAUAAAUGUCUUAAGUUUAAGGGGGCGUGGGCCAUUGCAGCAACCUCUGCAAGUAAAAACAUACUAAAAUCUACAGCAACCUGAUCAUGAAAAGAGAGAGCCGUGCUCAAUCUAUUACUAGAAUAAAUAGCCAAAAAUUUUAAAUGGAAAAACAGACGUUAAAAAAGGUCUCGUUUUAGCUUGGCAGAGUCAUUUUUCAUACUCUCAUACCACCAUCAUAAGGAUAUCAUAAAAUCAAUUCCGACCUUUCUUUUCUGGUCUUCCGAUUCCAAGGGAAAUUAAGAGAAAUUAGGCAGGAGUGCCUUUUUAUUUUCUGUUAAAUUAGCACCUUAAGUUUCUCAUCGCAGGUACCUUUUUAUCUUCUGCAAGUAGAGAAAUGCUAAAUCUAUAGCAAGCUUCUGGUGAAACACAGUUAAAGAUACGAACCAUGAUCAAUCCUCUACAAAGAUUUAUAGCCCAAAGGUUCAGUGAGAAAACAGAUGUAAGAAAAAGCUCUUGUUGCAGCUUGGUAGAGUUUUGAAGAUGGUGAUGAAGAACCUACAAGAGUUCCAUUGUGAGGAGACUCACAGAUCAACACAGUCUGGACCAGUCAUGUUUGUGUUGGUGUUUUCUCAAGUCCAUGCAUACAACUUUCAGUUAAUUUUAGAGUCUUCGUACCCAGUAUAGUCAAAACAGGUAGAACUGAGGAUCAAUGCAACCGCUCCAAUCGACUCUCAUCGAGAUAAGAACUCUCUACUACAUACGGUCACUCUCAACCAUCUCGUGCAACCCAUGCUUCACCCUCAUUUUCUGACCAUUUUUAUGGAGUGUUCGGGUGGAGAGUGCCCCUUUUCUUUCAAUUCUUGAAGCAGCUCAUAGGAAUCACUCGUUCAGUUGGCUUUACAUAGCCCAGCAAUUAUAGCACCAAAUAACAAAUCAUCAUGUUGCUAACCUUUCUCAGGCAGGGCAUUGAAGAGUUCUAUAGCAACUCCAAGUUCCCCUGCCACCCAAGCCGCUAAUAAGGGUGUCAUAGCUGAUGAUAUGGACAUUUCCACCUUCCACUUGUCUAUACAAAGCAAUUGCCCCAUGAACCCCAUGCCCCAUGAACCCGGUGACUAACUUUAUUGAUUAUUGUUGAUUUAAAUGUUCGCUACUAGCUAUAAUUUUGUAAAACAUAUGGUGCGCAACCCGAGGCAGUUCACUGAGGAAAAAGCCAUCUCGAGACAGUUAUAGGUGGCAACAUCAGGGACUGAUCCAUUCUCUAACAUUCAUGAAUCAAUGUUAGGUUGGUUGUGAGUAAAAGAGAGCAGUUUUGUGCAAUCAUCAAAUGAAAUGUAGUGGGUGCAUCAUCUAUUUGAUUUUCACGACAGUUACCACCAAGCAAUGAAGUAUAUGUGAACUAGGUCGGGCGUCAAUCCUCCUCAGAUCAUCAGAAUAAAAAUGCACUUCAUCUUGUCCAGCAAAACCUUCGCUUCUUUCCGUUAACCAACCCAAGUUGAGCCAUGUAUCAAGGGCUGACAUUUGGGCAUCAGUCAUAGUAUUAUACAACUUCAAAGCCUCUGUCUUAGGUGCCUCCGAUGAUCGUGGUGUACUAGGAAGCAUGGACACUCUUUGGGGCCUCCGUGUCAGUGUCAAAUGCAUGUAAUUCUUGUUGUCAUAGUUCGACAGUUAGGAUCACAGGAGACUCAUGAAUUUCCCAUCUGGUUCAUGAUUUGUUGAAUAUCUCAAUUUUCCUGCUGAAGAUUGGACAUCCUAGCGAUUUGUUAGCCGACCGUUUCCGCAUAAGUGUGACUGCAAUUUUAGCAAUAUAAUUCCAGACAGCACUAAUGCUUGAAGAAAUCUUGUUGAUGUUGGAGAUCUUCUCAAUCCUCUUGUUGGAGAUGUUGAAUCAAUCUCUCUAUGACAUAAUAAUUGGUAUCUCCAUGUAUAAAUUCAUCUGCCCUUGUUCCAACUCUGGGAUUGGUAAAAAUUCUGUUUCUUGUAGUAUUAUAAGAAACAGAGGAAGUAGAGUAGAUUGGGAUAAUAUCAAAUGUUGAACGAAUGGAAACGUCCCGUGCAUUUCCAGAUAAAUGUCAUUUGACGCAAAUACAGUUUCAAAAUAGCAAUCAGUCGAAACCGGCAUUUCAUAAGUGCAAGUUGCCCCUUGAAAGUAUCAUCUAUUAGUCAUUGCCUAAUCAAUCCAAUGGCCUUUUUGCAGCCUGCAGCCUCUUUCUGUCAAAUUACUUUGCGUUUGGUGACAUCAAGCCUGGGAUCUGCACUCUGCAGCCUCUUUGUGUCAUUGCAAGAUGAAGCCUGCGGCCUCUUUCUGUUGAAUUUGUUAGAAAUGUGACAGCUUUUGCAGUAUUGAACGACCCACUUGCUAUGACUCCCCGUUGGCUUUAAAUCCUUUGGCUAAAAUUUCAUCCCACCAAGCUUACUCCACGGCUCGCUUAAUUCUACCUCUUUCAUAAAGCCCAGCGAUCAAAGUGGGGAAGCUCCCAACAUCGGUUCAAAUCCAAGUUUGAAGACUAUAUACUCAAAACAGAGAACCCAAGAGAUCUUUCCAAGUGGCAACUUGCCAGAAUCCAGAGAACAUAAGCUUGAACUAGUCUGGUUUUAGAGUAAUAACCUUUUUGUGGUUCUUUAUCGAGAAAUUAUAUUAAAGAUUACAUCAAUGUACAUAAUAAAUCACUAAUUAGGUUAUAAAUUGGCUCAAUUAGCUGAGCGAUUCUAGUGGAUCGAUGGAAAAGGAAAAAAAAAAAACCAACUAUGGCUUUACUCUUGAAAGAACAUUGACAUUACCGCAUUGUUAGCAAGUGAUUAAGGUCAUUGACUUUGGCUUUACUGUUUUUCCUCUACAGCACCGCAGUACAUAUUUUGCAAAUAAAAUUGCAUUUUCUCUGUGGCCUUGUGGUGGGGAUACGGAUUCCUAUAGUCUCAUUAAAGGUUUUUCCUAUGAGUUUCCGUAAAAAUUGUUGUCAAAACUUUUGCCAAAGAGAAACAGAGGAGGAUCGACGAAGUCUUGGUCGCGGUGUUGAGUGGGUCAAGGAGAAAAUAUUGGGUGGUCCGGGACCUCCACGUCAGCGUGGUCCCCGGCCACUCACGAGAUGCCAUGUGGAUGGUGGGCCCACUUGGUGUCUUCUGCCCUCUUCCCCUCUCUCUCCUCCUAGCCUGCACGCUCUCUCUCCUUUCAGAGCAUUUAUUGCGGGGAAAAACUUUUCUCUUUCCUUCGUUUGAGAAAGAAAACGGCCGUUCGUACCUCUCGUUCCUCUGUCCCUCUCCAUUUGUUUCCUUUUGAAAUUCUGAAUCUGAACUUUUCUCCCUCUCUCCACGCUCGUUGCCGCUCCGCCGUGCAUCAAGCGGCCGUUCCCCUCCCAUCGCCGUCAAACCACAUUACGGCCACCCCUACUCCGGUGCUCGCUCGCUUCUCUCUUCGGGCUCGUUGUUGCUCCAUCGUUCGUUCCGACGUUCCUAGGAUUGCAAAUGCAGCACGCGGAGGAGAAGCAGGCCUCUUCGAGCUCUCCUCAACGUCGGCGAGCAUCGCCCGCCGAGCGAGACCCCCACACACGGGAGGCUCGGAGGCGAGGUUGCUGGAGAAGUUGGUGUUCCGGAGGACGGCCUCCUCAACCGGCGACACGGUCGAGGGAGCUGAGAAGGAGGCUGCAGUGGAGUAGUCGAGGGACUUAACGUUGAUUCGGCGAAGCUUGAGCUCGGGCUCUUGACGCAGACGGUGAGGGCGAACCCGAGUGAUGGAUUUAUGAGAUGGGCUUAAGGUCCAUCCGCCCAUGCUGGGCCCAAAAAGCCCGGCCCACGGGAAUAGGGCCCGUGGAUGGGGGAAGGUAUAAAAGGGAGGAGAGAGAGAGAGAAGACACCCCUUGGGAAAUCAUAACGUACGUACGUUCCUCUCCCUCUCUCCCUCCAAGAAAAAGAAAAGAAAAAUGCUUAAGGCGUCCCGUCUUCCCUUCAAGGCAAAUUGGCAUCAUCGGAUCAGAAUUUCUUCCUCGAUUUUUGGCAUUGGUGUUUAAUUUGUGGCUAACAAGGUAUGCUCGAAUCCUGCUUUACGAUCGGUGAUACGUGUUUUUCCGAGCUUCGUCUUCCGCAUUGAUUUAGGGGUUUGAUUUAGUGUCGAAUCCGGUUUUCGGGGAUCAGUAAUUCCCAACAUUGGUAUCAGAGCCCUAGUUCACGUUUUUCCCGAUCAAUUUGAUGUUUUUCAUUGAUUUUUCGUAAAAAAAUUCUCGGCCGUACAGAUCGGGGCGUGAAAUCCCGACACCCGAGCACUAUACGUCCUUUUUUCUGAGUUUCCGUACGUCGGAAUCAAAUUCCGAAGGCACUGCGUGAAAGGCGACGUCGAGACGAGUCCGGCGACAUGUCGUGCGUCGCCGGACGACGUCGCACGCGCCCGAAGCGCUGGCUAUGGCCAGCGCGUGCGCCACACGCGCCGGUGACGAACCGGCACAUGCGCGCCGGCGACCGGCGAAAUGGCACGCGCUGGUCGGCGAAACGGCACGCGCCGGUCGGCGAACCGACGCGUGCUGACGUCAACCACUGACGUCAUCGUGAUGUCACCCAACGGUCGAUAACUGUCUAGAUGACGUCAGCACCGACGACGGUUGGCCGGCCGGUACCAGCCAGUGCCCGACCCGACGGCGACCGACCCGACCCGAUCAGCCUGGCGCAUGCCGCGCACGUGCGGCUGACGUCUGCGUGACGUUAGCACGCUCACGCGCGAGGCAUGUGUCGGCUGACGUCUGCGUGACGUCAGCCAGCGCACGCGCGCGGCACGUGCGGUCGGUUCGUCCUACCGGCCCGACCGGUCCUCCGACCCGCGCGCCCGUUGACCCGACCCGUUGACUGACGACCGUUGACCGUUGACUUUGACCGUUGACCCGGAAAAAAAAAAAGAAAAAAAAAAGGGAAUUUGUUUCUUUGUUCAAUUAUGUCUGUGUGGAUUGUAGGUAAUCCAUUUUUAUUCUGCAUUUGUUGCAUGAAUCAUGGAAAUUUAUGUAUUUUCCAUUUUGUUUAUUAUGGAUUAUAAGUGAUCCAUUUUAGUUCUGCAUUUGUUGCAGGAACUAUGAUGCGUUAUGCACGGAUACCUGCAAUCCCAAGAACGGACGAAGGAAGAGCUAGACUGAAAAGACUGAUGAAAGAGUUAGCUGAUUAUCGGUGGCUUGAUGGUGAUUUAGUAUCACACAUGGUCAAGGUCAAUUAGAUGAUACAGGAAAUCAUCUGGAAUGGUUACCUUAUGCCGGACUUUGAGAAGGUGCCGGUUUUGAUGAACACUCUUCCACCUGAAUGGCAAUCAGUGUUAGAUCGGCUAUGGGAGAUCAACGUGGUCCCGGAUUACAGAGGGCUAGUGGAAGCUUUUGUAAGAGAGUACUAUAGGAUUGAGUUGGCCAAAACUUCAACCCUUAGAUUGAGCGCCACAUGGCGCAGAGCGAAUGCGCCUUGGUGGCGACAUAAGAGCUCUCCAAAAGUUUUUUCAUGGUUGGCAAAUGUGCCUUCGGUUUUCUCAGAUGUUUUGACUGAUAGAUUAGAAGGGACUUUCCCUAAUUAUUUCUUUGAUUAAUUACGUAAUGUUUACUACCUAAUUGUUGUUGAUGUAGCAACCGAUAUGUUAGUUGUAUCAUGUGAAAGCAUUGUUAUUUUAUUCGAUGUUAGAUAAUAUUUGCUUUCUGUUACUGCUAAUUGCUGUGGGUAGUUAGCUGUGGGUAGUUAUAGAAGUUUUUGUAACUUCAUAGAAUUGAUUUUGCAUAUGACAAUCAUAUUAAUGAUGGUUUCAAGUUAGGAUUUUUGGAGGAUGAUUGGAAACGUAGUGACCUUUUGAUUCUGAAGCCUUAAAAUUAUUCAUUAAUAUAAUGGGUCUAUGUAAAAGUGGAUGCAUAAAUGAUAGGCAUUAAUAAUUCGUGCAUGUAUGUCUGAUGUGUUCAGAUCGAUAUUUUCAGUAACUAAGAACGUUAUUGCUGAUAUGAACGGUAACAAUUGUGAAAUAUUGAAUAUGAAGAUUCAAUAUGUGCUGGAAAAGCAAGAAGCACUAGAAGCUCUUGACCAUAUUAUGGAAGAUCUAGAGGAUGAUGUGCGCCACCUUGAGCUAGUAGAGGACUGCCUAUCGGCAUUUGAGCCGAAAAUAGACAUUGGCUAUGCUGGUUCUAGCUCAAAAAAGGGCUUUGAGCUCUAAGCUCAAACGUAUUGAUUCGUUCAAUAUGUGGGAAAGCAAAGGAUCAAGUCCUUAUUGCAAGAGAUCAAGAGUUAACCAAUACAAGAGAGGAAAACGUCCUCAAGUGAAGAAAAUGUGUGUUACAAUUGUGACAAGAAUGGUCACUAUGCUCGCAACUGUUGUGAGCCAAAGAAGGUAAACACCUCUUGUGCAUUUGAGAACUUUGAUUAUGUGUCAAGUUUUGAAUUAUUGGCUGAAUCCAAUCCUUUGUGGACUAUAGAUUCAGGAAAGACAGACCAUGUAGCGAAGGAUAGAGAAUCCUUCGUGGAAUUUCGACGAUACCGACUCGAACUAAGUGGAUCUAUGUGGGAUAUAACUCCAGAAAUGAAGUUAAAGGGAUUGGCACCUGCCAAUUGAACAUGCGUGGUGGAUGCAUCUUGUUCCUACAUGACGUUCCAUAUGCUCUAGAGAUUCGUCGAAAUUUAACGUCUGUUUUGGUGUUGGUUAAACUUGUUUUUUAUAUGAACUUCCAUAAUAAAGGUGUAGAUUUGUGUUUAGAUACAAACUACUAUGGUUGUGGUCACUUUCUAGAUGGUUUUAUUGUAUUGAAUGUUGACUGUGGUGAUGUCAAUAUGUUAUUCCCUCGUUUCACGUCUUUUACUUCAUGUAAUGAUGAUGUGAAUAUGUGGCAUGCUAGACUUGGUCAUAUUGGCCAACAACAUAUGAAUAGACUAGCCAAAGAGGGCUUGUUGGGCAAUAUUGAAAAAGUCGAUUUGUCCAUAUGUGAGCAUUGCCUAGUAGGGAAAAUGACAAGGAAACCAUUUGGAGAAGGUAAAAGAGCUGAAUUUCCUCUACAUUAAUCCAUUUGGGCGUCUAUGGUUCAAUGAAUGUGAGAGAAAGGCAUGGGACUGUUUAUUUCAUCACUUUUAUAGAUGAUUAUACUCGAUUCGGAUGUGUCUAUUUGAUUUUUCAUAAAUCUGAAGCAUAAGUUGUUUCAAAAGGUUUAUGAACUUGGUUGAAAAUCAAUUAGACAAUAAAAUAAAAGCAUUGAGAUCUGAUCGAGGUCGAGAAUAUUUAUCUAAUAAGUUCAGAAAAUUAUGUGAUGAAAAAGGAAUAGAAAGACAGUUGUCUAUUCCAUAUACUCCUCAACAAAAUGGUGUUGCAGAGAGAAGAAACAGAACCCUACUGGAAAUGGUUAGGUCCAUGAUGGCGCAUGUUAACUUACCUAUCAUUUUUUGGAGUGAUAUGUUGUUAACUACUGCUUAUAUACUUAACCGAAUGCCUUCCAAAUCAGUUAGUUCCACUCCAUAUGAGUUAUGGAUAGGUAGAAAUCGGACUUAAGUUUACUUAAGCCAUGGAAUUAUGCUGCCUAUACUCAUAUGUCCUCUCACAAGUUUGGAAAAUUGAGUCCCAGAUAAAAUAAGAGUAUUUUCAUGAGAUACUCCGAACACUCGAAAGGGUAUAUGUUCGUAGGUGAGCAGGAAAGUGGGAGUAUAACUGAAUUUGAAUCACGGGAUGCCACAUUCUUAGUGGAUGAAUUUCUUAAGAAGUGCAAAAUAGGGAAAUAUUACUUCCUAUUUGAAACCUUGGAUCUAGAUAAUGAUAUUGGUUGAGUUCGUCCAAGUGGGAGUAAUAUGAGAUGUGAUGAAUUGAAUUCAACUCAUUCUCAAUUACAACCACAUGAUGAGAUGAUAUCGUCAUUAUCUAAUUUGAGUGGGAGCAUAACGGGGAAUGAUGUGCUAAGUGUACAUUCUCCCAUAUAGCGAACAAGUCGCCAAAGUAUCCCCCGUCGACGUUUUGACAUUGAAGGGGGAAACUUUUAUAAUUGCUCCACGAGAUAAGGAUGAGCCAAGAAAUAUUAAUGAGGCUCUAAAUUGCCCUAAUAAGGAAAAAUGGAUUAAUGCAAUGGAAGAGGAAAUGGAGUCAGUGAAAUCAAACCAAGUCUGGGAACGGGUUGAUCUUCCAAAAGGGACGCAGAGCUAUUGGGAACAAGUGGGUUCUCAAAAUAAAGCGAAAGGCUGAUGGCUCGAUAGAAAGGCAUAAGGCUCACCUUGUGGCGAAGGGGUAUAAUCUACAGGAAGAUAUUGAUUAUGAAGAUACAUUUUCUCCUGUAGUGAGAUUUACCUUGAUUCGCAUAAUUCUGGCAAUAGUGUUUAGCAUGGAUCUUGAGUUACAUCAAAUGGAUGUAAAGACUGCUUUCCUCAAUGGAGAAUUAGAGGAAAAAAUAUAUGGAACAACCUGCUGGUUUCAUAAUGGAAGGCCAAGAAGAAAAGGUAUCUCGACUUUGGGGGUCGAUAUAUGGCCUUAAGCAGUCGUCAAGACAAUGGUAUAUACGUUUUCAUAAUGCCAUAAUGGCAUAUGAGUUUACAAUGAUUAAUGAGGAUCAUUGUGUAUAUAUCAAAAGAUCCAAGGAUCAAUUUGUGAUCAUAUCAUUAUAUGUUGAUGAUAUACUGAUUGCCAGAAGCAAUAUGGAGUUGGUUAAUACUGUCAGGAGAUAGUUGUCUUUCAACUUUGAGAUGAAUGAUAUGGAAUUGUAAACCCAUAAACACUCCUAUUGCAAAAGGUGAAUGAUUGAGCUAUAGACUAUGUCCAAGGACUCCACAAGAGAAGGAACAAAUGAAACAUGUUUCUUAUGCUAGUGCUGUUGGGAGCUUGAUGUAUGCUAUGAUGUGUACAAGACCUGACAUAUGUUAUGUAGUUGGAAUGGUGAGCAUAUACCAAUCCAAUCCAGGUCAAGCACGUUGGAAAGCCGUUAAAAGAAUACUAAGGUAUCUAAAGGGGACUGCUGAUUAUACGUUGAGUUAUUAUGGAAAGGAUCUGCGACUCUAAGGCUAUUCUGAUGUUGAUUAGGGAGGAGAUUUAAAUAAAAGGAAAUCUACCUCUAGGUUUGUUCUCUUAUCGAAUAAUGGCACCAUGUGUUGGAGCAGUAAGAAACAAAAGUGUAUAGCCUUGUCCACGAUGGGAAUUGAGUUCGUGGCAUUAUCAGCAGCAGUAGAAGAAGAUGUUUGGCUUAAGAGAUUUUUUGGAUCAUUUAGGUGUUAUUGGAAGUGCUGCAGAUUAAUUGUUGGUUAAUUAUGAUAGCCAAGCAGCAAAAGCGUACACCAAAGAUCCAAAAUAUCAUGGCAAGACGAAACAUAUAGAUACCAAGUAUAAUUUUGUCAUGGAUAUGAUUGCACGAAAAGAUGUGAACUUAGAGUACAUACUACGCAUAGAAUGGUAGCAGAUCCUAUGACAAAACCAGUACAUAGAGAUGUGUUUUGUGGCCAUAUGAAAUCUCUAGGACUGCGUAGAGGCUAAUGUACUGAAUAUCAUAAUUUUCCCUAAGUGUUCACAUAUGAUGAAUUUAUGUUUUUCAUCAUUAAUGCUUAUGAAUCUUUGUUUGAUCUUUAUGCAUCUUAAUGCUUAGUGCAUUACUUUAAGUUAGGAAAGUAUGUUGGACAGAUAUGAGAUUAGCCCACUCACACGGGUAAUCGCUUCUAUUUAUUGUGUGACAAAUAGAGAUGAGACUGUUUUUAAGCUUAUUAUCUAAGUGAUAAUCGAGAGCUCAAGCUUAAAACAUGUAUGUCGCCUUAACUGAGUGUUAAGAUGAGGACAUAAUACUUACUAUGUUCGAAAGUAAAAUACCCCACAUAUUUUACUUUAUCUGUCUAUGAUGCCAAAUGUGAGUUCUGAUGAAUUUAGUAAAUGAGUAGAUACGUGAACUCAAGUUAGACAUUGGAUAUGUCUGAACUAUCAUCUGUACGGUAUAGAAAGGUGUAGACAUACGCUCCAUGGGAAAUGAGUUAAUACCGUAAUACGUAUUUCAUACUACGUAUGCAUGAGACGACCAAUAAGAGUGGCAAAAGUUUGAUCUCAACUUUUUAUGUCGUGUGAGACUCUUGAGGAAAAGAGUUCCUCAAUUUUUUAGUCCCCUCAUGACUCUUACUUAUUCUCAAGAUUUUUAUUUAGUGUUUGCUAUCUUAGGAUGUUGCCAAUGGUCAUGAGUUUGAUUCGAUCUAAUGGGGCAUUUCUAGAAAAGCAAGUUGAACUGAAAUUGAGAGUUUGAAGGGAAGAGGAAGAUCGAUUUAGGAGAAUCACAUUGUAGUUUUGUAUUCACCGGUUAACCAAUUAUGACUAUCUUUGGGAUAAUCAUAAUUGUGAAUACAAUAUAUAUAUAUCAUUGUUUAAAAGAGAUCAAGAGAGAUAUAAAUGUGAUCGAUCGAUCUAGGGAACUGCAUACUAAAUCUACUCGGAGUGAAAUGCCCAUUAUGAGCUGCUAUAUAUUCCUAACAGAUGUAUAGCAACGAGCUCUCAAAGUAUGCUGGUCGCACAGAUUAUUCACCGGUAUGAAUGUUGAAGAGAGGAAAAGAGGAUUCUGUUCGGCCCAUCAUGUUAAGUGAGAAUCUAUGAUGGAUUUUUCUCUGAUGGGGAUGAAUAGGGCCUGUCCGCCCAUGUUGGUUUUGGACCACCAUGUGCGAGUGGGAGAUGAUGGAUUUAUGAGAUGGGCUUAAGGUCCAUCCGCCCAUGCUGGGCCCAAAAAGCCCGGCCCACGGGAAUAGGGCCCGUGGAUGGGGGAAGGUAUAAAAGGGAGGAGAGAGAGAGAGAAGACACCCCUUGGGAAAUCAUAACGUACGUACGUUCCUCUCCCUCUCUCCCUCCAAGAAAAAGAAAAGAAAAAUGCUUAAGGCGUCCCGUCUUCCUUUCAAGGCAAAUUGGCAUCAUCGGAUCAGAAUUUCUUCCUCGGUUUUCGGCAUUGGUGUUUAAUCUGUGGCUAACAAGGUAUGCUCGAAUCCGUGGUGUGCUUUACGAUUGGUGAUACGUGUUUUUCCGGGCUUCGUCUUCCGCAUUGAUUUAGAGGUUCGAUUUAGUGUCGAAUCCGGUUUUCGGGGAUCAGUAAUUCCCAACACGAGGAAGGUGGUGCGGAGGUUGACGAUCAAGGCGAGGGUGUAGACGAAGCACUUGCAGCUGCUGCGCCUUUGGUUGCAGCAAGGUGGCGGCUUGGCGAAGUGAGCGAGCUAGUGAAUGCAAGAGAGCACGGGUCACUCAUUGAGGGGGUUGAUGUGUUCCUAUGCCGUCGUCCGAGGUUUUUGCCGGUUGGACGUGCAGGACCGUGUGAAAGCUGGGUUUGAGUGGGUCUGUGCUGUGCUGCUCUAUCGUUGUCGCUCUUUGAACCUCCACCGGUGAUGACCCGCGCAGGGCAUUCGAGGCGGCGUUGGAAGGUGCUAAAGCCCAAGGCAAGAUCGACAGCAGUGGAGGGUGGAGGAAGAAGAGCAGAUGGGUAGUUAUGGUGGACAACUGCAUCGGCCAAGAGCAUGUUUUCAGGAUCAUCUCACCACAGAGGAAACAGAUUGAAGCUUGAGGACGAGAUUCAUUUGGUUUUGGGAAACAAAGAGGACUAAGACUUUCUGCUAGAUCUAGAUCUGGUCAUCCACACUAACUCCUAAAAUCUUGCAAAUGUAAAUAGCGAUUGAUUGUAUUAUGUAAUCUCCCUCUCUCUUGAGCUCAUAAUCUCCUGCGCAUGUGAAUAGUCUGUGUGCUCUUAUGAAUAUGUUGGGGGUGUGCAAUGAGGAAAGAUCAGCUGGCUUGUUUUGGGUUUCAUGCGCAACUUUAGUAGGAAAUGAUAUGAAAUCUUUGAUCUCCCAACAACACCUAACUUCGGCGACCACUAUAACCAAAGCAAUCGAAUAUCGCAGAGAAUCUUUGAUCUCCCAACAACACCUAACUUCGGCGACUACUAUAACCAAAGCAAUCAAAUAACAAAGGGAGAGAGAGAGGGAGCUUGAAGGAACGCCUCGCCAACGCCAGUCGUCCGCCCGAGAGCCACCGUCCGCCACAGCCCUUUUCCCGUUCAACCGGGUGGGUUUCCCGAAGCAUACUCGCUUCGUUUUCAUGGGAACUUCGAUUCUUCCAGUCCUUCAUCGGUGUUGUAACGAGUUAUGGUGCCCUCUGUUAGGGUCCCAAACCUGUGUUCGAGUCUUGAUCGAGUCUAAAAUCUAUCGUUUCAGCUGUGCAUAUUAGAUGUUCGACAAAAUGCUUGAGUGAAUGGCCGAAUCCCACAUAGUCGAAUCGAUUGUUAGAAGCCUAGUUUAAUGCAUUUGUUCUAAUAUUGUGAAUCUACGUCUGAUAUCAUUCUUCUCUCUUUGUUUCCCUGCGAUUUUUAUGGCAUAUGCAUCAAAUGCUGGGUUCACCGGAAAAGCAAAACCUCGUUGGAAUGCAAACCCCUCGUCAGCGAGUCCUGCGGUUUAAGGCCAUCCUAGUUAGCACUUGUUCUGAUUUUAUUGCAUUCUUGACUAUUUAUUUGCCGGAAAUCUGGGAUCAAAAAUUUUAGCUUCGGUAUGGUUAUUUGCUUUGGUUAUAGUGAAAGAUAAAAAAUUCUCAGAUUAUUGCCCAUUUAUCUGCAUCAAUCUGGAUAGCUCCUAUGGUUAUAAAGAUUGACCCUUAGCAAAAUUGACCGAAAAUGAUCUCUAGAGAUAAGUAAUCCAAUCUGCUCUCCCAGAUAUAAAUUGAAAAAGAACGAGAAGCAGAAAGAAAAAGAUUUGGAGAGGAAGAUAGACUAGAUAUAGUAUUAUAUGCCUUAAAAAGCUCUCUAUUCAUGAUUCCCUGAAUUAUAUGAACACGAUGACAAUCAUCCCACAAACCCAAAAAGAAAAGCGAAAGCACCACCAUCAAGAACAGCCUCUCAAGAACAGCCUCUCUCAGUGAGUGACCCGUGCUCUCUCGCAUUCACUUGAACUCCGACUUUCGUGAUGCCUAAAGAAGAUCCGACCAGCCCAAUCGUGCCCUCCAGACCCCGCCUCCAGAGCGACGACGUGGAGCUCGCCCACUUCGCCAAGCCGCCACCUCACUGCAACUAGAGGCGCAGCAGCUGCAAGUGCUUUGUCUACACCCUCACCCCGAUCGUCAACCUCCGUGCCGCCUUCCUUGGGUUCGCCCUCACCGUCUGCGUCAAGAGCCCCGAGCUCAGGCUUCACCGCGUCGACGUCAAGUCCCUCGACUACUCCACCGCGGCCUCCUUCUCAGCUCCCUCAACCGCGUUGCCGGUUGGGGAGGCCGUCCUCCGGAACACCAACUUCUCUAGCAACCUCGCCUCCGAGCCUCCCGUGUUUGGGGGUCUCGCUCGGCGGGUGACGCUCACCAACGUUGAGGAGAGCUCGAAGAGGCCUGCUUCUCCUCCACGUGCUGCAUCUGUGAUCCUGGGAACGUCGGAACGAACGAUGGAGCAACAACAAGCCCGAAGAGAGAAGCAAGCGAGCACCGGAGUAGGGGCAGCCGUAAUGUGGUUCGUCGAUAAUGGGAGGGGAACGGCCGCUUGAUGCACGGCAAAGCGGCAACGAGCGCGGAGAGAGGGAGAAAAGUUCAGAUUCAAAAUUUCGAGAGGAAACAAAUGGAGAGGGACAGAGGAACGAGAGGAACGAAGGGCCGUUUCUCAAACGAAGGAAAGAGAAAAGUUUUUCCCCGCAAUAAAUGCUCUGAUAGGAGAGAGAGCGUGCGGGCUAGGAGGAGAGAGGGCAUUGGCAGGCUAGGAAGAGGAGAGAGAGGGGAAGGGGCAGAAGACACCAAGUGGGCCCACCAUCCACAUGGCACCUCGUGAGUUGCCGGGACCACGCUGACGUGGAGGUCCCGGACCACCCAAUAUUUUCUCCCAUUCCUUCAGACAACAUCAUAUACGGGAGAUCUUGAUUUUGACUUUGGAGUACUCUGUGCAUUCUCUCUCAUCUUUUUUCUUAAAUAUCUCGGAUGCAUUGUCGUUAUUAGUUAUUGUUUUUAUUAUUAUAUUAUUGACCAAAGAUCCAUGGAGUAAAGUUAAACUUCUCCUGACCACCACCCGCGGUGGCCGCGCGGUUAAGAGCUUGGUACCCUUUUCGCAAGAGGGGAAGAGUUCGAAACUUCGUGGACGCAGUGUGUCAUGCACAAACACGCGUCUUAACUGCGAAAGGGACUAGUGGUGGGAGGCUCUGAGCUCCAGGGUUUACUCUUCGCCGCGAAGCGGCAGUGCGGAGGUUCCCUGGGUACCAAAAAAAAAAAAAAAAAAAAAAACUUCUCCUGGUACAUUGUUCUUAUUACAUCUCUCUUGUAACAUCAAUCAUGUUGUAUUCUCCUGUUGGCCAUAAUCAGUAUUUACAUAAAAUCGAUCAUUUGGGACCAUUUGUAAUUUAUUCCUUCACACCACUGAUUCUAUGCGAUAAUGUUAUCAAAUGUCCGUAUCUUUUAAUUCUCGACUCUUCAUCCUCACCACUUAAAUGAUAUUGAAGGUCCAUUGUAACACCAACUGCUUCUUGAGGGAUAGCUAUAAAGAUUAUUGCCGUGCCAGUCUCCAGGAUGGAAACUGGAGCAGCGCCCCCACAUACCGACAAGAAGGCCUGCUUGUACUUUUUUCCCUAAGGAAAAUUACAUCAAACAUUUUAAGAACAUCAUAAAGAUGCGACAUUGGAUUUGCAAAUUAUAGGGAUUUCGAUUUUCUACAAGGAGCUCAUGACAUUUUGCAUUGUACCUUUCUUUGUACAACUUGUUAGUCAACAUUCAGGACCUACCAUCAGCCUAAGGCCGAGUUUUCGUGAGGAACUAUGGUUCUAUCUAUGAUGCUUGAUCGAAUCAAAAUCUAGAGUUGUAUUCACAUUAUCGGCUCAGUUAAAAGUAAUUUUCAUGUGAUUCUUCCGUGAGAAGAAGGUAAAUGUGAUGGCAUGAAGAGAAUCGGUAUUCGAUGUGUCGUGGAUGCCUCCAUCUUCCUUGCAAUGGAGUUUUCACAAUCAAUACAGCGCAAGGGACAGAAACUCCAUCACCUGAACGGAGUACUUCACGGCGAGGCUCGCGACCCUAUCGCCGCGCUUAAUCCGGUGCGAGAUCGCGACCUUCCCUAUGCCGUUAUCCCUCCAGAAGCUGCCCGACCUCGGGAGGCCGACCACCUCCUUCAACCUCCAGGGGGCCGCGAAGGCUCGGGUGACCAUGUCACGAUCGGAGGCGACGGAGCUCCAGAUGCGGAGACGCAACUCGCGCGGGCCAGGUCAGCGACGGGGAGCUUCUCGAAGAUGAGCCGGAGGGUGUCGCGGCAAGCGAGGGCGGAGAAGUGGGAGUUCAUCGGCGAGAUGGUGGAACCGUCGGCGGCGGAGGCGGAGGAGGAGGAGGCGGCGGCGGAGGAGAGGGAUCGGGGGUCCGGGGUGGAGGCUCCCGGUCGUCGUCGUCGUUGUCG
RNAcentral lists this long non-coding RNA (88696 nucleotides) under Eucalyptus grandis. RNAcentral describes it as "long non-coding RNA (EGRA_LNC000831)". The record is from RNAcentral. Lineage: Eukaryota; Viridiplantae; Streptophyta; Magnoliopsida; Myrtales; Myrtaceae.